UUUUCAAAAGUUUACACUAAAUAUGGAAUUGACUCUGAGAUAGUAGCUUCCUUUUGUGAAUCUUUUGCUACUCGUGUUGAUCUCCCUAAGUUGAAGUGGCUUAAAUAUCACCCGCCUAUUAAAGAAGAAAUUAAAUAACUAGUAAAACCUAAAGAAGAAACUAUCAUUUACAAUGUUUAUCCAGUUGUUCCCACGGCUUAUAUUGAAAAACCACCUUCCCCUGUUAGGAUGAAGGAACAUGCUAAAGUCUCAACUGUGGUUAACAAAAGUUAUAUUAGAACACCCAAACCAGCUGAACAAAUUAGAGUUGAACCUAGUGUUGAUAUGGUUAAAGAUCUCUUGGUCGAUAAUAUCGAUGGGCAUAUUAUUUACUUCUGUGAUGAAGCUUCUAGAAUUGCCAAACCCGAUAAAAAAGAUAAACAUAGACCAGUUGUUGGCAUGCUUGUUGUCUCAGUCAAGAUAGGAGAUCACUGUUAUCAUGGUUUAUGUGACAUAGGUGCUAGUGUGAGUGCUAUUACUUUUUCCUUAUAUGAAGAAAUUAAGAAUGAAAUAGCACCUGCAGAAAUAGAAGACAUAGAUGUUACUAUUAAACUUGCCAAUAGAGAUACUAUAUCACCAAUUGGGAUCCUUAGAGAUGUUGAAGUCUUGUGCGGGAAAAUAAAAUACCCUACUGAUUUUCUUGUUCUUGGUUCCCCACAAGAUGACUUUUGUCCCAUUAUCUUUGGUAGACCUUUCUUGAACACCGUCAAUGCUAGAAUAUAUUGUGAGAAACAAACUGUCGGUGUUAGCUUUGGUGAUGAAUCUCAUGCUUUUCCAAGUUUAGUAGAAAAUCUCAUAAGAAAGAUUUACCUAGUAAGGAUGAAAUUAUUGGUCUUGCUUCUAUUGUUUUACCUACUACAGAUCCCUUAGUAUAAUAUUUGUUAGACCAUGAAAAUGAUUUUGAUAUGCGUGAAAGAAAUGAAAUAGAUAGAAUCUUUUUCGAACAACAACCUCUGCAUAAACACAAUCUUCCAAUUGAAACUCUAGGAGGUACUCCUCCACCUAAAGGUGAUCCUGUGUUUGAAUUAAAAUAAUUGCCAGACACUUUGAAAUAUGCUUAUCUUGCUGAGAAAAAUAUAUGUUAUUAUUAGUGCUAACAUUUUAGAACAUGAAGAAGAAAUAUUAUUGAAAGUUCUAAGGAAGCACCAAGCUGCUAUUGGAUAUACUCUUGAUGAUCUUAAGGGCAUUAGUCACACUCUAUGUCAGCACAAGAUUAAUAUGGAACCUGAUGCUAAACCCGUUGUUGAUCACCAACGUCGGUUAAAUCUGAAGAUGGAAGAAGUGGUAAGAACGGAAAUAUUGAAACUUCUGGAAGCAGGUAUAAUCUAUCCUAUAACUGAUAGUAGAUUGUUCAUUGUGUCCCUAAGAAGGGAGGUAUUACUGUUGUUCCUAAUGAUAAUAAUGAGCUUAUUCCACAAAGAAUUGUCAUAGGCUAUAGGAUGGUAAUUGAUUAUAGAAAAUUAAACAAAGCAACUAGGACAGAUCAUUACCCUCUGCCUUUUAUUGAUCAAAUGUUAGAAAGAUUAUCUAAGCACACACAUUUUUGCUUCCUUGAUGGAUAUUCUGGUUUUUCAAAAAAUACAUGUCUCACAACCCGAUCAAGAAAAGACCACUUUUACUUGUCCUUUUGGAACUUAUGCUUAUAGACGUAUGCCUUUUGGUCUAUGCAAUGCACCUGGUACCUUUCAAAUAUGUAUGACUGUAAUAUUCUCCGAUUAUUGUGAAAAGAUUGUUGAGAUUUUCCUGGAUGACAUUUCUGUUUAUGGGAAGUCUUUUGAUGAUUUUUUAAGCAAUCUUGAUCGAGUUUUGCAGAGAUGUGAACUAACAAAUCUUGUCUUGAAUUGGGAGAAGUGCCACUUUAUGGUUAAGAAGGUAUCAUUUUGGGCCAUAAAAUUUCUGAAAGAGGCAUUGAGGUGGACAAAGCCAAGGUUGAUGCAAUUGAGAAAAUGCCAUGUCCUAAAGAUAUCAAAGUUAUUCAUAGUUUCCUUGGUCAUGCUGGUUUAUAUAGGAGGUUUAUCAAAGACUUUUCUAAAAUUUCUAGGCCUCUUACAAAUCUUUUGCAAAAGGAUAUUCCUUUUGUGUUUGAUGAUGAUUGUUUGGAAGCCUUCAAAAUACUAAACAAAGCCUUAAUUACGGCACCUAUUGUUCAACCACCUGGUUGGAACUUGCCUUUUGAGAUUAUGUGUGAUGCUAGUGAUUAUGUUGUUGGUGCUGUUCUAGGACAAAGAGUUGAUAAGAAAUCAAAUGUUAUCCAUUAUGCUAGUAAAACUCUGGACAGUGCUCAACGAAAUUAUGCUACUACAGAAAAAGAAUUCUUAGUAGUGGUGUUUGCUUGUGAUAAAUUGAGAUCUUACAUCGUUGAUUCUAAAGUGAUAGUUCACACCGAUCAUGCUGCUAUAAAAUAUCUUAUGAAAAGAAAGAUGCUAAACCUAUACUCAUUAGGUGGGUUCUUCUGCUACAAGAAUUUGAUUUGCAUAUGACUGAUAGGAAAGGAGCAGAGAACCUCGUAGCAGAUGACUUGUCUAGGCUUGAAAAUAUUCUUGAUGACCCACAACCUAUUUAUGAUAGCUUUCUUGAUGAACAGUUAGUUGCAAUAAAUGUUUCUAAUAGUACACCUUGGUAUGCUGACUAUGCUAAUCAUAUUGUUUGCUAAAUACAUACCACCUAGCUUUACAUACCAACAAAAGAAAAAAAUUCUUCUAUGAUUUAAGACAUUACUUUUGGGAUGACCCACAUCUUUAUAAAGUAGGAGAUGGUAUUAUUAGACGUUGUGUACCUGAGCAUAAACAGGAACAAAUCCUACGGAAAUGUCACAUCGAGGCUUAUGGAGGACAUCACGCGGGAGACAAAACCGCUCAUAAGGUAUUUCAAUCAGAUUUUAUUGGCCUACUCUCUUCAAGGAUGCUCGUAAGUUCAUCUUGUCUUGUGAUGAAUGUCAAAGAAUAGGUAAUAUCGGUAAGCGUCAAGAAAUGCCUAUGAAUUAUUCACUUGCUGUUGAACCAUUUGACGUUUGGGGACUUGAUUUCAUGGGACCUUUUCCUUCCUCUGAUGGGUAUACUCAUAUUUUGGUUGUUGUUGAUUUGUUACUAAGCGGGUACAAGCUAUUCCAACCAGUAGUACUGAUCACAACACCUCUAUUAAAAUGCUUAAGGAAGUUAUUUUCCCAAGGUUCCAGGUCCCUAGAUAUUUCAUGAUUGAUGAUGGUUCACACUUUAUUCAUGGUGAUUUCCGUAAAAUGCUUGCUAAGUAUGAUGUUAACCAUAGAGUUGCAUCACCUUAUCAUCCUCACUCUAGUGGCCAAGUUGAACUUAGCAAUAGAGAAAUAAAAAUAAUAUUACAAAAGACUGUCAAUAGGUCCCAAAAAUUGGUCUAAGAAACUAGCUGAUGCACUUUGGGCUUAUAGAACAUCAUAUAAAAAUCCUAUGGGUAUGUCUCCUUAUAAAAUGGUUUGUGGAAAAGCUUGUCAUUUGCCUCUUGAGUUAGAACAUAAAGCACAUUGGGAAAUUAAAGAACUCAAUUAUGAUUUUAAAAUUGCUGGUGAAAAGAGGCUAUUUGAUAUUAGCUCAUUAGAUGAAUGGAGAACCCAAGCUUAUGAAAAUGCAAAGUUAUUCAAAAAAAGGGUUAAAAGAUGGCAUGACAAAAGAAUCCAAAAGCGUGAGUUCAAAGUUGGAGAAUAUGUUAUUUUGUAGAACUCUCGUUUCAGAUUCUUUGCAGGAAAACUCCUCUCCACAUGGGAAGGACCCUAUGUUAUCGGGGAGGUUUAUCGAUCCGGAGCUAUCAAUAUAAAUACUGCCGAAGGUACUAACACGAAGGUUGUUAAUGGGAAACGAAUAAAACAUUAUAUCUCAGGUAUGCCCAUUAAUGUUAAAAGCAAUAUUAUGCAAACUAUGACACCGAAAGAACACAUAAAAGAAACUUUCUGGAACACUCCAGGAUCGUGAAAAAAGGGAGGUACGUGAUACGGUAAGUAAACGGACUCCGAAAAAUCCGCAAAAAUAUUUUUUGUCAGUUUUGGAAUAUUUAAAAAAUUAGGAAAAUAAGAAACUUCCAGGAAAGUGAUCCUGGUGGGCACGAUACACCAAGGCGCGCCUGGCUUGCGAAGCGCGCCGGUGGGUUGUGCCCACCUCUGGUACUUUCCGGACUCCGUUUUCUUCCGUUCUACUUGUUCCCCAAGAUAAAAAAUCUUUAUAUACACCCCCCCCCGAACCUGUUGACCUCUGUAUCGCGGAGAAAUCUCUUGUUUUCUUUUCUUGCUAUUUUCUGUCAGAUCCAAUCCACCAUGGCCGCUUCAAGCUCCUCCAAGGACAAGUUCUUCAACAACGUCAUCAACCCAUAUCUGCGGGAAGUGAUGCAGCACCCUCAAGCUAUCCAGAUGCGCGAUAGGGUGCUGCACAUCCGCGAUGUGCAAGGACCCAUGGGGACUGGAUCAAUGGAGGCCAGGCUUGAAGCUAUGGAGCAGGAAGUCUUCCAGUGCAAGGGGAUGGUUGAACAUGGACUCAAUGCCAAUCACCCCAUGAUCGCAGACUACACCCGUGAUCUCAAGGUGGAUGGCAAGUCCAUGAAGGACAUUGUCUUCUCCCUCAACGAGCAAAUCAACUUCCUCCAUAGCCAGAUCCACGACCUUCAAAGGCAAGUCUUUGAAUAUGAGGCAAGGUUUAAAGGUAUGAGUUUGGCUGCCAUUUGCAGGAUCCGAGAGACUCACUCUUCCUUUUAUGAUGGUGAGCAUCUGUCGUGGAAACAUGAGGACAAGAUUGCUUCUACUUCAUCACCACCACCUCCUUCUUCAUCACCAAAAGAAAAUUGAGUAUCGGGUAUGGGCACUCCCCUUGUCUUUCGCAAAGCUUGGGGGAGGUGCCCCGGUACCAUAUCAUAUCCACUAUCUUUUGCCUUUAGUUUUCUUAGUUCAAUCCAUGGUUAUCUUUUGCUUUAGAUGAAUAAGAGUUUAGUUCGAUCCUUUCUUUUUGAGAGUUUGCUUAGUGAUCAGUCUUUGUAAUCGUGUGCGAGAUAUAUAAUAAAGUUUAGUUUGAGUUUUGCUUUCUUUACUUUCUUGUUUCAAUAAAAAGGAAGGAAAUAAAUGAAAAAGAUCAUAUGCUAAUCUUAUGGUAAGUGAUGACAUUACACAAGGAAAAGUAUAAGUAGAAAAUUUUAUUGUAGAUUGACAAACAUAGCAUUGGUCAAUGAUGCAACUCAUGAAAGAAUUAAUAAGGGAAGAGAAGAUUCACAUGCAAAUACACUAUCCUAGAAAUCUUUUGUGAUUGUGAGAACCCAUCAAAAUAUUAUAUGCCAAAUUUGUUGACAUUGGACAAGGAAGACAACGUAAUGAUUUAUGUUUGUUAAUAUUCACAUAGAAGUUAUAUUGUCAUUGAUCCUUCAACAUGUGGUGCUUGCCCCUAUCUUUGCUAGCCAAAAACUCCGCACUAAGUAGAGAUACUACUUGUGCAUUCAAAACCCUUUAAACCCAAAUCUUGUUUGAGAGUACACCAUACCUACCUAUGGAUUGAGUAAGAUCCUUCAAGUAGGUUGUCAUCGGUGAAAAAGGGCAAUAAAAAUUGCUUCUAAAGUGUAAGAUAAUUCAGUGUAAGGGAGAAUUGAGCGUUGUACGAACUUGUGAUGGCGUAGAAUAAAAGCGAUAGACUGCAUAAUAAAGGUUGCCAUCAUACGGGGCAAUAUAACAUGACGUUCUCUUGCACUAAGGGGUUGAGCAUACAAACAAAAAGUGCAUGGCAACCUCUGCUUCCCUCUGCGAAGGGCCUUCUUUUAGUUUCAUGUAUUUAAUUUCAUGAAAGAGUCAAAUUUCUUCUCUCUAUUCCUUUUUAUUUUCUCCUUUGGCAAGCAUCAUGUGGUGAGGAAAGAUCUAGGCACAUAUAUCCAGUUGAAUAUGGGUAGCAUGAGUUAUUAUUAUUGACAUCACCCUUGAGGUGAAUGCGUUGGGAGGCGAAACUAUAAGCCGAUAUCUUUCUAUGUGUCUGGUUGGAAUGUUUUGGUCAUCUGUACGCGGUGAGUGUUAGCAAUCAUAGAAGACUAAAUGAUGUUUGAGUAUGUGGACUUGCCUAAAGGCUCCAAUACGUGACCCUUCCUGAAAAGAUGAUGAAUUGUAGUUGCAAAGUUGACCGAGAACAUAGUUUGUUGGUUUCCAAUAGAGUUUAAGCUUUAUAAUUUGAUGUUGUGAUGAAUUGUCACUUGUUCAUGAGAAGUCUAUGAUAAAAGUUCUAUGAUAAAAGUUUUAUGUUAAAGUUAGUUGCUGUUAUAAUAAGUUACAUGAUGCUGCUAUGUCCUUAUUUUUGUUUUCAUCAACACCUCUCUCUCUCUCUCUCUCUAAGCAUGUGGACAUGUUUUUCGAUUUCGGUUUUCGCUUGAGCACAAGCGAGGUCUAAGCGUGGGGGAGUUGAUACGUCCAUUUUGCAUCAUGUUUACCUACUAUUAUUUAUGUUGUUUUAUUGUAUAAUAAUGCUUUUUGGAGUAAUUCUAAUGCCUUUUCUCUCAUAAGAUGCAAGGUACACACAAAGGGGGAGAAUUCUGGCAGCUGGAAAUCUGGACCUAAAAAAGCUACGACAGGAUACCUAUUCUACACAACUCCAAAUGAGCUUAAACUUUACGAGGAUUUUUUAUGGAAUAUUUGAGGAAUAUUGGAGCAAAUAAGUACCAGAGGGGGCCCGCCAGGUGGGCACAACCCACCUGGGCACGCCAGGGAGCCCAGGUGUGCCCUGGUGGGUUGUGCUCGCCCAGGCCCACCUCCGGUGCCCCUCUUCUGGUAUAUAAGUCAUUGUGACCUAGAAAAAAUAAGGAGAGGACUUUCAGGACAAAGCGCCUCUGUCUCGAGGUGGAACCUGGGUAGGAGCACUUUUACCCUCCGGCGGCGCGAUUCCGCCGGGGGAACUUCCCUCCCGGAGGGGUAAAUCAUCGUCAUCAUCAUCACCAACCACUCUCCCAUCUUGGGGAGGGCUAUCUUCAUCAACAUCUUUAAUAGAACCAAAUGCUCUCAAACCCUAGUUCAUCUCGUGUGUUCAAUCUUUGCACUGGAACUAUAGAUUGGUGCUUGUGGGUGACUAGUAGCGUUGAUUACAUCUUGUAGUUGAUUACUAUAUGGUUUAUUUGGUGGGAGAUUAUAUGUUCAGAUACAUUAUGUUAUUUAAUACCCCUAUUUUCUUGAGCAUGAUUACCAUUUGUGAGUAGUUACUUUUGUUCUUGAAGUCACGGGAGAAGUCUUGUUGCAAGUAAUCAUGUGAACUUGAUAUGUGUUCGAUAUUUUGAUGAUAUGUAUGUUGUGAUUCCCUUAGUGGUGUCAUGUGAACAUCGACUACAUGACACUUCACCAUAUUUGAGCCUAAGGGAAUGCAUUGUGGAGUUGUCAUUAGAUGAUGGGUUGCGAGAGUGACAGAAGCUUAAACCCUAGUUUAUGCGCUAUUCCGUAAGGGACCAAUUGGAUCCAAGAGUUUAAUGCUAUAGUUAGAAUUUAUUCUUAAUACUUUUCUCGUAGUUGCGGAUGCUUGCGAGAGGGUUAAUCAAAAGUAGGAGGUUUGUUCAAGUAAGAACAGCACUGAAGCACCGGUCUACCCACAUACCAAAUUAUCAAAGUAGCGAACACGAAUUAAGCCAACAUGAUAAAAGUGACUAGAUGAAAUUCCCGUGUACCCUCAAGAACACUUUGCUUAUCAUAAGAGACCGUUUUGGCCUAUCCUUUGCCUCAAAAGGAUUGGGCUACCUUGUUGCACUUUUGUUACUACUAUCGUUACUUGCUUGCUACAAAUUAUCUUGCUAUCAAACUACUCUGCUACUAACAAUUUUAGCACUUGCAGACAUUACCUUGCUGAAAACCACUUGCCAUUUCCUUCUGCUCCUCGUUGGGUUCGACACUCUUACUUAUUGAAAAGGCUACAAUUGACCCCAUAAACUUGUGGGUCAUCAGAUACGAGUCCAUGGAAGGUCCUUUGCCAAAUGUAUUAUAGAUAUAGCCAACUUUGACUGUUUCGACAUCACCAAAAGCAUUAUUCACCAUCAAGAAUGCGUUACUGCAGUAAAGAUACACAAAUGGGAUCAAAAAAUAAAGUAAAAAUAAAACACACAAAAAGGAUGAAGGACAUACACAUAAAACUUACUCGUUGUAUUUGGUUACAAAAUCUUGGCUGAGAACGAGAUCCUUUAUUAUCCUCGCCUCAUCAAUAUAUUUGAAGCUCGGAGGCCUCAAUUUCUCUAUAGAGCCUCUCAACUUAAAAGCCCUCUCACCUACCCUCUUGUUCGAAAUAUUUGAGCCUCAUCAACGGGAGGACGAUUGAUUGUUGCAUGUCCUAGUGACGCGUGGCACUGGCGUAACAAAAUCAUCAUCCACAUGAACUAUCUCAUGCGGAGAGCCAGGUCGAUCAACAAUUCCAGCACCAGGUCCAGAUGCCACGUCUAUAUUCGAUCCAUCUCCACACAAAGAACCAGAAUUCCCUGGAGAGAUUCAAUGGAAAAAUCCUCCAUAACUACCUCUUAACCCUGGGACUCUAAAGUGAUGUACAGCCUCCAUGAAGACCACCAUCAAAAGUUGAUAACGAGGAGAAAAAACAUGGGAACACUCAGCCCAAAACCAGAACCAAAAACAUUAAAUGCAGCUCAAUAAUAUAAAAAAUGCAGUUCACUAAAGGACAGAAUGCAACUAUCUUAUAUAGAACAAUGAAGCGCACUUGUCUAGAACAAUGCAGCCCACUUGCCCUGAAUAAUGCAGCUCAAUUGUCUACAACAAUGCAGCUCAAUUACACAACAAUACGUAGCCCCUCCACUGUCAAACACGUAUUCACUACCACACUAAUAAAAUAAAACCUUAAGAAGCGGAAGCAAGUAGUAGACAAAAAAUAAGGGAAAUAAAGCAGUUCACUAACACAACCUUUAUCAGCAAAAAUUAAAAAUGACGAUUACUCAAGGGAACACUUUGUCGAUGUGAGAUAGCUAUAGAGCAUGGCCUUUCUAAUGCAGCCAAUGUGCUACACCCCAAACUGAGCAACUCGAACACCAUCCCAAGUCUGCAAGAAUUGAAACAUAUAGAAUCCACAAUCAUUCUUGCAAAAAAAGAACAAAAAACAUUAGUUUCACAUAAAAAUAUAAAAUAACAAUUGAGGAGUAUGCUGGAGAGGGGCUACAAGGAACAUACCCAUUUGGCUGAAUUGGGACAACCACUUGUUUCAAUGCAAAUCCAUCAAGUGUAGGACGAUUUAGCGGCUCAGCAGAACUUGAGCUACCUUCUUUCCAUGCACGCUUGAUAUUUUUAACCAUCCACCUUAAAAUCCUGUUCGCUUCAGAGCUGCCAAGUUUAUUGAGCGAGUCAAGGAAUUCAAACCGCCUUUCCUUCACAUUCAAGGCAACUACACAAUAAUGACCAACAUCAUCCCUUGUCUCUGGCGGAUCAAAUGUUGCAAACAGGACCUGUUGGAAGUAAAAAAUAAAUAAAAGUAUUACAAGAACAAGAAAGGGAACACUAUAAAACCAACACACAAACAUGGUUUUGGACACAUAAAAACAUUACUCACCAUAUCUUUCUUAUCGACACGCUCAUCAGCUUUUGAAGAGAACAUCAAUUUCACACUCCUGCCUACACUACCACCUUUCCAAAUACUUUCCUGCCAAAAAAAACCAAACAAGAAACAGUGUUCAAGCAAACAAGUCAUCACAGGAAAUCAAAAAAGAGAAUCAAAAAAGAAACAAAAUUUAUGCAUGCUUACACAAAUAUGGUACAGGACAAUCAUCGUUGGAGAUCCAUUAAACUUAUCUACCAGCAAAGAAACCCCAAGAUCUACAAGUCAUGUAGAGCAUCCCUUUAUCCCAAAGAGAUUGACCAACUUCGCCAAUGGAAAUAUCGGCCAACUCAGUUUUGAAAGCCAUCAUGUCCCUAAUUUUUUUUUGAAAAACUGAAACAUAAGAUACUACAAAAAUAACAAGAACGAGAAAGGGGAAAGACCGUGAUUAGAAAAUACAUAUUAAAAAAUAAUUUAUAAAAAUUCAUACUUCUUCUUUUUUGUCCCUCCGAGCCCUCGUAACAGCAGUGUACAACUCAUUGUAUCUUCUGAGAAGAGUUGGAUCAAUGCUCGACGGUGUCACAACAGGAAGUUCGUCCUCUGUAAUAAAAAAUAAGGGAACAAAUAAAAGAUGAAGUUCACUUAUCUAAAAAAAUGAGGUUCAGUUGUAAUAUAAGGAAAUGUGCUAGCUAGCAACUAUUUUGAAAAUUACCAACAAAAGAAGAAGUUUCACUUAUCAUUAAACAUCUAAUGCAGCUACCAUAGUAACUAAAAAAUGAAUGAGAAAAACUUCAACUUCACUGUUCGAAACAAAACACUUGCCUUCAGUGUCAGAGUUUGUUCUUCAGAGCUAACCAAAACAUUUUCUUGGCUAGGUUGCGAUGAAACCACCACAGCCUCACUCGACUGCCCUACUAUAGCAACACCAGCAUUGUCUGGAUUUUCAAUAGUCUGGUCAACCGCAACGUCCUCAGAUAGUUUAGAUACAUGAGGCUCUACUCUGAAUACAUCAGGAACAUCAUUGGACGCCAGAAAAAUAGGAGAAACAGCAACACUACCAGCAGGAAUGACAUUCUCUAGCGGCUUUUAAAUGCCAACAUCAAAAUCUUCAUGAUGACUAGGGGCAACAGCAUGGUGGGAUUCCUGAGCUACAGAAGGUUCUGCAUUGUCAACGACAACCGAUACAGAAGCAUUCGCACUGCCAACCGAUUGACGAACUUCUACGUUUUCAUCUCCAGGCUGUAAAAAGUUAAAGAAAGCCACAAUAACACAAAUGAGCAAGGGGAGAAUUAAUGAUACAUAUCCAACAUAUCUAUAAUUUUUGAUAGUUCCAUGCUAUUAUAUUAUCAGUUUUUGAUGUUUAGUAGGCAUUUACAUGCUAUUGUAUAUUAUUUUUGGGACUAACCUAUUAACCGAGAGCCCAGUGCAUGUUUUUGUUUUUUUUCUAUUUUAGAUUUUCGCAGAAAAGGAAUACCAAAUGGAGUCCAAACAGAAUGAAACUUUCAUGAUGAUCUUUCUUGGACUAGAAGGAAAUCAGAAGACUUGGAUAUGAAGUCGGAGACGCAAUGGGGCGGCCACGAGGCAGGAGGUGAAGGAAAUAUGCCCUAGAGGCAAUAAUAAAGUUAUUAUUUAUUUCCUUAUAUCAUGGUAAAUGUUUAUUAUUCAUGCUAGAAUUGUAUUAACCGGAAACAUAAUACAUGUGUGAAUACAUAGACAAACAGAGUGUCACUAGUAUGCCUCUACUUGACUAGCUUGUUGAUCAAAGAUGGUUAUGUUUCCUAACCAUAGACAUGUGUUGUCAUUUGAUUAACGGGAUCACAUCAUUAGGAGAAUGAUGUGAUUGACAUGACCCAUUCCGUUAGCUUAGCACACGAUCAUUUAGUAUAUUGCUAUUGCUUUCUUCAUGACUUAUACAUGUUCCUGUAACUAUGAGAUUAUGCAACUCCCAUUUACCGGAGGAACACUUUGGGUGCUACCAAAUGUCACAACGUAACUGGGUGAUUAUAAAGGGGUACUAUAGGUGUCUCCAAAGGUACAUGUUGGGUUGGCGUAUUUCAAGAUUAGGUUUUGUCACUCCGAUUGUCGGAGAGGUAUCUCUGGGCCCUCUCGGUAAUGCACAUCACUAUAAGGCUUGCAAGCAAUGUAGCUAAUGAGUUAGUUAUGGAAUGAUGCAUUACGUAAUGAGUAAAGAGACUUGCCGGUAACGAGAUUGAACUAGGUAUUGGAUACCGACGAUCGAAUCUCGGGCAAGUAACAUACCGAUGACAAAGGGAACAACGUAUGUUGUUAUGCGGUUUGACCGAUAAAGAUCUUCAUAGAAUAUGUAGGAACCAAUAUGGGCAUCCAGGUUCCGCUAUUGGUUAUUGACCGAGAAUAGUUCUAGGUCAUGUCUACAUAGUUCUCGAACCCGUAGGGUCCGCACGCUUAAUGUUACGAUGAUAGUUUUAUUAUGAGUUUAUAAGUUUUGAUGUACCAAAGUUUGUUCGGAGUCCCGGAUGUGAUCUCGGACGUGACGAGGAGUCUCGAAAUGGUCGAGACAUAAAGAUCGAUAUAUUGCAAGCCUAUAUUUGGACAUCGGAAUCGUUCCGGGUGAAAUCGGCAUUUUACCGGAGUACCGGGAGGUUACCGGAACCCCCCGGAGGGUUAUUGGGCCUACAUGGGCCUCGAGGGAGAAGAGGGAAGGAGGCAGGAGGUGGCCGCGUGCCCCUCCCCUUCCUAGUCCGAAUAGGACAAGGGAAGGGGUGCGACGCCCCCCCUUUCCUUCCCCUCUUCCUCCUCUUUCCCCUUCCUCCUUCUCCAACUAGGAAAGAAAGGGAGUCCUACUCCCGGUGGGAGUAGGACUCCCCCCUGGCGCGCCCCUCCUUGGCCGGCCGCCCCCUCCCCUUGGCUCCUUUAUAUACGGGGGCGGGGGGCACCCCAUAGACACACAAGUUGAUCUACAGAUCAUUCCUUAGCCGUGUGCGGUGCCCCCCUCCACCAUAUUCCACCUCGGUCAUAUCGUCGCGGAGUUUAGGCGAAGCCCUGUGCCGGUAGAACAUCAUCAUCGUCACCACGCCAUCGUGCUGACGGAACUCAUCUCGGGAGCUUUGCUGGAUCGGAGCCCGGAGAUCGUCAUCGAGCUGAACGUGUGCAGAACUCGGAGGUGCCGUACGUUCGGCGCUUGGAUCGGUCGGAUCGUGAAGACGUACGACUACAUCAACCGCGUUGUGCUAACGCUUCCGCUUACGGUCUAUGAGGGUACAUGGACAACACUCUCCCCUCUCGUUGCUAUACCAUCACCAUGAUCUUGCGUGUGCGUAGGAAAUUUUUUGAAAUUACUACGUUCCCCAACAGUGGCAUCCGAGCCAGGUUUUAUGCGUUGAUGUUAUAUGCACGAGUAGAACACAAGUGAGUUGUGGGCGAUACAAGUCAUACUGCUUACCAGCAUGUCAUACUUUGGUUCAGCGGUAUUGUUGGAUGAAGCGGCCCGGACCGACAUUACGCGUACGCUUACGCGAGACUGGUUUUACCACCGUGCUUUGCACACAGGUGACUAGCGGGUGUCUGUUUCUCCAACUUUAGUUGAACCGAGUGUAGCUACGCCCGGUCCUUGCAAAGGUUAAAACAGCACUAACUUGACGAACUAUCGUUGUGGUUUUGAUGCGUAGGUAAGAACGGUUCUUGCUCAGCCCGUAGCAGCCACGUAAAAUUUGCAACAACAAAGUAGAGGACGUCUAACUUGUUUUUGCAGGGCAUGUUGUGAUGUGAUAUGGUCAAGACGUGAUGAGAUAUAAGUUGUUGUAUGAGAUGAUCAUGUUUUGUUGAAGUUAUCGGAAACUGGCAGAAGCCCUAUGGUUGUCUCUUUGUUUCAUAAAGAUGCAAGUGCCAAAUAUUUGCUUUACAUUAUCGCUGUGCGAUAGCAAUAGUUGCAAGAGCAAUAGUUGGCGAGACGACCAUGUGAGGACACAUUGAUAUAGAUCAAGAUGAUGAAGAUCAUUGUGUCGUGCCGGUGACGAUAGAGAUCAUGACAGUACUUUGGAGAUGGAGAUCAAAGGCGCAAGAUGAUCAUGGCCAUAUCAUGUCACAUAUUUUGAUUGCAUAUGAUGUUUAUCUGUUAUACAUCUUAUCUUGCUUUGUUUGAUGGUAGCAUUUUAAGAUGAUCUCUCACUAAUUAUCAAGAAGUGUUCUCCCUGAGUAUGCACCGUUGCGAAAGUUCUUCGUGCUGAGACACCACGUGAUGAUCGGGUGUGAUAGGCUCUACAUUCAAAUACAACGGGUGCAAAACAGUUGCACACGCGGAAUACUCAGGUUAAACUUGACGAGCCUAGCAUAUACAGAUAUGGCCUCGGAACACGGAGACCGAAAGGUCGAACGUGAAUCAUAUAGUAGAUAUGAUCAACAUAGUGAUGUUCACCAUUGAAACUACUCCAUCUCAUGUGAUGAUCGGACAUGGUUUAGUUGAUUUGGAUCACGUGAUCACUUAGAUGACUAGAGAGAUGUCUGUCUAAGUGGGAGUUCUUAAGUAAUAUGAUUAAUUGAACUUUAAUUUAUCAUGAACUUAGUCCUGGUAGUAUUUUGCAAAUUAUGUUAUAGAUCAAUAGCUCGCGUUGUUGCUUUCAUAUGUUUAUUUUGAUAUGUUCCUAGAGAAAAUUGUGUUGAAAUAUGUUAGUAGCAAUGAUGCGGAUUGGAUCCGUGAUCCGAGGUUUAUCCUCAUUACUGCACAGAAGAAUUAUGUCCUUAAUGCACCGCUAGGUGACAGACCUAUUGCAGGAGCAGAAGCAGACGUUAUGAACGUUUGGCUAGCUCAAUAUGAUGACUACUUGAUAGUUUAGUGCACCAUGCUUAACGGCUUAGAAUCGGGACUUCAAAGACGUUUUGAACGUCAUGGACCAUAUGAGAUGUUCCAGGAGUUGAAGUUAAUAUUUUAAGAAAAUACCCGAGUUGAGAGAUAUGAAGUCUCCAACAAGUUCUAUGGCUAAAAGAUGGAGGAGAAUCGCUCAACUAGUGAGCAUGUGCUCAGAUUGUCUGGGUACUUCAAUCGCUUGAAUCAAGUGGGAGUUAAUCUUCCAGAUAAGAUAGUGAUUGUCAGAAUUCUCUAGUCACCAUUACUAAGUUACUAGAACUUCGUGAUGAACUAUAGUAUGCAAGGGAUGACGAAAACGAUUCCCGAGCUCUUCGUGAUGUUGAAAUCGACGAAGGUAGAAAACAAGAAAGAGCAUCAAGUGUUGAUGACUAACAAAGAUCACUAGUUUCAAGAAAAGGGCAAAGGGAAAGAAAGGGAAUCUUCAAGUAGAAUGGCAAACAAGUUGUCACUCCCGUGAAGAAGACCAAAGCUGGACCAAAGCCUGAAACUGAGUGCUUACACUGCAAAAGAAAUGGUCACUGGAAGCGGAAAUGCCCUGAAUAUUUGGUGGAUAAGAAGGAUGGCAAAGUGAACAAGGGUAUAUUUGAUAUACAGGUUAUUGAUGUAUGCCUUACUAGUGUUUAUAGUAGCCCCUGAGUAUUUGAUACUUGUUCAGUUGCUAAGAUUAGUAACUCGAAACAGGAGUUACAGAAUAAACAGAGACUAGUUGAAGGGCGAAGUGACGAUGAGUGUUGGAAAUAGUUCCAAGAUUGAUAUGAUCAUCAUCGCACACUCCCUAUACUUUCGGGAUUAGUGUUAAACCUAAAUAAAUGUUAUUUGGCGUUUGGAUUGAGCAUGAAUAUGAUUUGAUCAUGUUUAUUGCAAUACGGUUAUUCAUUUGAAGUUAAAGAAUAAUUGUUAUUCUGUUUACAUGAAUAAGACCUUCGAUGGUUAUACACCCAAUGAAAAUAGUUUGUUGGAUCUUGAUCGUAGUGAUACACAUAUUCAUAAUAUUGAUGCCAAAAGAUGCUAAGUUAAUAAUGAUAGUGCAACUUAUUUGUGGCACUGCCGUUUGGGUCAUAUCGGUGUAGAGUGCAUGAAGAAACUCCAUAAAGAUGGAUUUUUGGAAUCACUUGGUUAUGAAUCAUUUGAUGCUUGCAAACCGUGCCUUUUUGGGCAAGAUGACAAAAACUCCAUUCUCCGGAACAAUGGAACAAGCUACUGACUUAUUGGAAAUAAUACAUACUGAUGUAUGCGAUCCAAUGAGUGUUGAUGCUCGUGGCAAGUAUCGUUAUUUUCUGACCUUCACAAGAUGAUUUGAGCAGAUAUGGGUAUAUCUACUUGAUGAAACAUAAGUCUGAAAUAGUUGAAAGGUUCAAAGAAUUUUAGAGUGAAGUGGAAAAAUCAUCGUAACAAGAAAAUAAAGUUUCUGCGAUCUGAUCGCGGAGACGAAUAUUUGAGUUACGAGUUUGGUCUUCAAUUAAAACAAUGUGGAAUAGUUUCACAGCUCACGCCACCUGGAACACCGCAACAUUAUGGUGUGUCCGAACGUCGUAACCGCACUUUAUUGGAUAUGGUGCGAUCUAUGAUGUCUCUUAUUAAUUUACCAUUAUUGUUUUGGGGUUAUGCAUUAGAGACAGCUGCAUUCACGAUUAAAAGGGCACCAUCUAAAUCCGUUGAGACGACACUAUAUGAACUGUGGUUUAGCAAGAAACCAAAGUUGGCGUUUCUUAAAGUUUGGGGCUAUGAUGCUUAUGUGAAAGGUUUUUCAACCUGAUAAGCUCAAACCCAAAUUGGAGAAGUGCGUCUUCAUAGAAUACCCAAAGGAAACUGUUGGGUACUCCUUCUAUCACAGAUCCGAAGGCAAAACAUUCGUUGCUAAGAAUGGAUCCUUUCUGGAGAAGGAAUUUCUCUCGAAAGAAGUGAGUGGGAGGAAAGUAGAACUUGAUAAGGUAAUUGUACCUUCUCCUGAAUUGGAAAAUAGUUCAUCACUGAAAUUAGUUCUAGUGAUUCCUACACCAAUUAGUGAGGAAGCUAAUGAUGAUGAUCAUGAAACUUCUGAUCAAGUUACUACAGAACCUCGUAGGUCUUCCAGAGUACAGUCCGCACCAGAGUGGUACGGUAAUCCUGUUCUGAAAGUCAUGUUACUUGACCAUGAUAAACCUACGAACUAUGAGGAAGCGAUGAUGAGCCCAGAUUCCGCAAAAUGGCUGGAGGCCAUGAAAUCUGAGAUAGGAUCCAUGUAUGAGAACAAAGUGUGGACUUUGGUGGACUUGCCCGAUGAUCGGCAAACCAUAGAAAAAAAAUGGAUCUUCAAGAGGAAGACGGACGUUGAUAGUAGUGUUACUAUCUACAAAGCUCGACUUGUCGCAAAAAGGUUUUCGACAAGUUCAAGAUGUUGACUACAAUGAUAUUUUCUCAACUGUAGCGAUGCUUAAGUCUGUCCGAAUCAUGUUAGCAAUUGCCACAUUUUUUGAAAUCUGGCAAAAGGAUGUCAAAACUGCAUUUCUUAAUGGAUUUAUUAAAGAAGAGUUGUAUAUGAUGCAACCAGAAGGUUUUGUCAAUCCUAAAGGUGCUAACAAAGUGUGCAAGCUCCAGCGAUCCAUUUAUGGACUGGUGCAAGCCUCUCGGAGUUGGAAUAUAUGCUUUGAUGAGUUGAUCGAAGCAUUUGGUUUUAUACAGACUAUUGGAGAAGCCUGUAUUUACAAGAAAGUGAGUGGGAGCACUACAGCAUUUCUGAUAAGUAUAUGUGAAUGACAUAUUGUUGAUCGGAAAUAAUGUAGAAUUAUUCUGCAAAGCAUAAAGGAGUGUUUGAAAGGAGUUCUUUAAAAGAAAGACCUCAGUAAAGCUACUUACAUAUUGAGCAUCAAGAUCUAUAGAGAUAGAUCAAGACGCUUGAUAAGUUUUUCAAUAAAUACAUACCUUGACAAAAUUUUGAAAUAGUUCAAAAUAGAACAGUCAAAGAAAGAGUUCUUGCCUGUGUUGCAAAGGUAUGAAAUUGAGUAAGACUCAAAUCCCGACCACAGCAGAAAAUAGAAAGAGAAUGAAAGUCAUUCCCUAUGCAUCAGUCAUAGGUUCUAUAAAAGUAUGCCAUGCUAUGGACCAGACCUAUUGUAUACUCUGCCUUGGUUUGGCAAGGGAGUACAAUAGUGAUCUAGAAGUAGAUCACUAGGCAUUGGUCAAAAUUGUCCUUAGUGGAAUAAGGAUAUCUUUCUCAAUUAUGGAGGUGACAAAAGGUUCGUCGUAAAGGGUUACAUCGAUACAAGUUUUGGCACUGAUCCAGAUGACUCAAAGUCGCAAUCCGGAUACAUAUUGAAAGUGGGAGCAAUUAGCUAGAGUAGCUCCGUGCAGAGCAUUGUAGACAUAGAAUAUUUGCAAAAUACUUACGGCUCUGUAUGUGACAGACCCGUUGACUAAACUUCUCUCACAAGCAAAACAUGAUCAUACCUUAGUACUCUUUGGGUGUUAAUCACAUAGCAAUGUGAACUAGAUUGUUGACUCUAGUAAACCCUUUGGGUGUUGGUCACAUGACGAUGUGAACUAUGGGCUAUGGGUGUUAAUCAUAUACAGAUAUGAAUAUUGGUGUUAAAUCACAUGAUGAUGUGAACUAGAUUAUUGACUCUAGUGCAAGUGGGGGACUGAAGGAAAUAUGCCCUAGAGGCAAUAAUAAAGUUAUUAUUUAUUUCCUUAUAUCAUGAUAAAUGUUUAUUAUUCAUGCUAUAAUUGUAUUAACCGGAAACAUAAUACAUGUGUGAAUACAUAGACAAACAAAGUGUCACUAGUAUGCCUCUACUUGACUAGCUUGUUGAUCAAAGAUGGUUAUGUUUCCUAACCAUAGACAUGUGUUGUCAUUUGAUUAACAGGAUCACAUCAUUAGGAGAAUGAUGUGAUUGACAUGACCCAUUCCGUUAGCUUAGCACACGAUCGUUUAGUAUAUUGCUAUUGCUUUCUUCAUGACUUAUACAUGUUCCUGUAACUAUGAGAUUAUGCAACUCCCGUUUACCGGAGGAACACUUUGGGUGCUACCAAACGUCACAAUGUAACUGGGUGAUUAUAAAGGAGUACUACAGGUGUCUCCAAAGGUACAUGUUGGGUUGGCGUAUUUCGAGAUUAGGUUUUGUCACUCCGAUUGUCGGAGAGGUAUCUCUGGGCCCUCUCGGUAAUGCACAUCACUAUAAGCCUUGCAAGCAAUGUAGCUAAUGAGUUAGUUACGGAAUGAUGCAUUACGUAACGAUUAAAGAGACUUGCCGGUAACGAGAUUGAACUAGGUAUUGGAUACCGACGAUCGAAUCUCGGGCAAGUAACAUACCGAUGACAAAGGGAACAACGUAUGUUGUUAUGCGGUUUGACUGAUAAAGAUCUUCGUAGAAUAUGUAGGAACCAAUAUGGGCAUCCAUGUUCCGCUAUUGGUUAUUGACCGAGAAUAGUUCUAGGUCAUGUCUACAUAGUUCUCGAACCCGUAGGGUCCGCACGCUUAACGUUACGAUGAUAGUUUUAUUAUGAGUUUAUAAGUUUUGAUGUACAGAAGUUUGUUCGGAGUCCCGGAUGUGAUCACGGACGUGACGAGGAGUCUCGAAAUGGUCGAGACAUAAAGAUUGAUAUAUUGGAAGCCUAUAUUUGGACAUCGGAAUCGUUCCGGGUGAAAUCGGCAUUUUACCGGAGUACCGGGAGGUUACCGGAACCCCCCGGAGGGUUAUUUGGGCCUACAUGGGCCUCGAGGGAGAAGAGGGAAGGAGGCAGGAGGUGGCCGCGCGCCCCUCCCCUUCCUAGUCCGAAUAGGACAAGGGAAGGGGGCUUUCCUUUCUCUCUUCCUCCUCUUUCCCCCUUCCUCCUUCUCCAACUAGGAAAGAAAGGGAGUCCUACUCCCGGUGGGAGUAGGACUCCCCCCUGGCGCGCCCCUCCUUGGCCGGCCGCCCCCUCCCCUUGGUUCCUUUAUAUACGGGGGCGGGGGGCACCCCAUAGACAGACAAGUUGAUCUACAGAUCGUUCCUUAGCCGUGUGCGGUGCCCCCCUCCACCAUAUUCCACCUCGGUCAUAUCGUCGUGGAGUUUAGGCGAAGCCCUGCGCCGGUAGAACAUCAUCAUCGUCAUCAUGCCGUCGUGCUGACGGAACUCAUCUCCGGAGCUUUGCUGGAUCAGAGCCCGGAGAUCGUCAUCGAGUUGAACGUGUGCAGAACUCGGAGGUGCCGUACGUUCGGCGCUUGGAUCGGUCGGAUCGUGAAGACGUACGACUACAUCAACUGCGUUGUGCUAACGCUUCCGCUUACGGUCCACGAGGGUACGUGGACAACACUCUCCCCUCUCGUUGCUAUACCAUCACCAUGAUCUUGCGUGUGCGUAGGAAUUUUUUUGAAAUUACUACGUUCCCCAACAGGAGGGCGCGCCCCCCUACCUCGUGGGCCCCUCGUAGCUCCCCUGACCUAGCUUCUUCGUACUCUUAUACCCUAAAAACAUCCAGGGGAGCCCUGAAACCACUUUUCCACCACCGCAACCUUCUGUACCCGUGAGAUCCCAUCUAGGGGCCUUUUCCAGCGUCCUGCCGGAGGGGGAUUCAAUCACAGAGGGCUUCUACAUCAACACCAUUACCUCUCCGAUGAAGUGUGAGUAGUUUACCACAGACCUACGGGUCCAUAGCUAGUAGCUAGAUGGCUUCUUCUCUCUCUUUCAUUCUCAAUACCAUGUUCUCCUUGAUGUUUUUGGAAAUCUAUUCGAUGUAAUAUUCUUUUGCGGCGUGUUUGCCGAGAUCCGAUGAAUUGUCGAUUUAUGAUCAGAUUAUCUAUGAAUAUUAUUUGGUUCUUCUUUGAAUUUUUCUAUGCAUGAUUUGAUAUCUUUGCCAGUCUCUUCGAAUUAUUGGUUUAGUUUGGCCUACUAGAUUGAUCUUUCUUGCAAUGGGAGAAGUGCUUAGCUUUGGGUUCAACCUUGCGGUCUCCUUUCCAAGUGACAGUAGGGGCAGCAAGGCACGUAUUGUAUUGUUGCCAUCGAAGAUAAAAGAUGGGGUUUCCAUCAUAUUGCUUGUGUUAAUUCCUCUACAUCAUGUCAUCUUACUUAAUGCACUCUAUUCUUUAUGAACUUGAUACUCUAGAUGCAGGCAGGAGUCAGUCGAUGUGUGGAGUAAUAGUAGUAGAUGCAGAAUAUUCGGUCUACUUGACACGGACGUGAUGCCUUGUUCAUGAUCAUUGCCUUAGAUAUCGUUAUAACUAUGCGCUUUUCUAUCAAUUGCUCGGCAGUAAUUUGUUCACCCACCGUUAUAUUUGCUAUCUUGAGAGAAGCCACUAGUGAAACUUAUGGCCCCCGGGUCUCUUUUCCAUUAUAUAAGUUCUUGUUUACAUCUUACUAGUUUCCGAUCUACUAUUUUGCAAUCUUUUACUUCCCAUUCUAUAAACCAAAAAUACCAAAAAUAUUUACUUUACCGUUUAUCUAUCUCUAUUAGAUCUCACUUUUGCAAGUGACCGUGAAGGGAUUGACAACCCCUUUAUCGCGUUGGGUGCAAGUUGUUGGUUGUUUGUGCAGGUAUUCGGUGACUUGUGUGUCUCCUACUAGAUUGAUACCUUGGUUCUCAAAUUGAGGGAAAUACUUACGCUACUUUGCUGCAUCACCCUUUCCUCUUCAAGGGAAAACUAACGCAAGCUCAAGAGGUAGCAAGAAGGAUUUUUGGCGCCGUUGCCUGGGAGAUCUACGUCAAGUCAAGCCAUACCAAGUACCCAUCAUAAACUCUUCUCCCUUGCAUUACAUUAUUCGCCAUUCGCCUCUCGUUUUCCUCUCCCCCACUUCUAAAUUGAUUUUCAAAAACCUUUGUGUUGACGUAUAAUGUGUUGCCUAGUCUCUUCCAUCAGAUCGGUCUUUUGGUUGCAUUGGCUAGAUCAUGCACUUCUACAUGGUAUCGGAGCCAAGCGGUCUUGAGUUCAAGACCCGGCUAUGCAAUUAAAUUGCAGCCCACUUUCAGUCCACGUUUAGGCCUGAGGGAGCCACACGUGAGGGGGAGUGUUGACGUAUAAUGUGCUGCCUAGUCUCUUCCAUUAGAUCGGUCUUUUGGUUGCAUUGGCUAUAUCAUGCACUUCUACACUUUGCCUUUUCUUCGCCCCUUUUCCGUUCAUCUCUUUUUGCUUGCUUCUUGUGUGCUUGUGUGCUAGAUCACUUGAUUCACCUUCAUGGCUAGUCCUCCUAUCAUUGUCAGUACUCCCGAUAAUGAAGUCCUCAAUUUUAAACAAAGGUAGAGAGAAAAUCUAAAGGAUGCUUCGUAUAGAAUUUGCAAUGCUCAAAGAUCUACUAGAAAGCAAUCUACUUCCAUUCUUCUCUGCAAUUUUUAUGUGGGCGUUACUCCUUGGAAUAGAUAUGUUCUUGGCACCAUUAAUAGAGGGAAUCUCUUGGGAAGCCAUACUUUUAAUUCUUAUAAUGCCAUGAUAGAUUUGUUAGGCCCACCACCUCUUUUGGUCAAUUGAACUAUUUUAACCUUGGAACAUAUGAUGCAAAGACUUGAUAUUAUUGAGAAUAAAAUUGCUACUGUAGAGUUGAUAGCAAAUUUGGAUAAAAAAUUUUAUAAUCAAAUAACUCAAUAUGGAUCUAUGGUAGGAGUUACUCUAAAGAGUCUUAGAGAAAAGGAACCCAUAGUUAAUGAAAAGAUAGAUCAAGAUUCUACUAGAAUUGAUAAAUUCGAAGAUAUUAUUACCAACUUGGGUUCCGCUUUUUCUUCUGUUAAAAAUACCUCAAAUCUUCCUCCUGCCAAAGUUCGCAAGUUUAUUUACAUUCCUUAGAAUAAGGGUGAAUCUUCUAGUAAGGAAAAUGAAGAUCUCAAAUCAAUAAGUGUUAACCCUAAUCUUUUCGAUAUUAUUAAGGAACCUUUUGCCAUGAAUGAAUUUCUCGAUUUAUUGCCUAGGAGAUUAAUCCUUGAUAAAACCAAAGAGUCUCCUAAGGAUUAUAUGUGUUCAAUUGAAGAAUUGCAUAUCAAAGAUGGCAAUACCUAGAUCUAUUCGUGUUUUUAUGCCUAGCUAAGGGCGUUAAACGAUAAUGCUUGUUGGGAGGCAACCCAAUUUUAUUUUUAUUCUUUGUUUUUUGUUCCUGUUUAGUAAUAAAUAAUUCAUCUAUCCUCUGGUUAGAUGUGUUUUUAUGUUUUAAUUAGUGUUUGUGCCAAGUGGAACCUUUAGGAUAGCUUACGGUGAUAGUUGUGUUGAUCCUACUAAAAAUCAAAAACGUGAUUGUGGUAUGAUUCUUUUUUCUAUGGAUUGGUACGCAAAUUUCUCAGGUUUUCCUAAUUUAUAUGUAUUUUUAGAGUUACAGAAGUAUUCGAGAGUUACAAAUUACUACAGACUAUUUUGUUUUCGACAGAUUCUGUUUUUCGCGUGUUGUUUGCUUAUUUUGAUGAAUCUAUGGGUAGUAUAGGGGGUAUGAACCAUGGAUAAGUUGGAAUACAGUAGAUAUUACACCAAUAAAAAUAAAUAAAGAAUUUUAAACAGUACCUUAAAGUGGUGAUUUAUUUUGUUAUACUAACGAAGCUCAUGAGAUUUUCUAUCGAGUUUUGUGUUGUGAAGUUUUCAAGUUUUGGGUAAGGAUUUGAUGGAAUAUGGAAUAAGGAGUGGCAAAAGCCUAAGAUUGGGGAUGCCCAAGGCACCCCAAGGUAAUAUUCAAGGACAACCAAAAUCCUAAGCUUGGAGAUGCCCCGGAAGGCAUCCCCUCUUUCGUCUUCGUCUAUCGGUAACUUUACUUGAGGCUAUAUUUUUAUUCACCACAUGAUAUGUGUUUUGCUUGGAGCGUCUUGUAUGAUUUGAGUCUUUUCUUUUUAGUUUACCACAAUCAUCCUUGUUGUACAUACCUUUUGGGAGAGAUAUGCGUGAAUCGUGAUAUAUUAGAAUACUCUAUGUGCUUCACUUAUAUCUUUUGAGCUAGGCAAUAUUGCUCUAGUGCUUCACUUAUAUCUUUUUAGAGCAUGGCGGUGGCUUUAUUUUAUAGAAAUUUUUGAACUCUCAUGCUUCACUUAUAUUAUUUUGAGAGUCUUUUAGAAAAGCAUGGUAAUUUGCUUGGGUUAUAAAACUAGUCCUAAUAUGAUGAGCAUCCAAGAUGGAUAUAAUAAAAACUUUCAUAUAAAGUGUGUUGAAUACUAUGAGAAGUUUAUUCUUUAUGGUUGUUUUGAGAUAUGAAGAUGGUGAUAUUAGAGUCAUGAUAGUGGAGUAGUUGUGAAUUUGAUAUAUACUUGUGUUAAAGUUUGUGAUUCCCGUAGCAUGCACAUACGAUGAACCGUUAUGUGAUGAAGUUGGAGCAUGAUUUAUUUUUUGUUUGUCUUCCUUAUGAGUGGAGGUCGAUAUCAUGCGAUGGUCAACUCCUACCAACCCUUCCCCUAGGAGCAUGCGUGUAGUGCUUGGUUUCGAUGAUUUGUAUAUGUUUUCAAUAAGUAUGUGAGUUCUUUAUGACUAAUCUUGAGUCCAUCGAUUAUACGCACUCUCACCCUUCCACCAUUGCUAGCCUCUCUUAUGCCGCGCAACUUUCGCCGGUACCAUACAACCACCAUAUACCUUCCUCAAAACAGCCACCAUACCUACCUAUUAUGGCAUUUCCAUAACCAUUCUAAUAUAUAUUUCCAUGCAACUUUCCACCAUUCCGUUUAUUAUGACAUGCUCCAUCAUUGUCAUAUUGCUUUGCAUGAUCAUGUAGUUGACAUCGUAUUUGUGACAAAGCCACCGUUCAUAAUUCUUUCAUACAUGUCACUCUUAAAUCAUUACACAUCCCGGUACGCCGCCGGAGGCAUUCACAUAGUCAUAUUUUGUUCUAAUUAUUGAGUUGUAAGUCUUGAGUUGUAAGUAAAUAAAGUGUGAUGAUCUUCAUUAUUAGAGCAUUGUCCAAUGUGAGGAAAGGAUGAUGGAGACUAUGAUUCCCCCACAAGUCAGGAUGAGACUCCGGCCAAAAAAAGCCAUAAAAAAGACACAAGGCCCAAAAAAUGAGAGGAAAAGAGAGAAGGGACAAUGUUACUAUCCUUUUGUCAGGACCCCGAUCCUAAGUCACACCGAUCUAGCAUGUAACACAUCAUAUCACUUUGCGGCCUCACGCACGGUAUUCCCACGGGUGCCACCUUACCUGGCCCGGGACCGUUUGCGCCUUUUGGCUCACGUAUAUGAUUGUGUCGCUAGCAUCCAUAUGACAAAGAACCCGGGCUGAUAUGGCUAGUCGUGAACCCAAAGUGGCACUAACUUACAGGGACAGGCAUCCAUGACCCAACAUCGAACGUGUCGGUCAUCAGCGAGUGAAUCCAGGCUGUAGCACUGGGCUAGCAGGACUCCGGUGAACCGGGCUGUAGCGGGCUAACAGGACUCCGGUAUUCAUCGCAUGACAUUUCCCCAAAGGGACAGACACAGGAACGAAGAAGGACACAUACCGGCCAGCCUAAGUGUUCCGGAGCAGUAGCAAGCUACCAUGGCUCCGUGGAAACACUAGGAGACAUUUCCCGGUAAGAGAGGCUACCAAGGAUAAACAACUAGGUAGUCAGAUCCCACACAUACCAAGCAUUUCAAUAACAUACACACAAUAUGCUCGAUAUGUGCCAAUACAACAUGGCAUCACAACAUGACUCUACAACUCAAGUAUUUAUUCAAUAGGCUCCGAGGAGCGAGAUAUUACAAACAUGGGUCUCAUGACCCAAUAAUCAGAGCAUACAAGUCAAAGCACAAGCGGAAGCUAUCAUGUCUGAGUACAGACAUCUAUAAAUGAAAAAGGCUGAGAAGCCUGACUAUCUACCAGAUUCUACCGAGGGCACAAGAUCGUAGCUAAGGUAACAAGCUAAACGUCGAAGUCCAAGCGGAACUACUAGUGAGACUGAAGUCUCUCUGCAAAACAUAAAAUAGGCAAACGUGAGUACAAAUGUACCCAGCAAGACUUACAUCAGAUCUAUCUACAUAUGCAUCAUUAUCAACAAAGGGGAUGGUGGGGUUUAACUGCAGCAAGCCAGCUUUGACUCGGUGGCUAUCCUGAACUACGACUGCAAGUAACUCUUUUGAAGUGGCGCACACGAGUCCACAUAUUCACCAACCAAUACACCACUAUGGAUCCGCUCCCGUCUCCCUACGAGAACGCCAUCCAUAGCACUCACGCUUAUCUUGCGUAUUUUAGAGUAUCCACUUUCACUUGUCUAUGAACUGUACAAGGGGUCCACGUUUCCAUAUCCGAGGAAUCCGGCUAUUCGAAUAGAUAAUGAUAACCCUGCAGGGGUGUACUUCUUCACACACGCUCUCGCCACUUACCGCCCUGUACACGUCAUGUACCUCGGCGACCUUCAAGCGGAAGCCGGGCGAGGGAGUCGGCCACGACCUGACUAAUCGAACAAGUCUCUCGUCCAGGUUUAUCGCCUAUUCGGGUUCCAUCCGCAAGGAGAUCCGGCCGGGGUGUCGCUCACGGCCCCAAACGAUGUGAGCAGGGUUCCCAAGCCCACCAACCGGGUGCCACUUGGUACACCGUGCCACUGUGCCUAGUCUGUCCCAAGCCCACCUGUACCGGGUGCCACUUGGUAGACUACUAACACUACCUACAAACACCAGAAACUAGUUGCAACUCUUGGACAGAGAUCAUGUUGAUUAAUAAGUCGAGAGGGGCACUUAAGCAUUCCAAUGUGUGGUAGUAGCUGGUCAUGGAUCACAAACACAGAACUCAGUUCCUAAGGACGGCUGCAAUGAGACAACCCACCAUGUACUCCUACAUGGCCUCUCACCGCUACCUUUACCAAAUCGUGUUCACACACUUAGCUCACACACAUGGGGACAUGUUCACACGCCUCUGAUUCAUCCCCGAUGAAUCAGACCUGACUCAACUCUAAGCAGUAGCAGGCAUGACGAACAAACAUGAAUGAGUAGGCACAUCAGGGCUCAAACAACUCCUACUCAUGCUAGUGGGUUUCAUCUAUUUACUGUGGCAAUGACAGGUCAUGCAAAGGAUAAAGGGGUUCAGCUACCGCAGCAAGUAACAAAUAUGUCGUUGUUGUCCUAAUGCAGUAAAAGAGAGCAGGAGCGAGAGAGUGGGAUUGUAUCGGAAUGAACAAGGGGGUUUUGCUUGCCUGGCACUUCUGAAGAUAACAUUGAGUCUUCAUCAGUGUCAACGAUCACAUCGUCGGUAUCACAUCUAUCGAGAGGGGACAAAUACCGGCAACACAGAAGGGAACACAAUCAAUGCAAUGCACAAUAUGAUGCAUGAUCAUGACAUGGCAAAAUGAAUGUGUUUUGAGCUAAUGCAACUAGCAACAGAUUAAAUGAAGUUGGUUUGAAUACAAGAUUCAAAUUCAAACUCCAUAUAUGAUUAUUUAAAUGCCUUUUAUUUGUUUUGUCCAAAACAGAGGACAAACAUUGUUCAAACAUGCAUGAAAAUGGUACAGAUGGAUUCCUUGAAUUUUUCUGAUAAUUUUUCAUAUAUAAAUUAUUUAAUUUGGAGUUACGGUUAAUUUUCUAUGAUUUAUUGAAGUUUAGGGCAUUUUCUGAAUAUAAAUAAAUCCAGAAAGCAUUACUGCGUCAUACUGACGUCAUGAUGACGUCAGCAGGUCAACGUGGCACGGUUCGGUCAAACCUGACAGUGGGUCUCGCGUGUCAGUGUGAUUAGCUUAACUUAAAAUUAAUUAAAACUAAUCCUAAUAGUUAACAGGGCUGGGCCCCACCUGUCAUUGACUCAGGAGAGUCAAUCGGGGCCCACCCGUGGUCAAAGUCAAAGUCGGCUGCCGGCGUUUAGCCGCCGGCGAGCCCAACGCGGCGGCGAGAGUGGUUUUAGCCACUCCGGCGACCAAAUGGGCCGCGGAGGGCAUCUAGGAGGAGCUGGGGACGAGCCGAAGCUCUUGGUGGAGUCAGUUGCGCUCGGGGCGGCCGGAAUCGGUGCCGGCGGCGACCUAGGCAGCCGCCGGAGCUCGGGCGAGCUCGGGCUCGACGCUGCGGUGCACUAGAGGGGAAACGGAAGGGCGCUGCAGGCUCCUGGGAGGGCGGCGAACUUGGUAGCAUGCUCGGGCGCCAGCUGGGGUGGCCCUGGCCACGGCGGCGCCAUGGCCGGCGGCGGGGAGUUUCUGGUGAGGUGGAAACAGCGGCUAUGGAGACCGAACAAACACGGGGCUAGGGGGAGAGGAAGAGGAGUUCACCGUGGAGAGGGAGAGGUGGUCAGCGGGCUCGGGGGCGUCCUAUCGGCGGCGAAUUCGGCGACAGCGAUCGGCGGGUUCGAGGAGGGGAAGAACGUCGGGGCGGCGCUUCGGGGCUUCUCCAGUCGCGUGUGAUGGCGGGGAGGGCGAGGGCGGCACGGCGGAGCUCGUGGACUGCUCGAGGGGACGAGGGGGAGGCGAUGGCCGGGGUGGUGUUCGUCGGCAGCGGCGAUAGUGCUCGGGUUUGGGAGAGAGAGGGAGAGAGACGAGCUCGGGGAGAGAGUGAGAUCUUGGGAGAGGAGGGGAAAGCGAGAGGGAGCAUGGCCGUCUCCGUGGCGUCGCGAGGGAGUCGGGGAGGCUGCCACGGCGAAGCAGGAGGUGGCGUCGGGGCUCUCGGGCGCGCGCCACGCCUCGCCUCUGCCUACUGGCAGAGGAAGACGACGAGCGGCGAGGGGGUUUGCGGUGGUGGGCUGGGCCACCAGCUGGGCCAGCGAUGGGGGGGGGCAAAGCUGGGCCGGUUCGUGGUGCCAGGUAAGCUGGGCUUCUCUCUCUCUCUCUCUCUCUCUUUUUUUUAUUUACUGUUUUCUAUUUUUUUCUGCAACUGUGAGGCUUUAUUAAAAAUACUUAGGCAUCUCUAAAAAUCCAGAAAAUAACCAGGGGCUCUGUUUAGAUUAUUUCCAACAGCCCACACUUAUUUUUAGAAUUAUUUGGGUAUUUAAGAUAUUUACUAGCAUUUAGAUGCCCAAAUACAAAUAGAGUAUAAUUUAAUUCAGAGCCCAAUAUGUCCUGCAAAAAUAUAAAUCAUUUUUGGUAGAUGCUUUCACCUCAAACCAGAAAUGUUGAACAUUUUUAGAGGGCAUUUUGGGUUUAAUGAAAAAGAUUUUAUUUUGACCCUAGUUGAAUCCAUUUGGUGCUAGGGUUUAGUCAAUCCCCAUUUCAGGUUUAAAUGAAAUUUAAACAUGAAGCAACACUCUAAUGCAUGCACUAGGCAUUGUCAGAACUAGGGAUGUGACAACUCACCCCCACUAAACAAGAAUCUCGUCUCGAGAUUCAAGUGUAGGGUAAAGUGAGGGGUAAACGCAACUAGUAUAGUCUUCACGAUCCAGGGUGCACUUCAGUUGAACGUUGAUUCAUUCACCAUCAUUGUCUUGAUGUCUUGCUCUGAGAAAUCCUGCCAACAUGACAUGGAGGGAAGAAGGAGACUCUAGAAGGGUCGAUCUUCUCGAAGAUCGAACAACUCACGGAAUGAGACAUAGGACCAUCUCUCGGGUUGAGACACGAGAUACACAUCAAGAGGGGUGGAAAGAAACGGAUGACGAAGGUUCACUAGGUAGACAACAAUUUCACGCUUAAGAAGGUGGUAAUCGAUUGUCAACGUAGCGAGGAGUUGAGUUGCCAUGAAACCACAACGAGACACCUUCGGAACCGUGACUCGUAGAUAUCUCCCCUUAAGUGGCAAAAAGAAUUACCUUUGAUUCAGAGAUCAUUGAAACUCCUUAAACCAGCCUAAGACAAUUCUCGAGCGAUCGUUUGGAGGGGGUCAGUAGAAUGGCAUAUUCAGACUUGGAUGAUGUGGAUUACCUUGUUGAAGACAACGCAAUGGAUGAAUUUGCUUAUCACCGGAAAUGGAAGAGACCCAUGGUAGAAUGGCACAAUGGCGGUGCAAGCUGGGAACAAAAUGCAAAUGCUGGGAAUGAUUCUAGUAACUGGGAAAGAACCCAACACUAGAGAGUUAAUUCACUGUUUGAAUAGGUCAUAGCAUUGCCGAGGGAACUGAGAGCAAACCCAGUUAGUGCCGAUGAUAACACGUAGCGCUUGUGCAUGCUCUCAAGAACUUGAGCAAUUCCAUAUCCAUCAAGGUUUUACCAACAUCCGUGUCAAGGGUCCGGUAACACAACUUACUACCAUGAUGGCUAAAGAUGGAUGAUGCAGACGCAAAGGAAGAUAACACCUUCUCAGACUUCACCCUAGCGAGGCCAAGGAAACAAAAUCUGGAUGAUCGACCGAGAGACAUUUAGCACUCCGCUUCUAAUGUUCUCCUUGACGUGCUAGUGUAACCCAAUCAUAGAUAUGGUUUGCUAACUAGAACAUCAAGUAAAGGUCGGACUUCGGGAUCUCGAAAUCCAUAGGGGCAACUAGGGAGUAAAUCCUACGAAAUCCCUAUGGGGAGGUGGCCAACUUCCUCAAACAAGAUACUACAAUGAUAGGUCUUCCGGCUGGGUGUGUUGGCCACGACAUUCACUUUACCGGUUAUCGAGGGACCAAUAUUAUAGUUCUUGGGAAAUGUUCCAACCAUCAUAUCUGCCUGAGAUUCAGAUCUGGUUGGUGUCAGGAUAUUCCAGACUCAUCGAGUCUAGGAAGAAAAUGAAAGUUUGCAACACAAAUCGACGAGAUGACGUUGCGAGAUUCUUGGGAAAUGAACUAUGAUAGCAAGCUCCAAAACAUGAGCUGGUUCUGCUACACAUGUGUGAACACGCUGCCUCAGACAAACAUGAUCACAUGGUAGUCUUACAAUAAAACACUACCGAGUUCUGGUUGGGAACCAUCAGCGAGGAUAUCGAAGUUCUUUCAUAAGUCCGGAUUAGCUCUUAUGAAGAUACUCCUGCUCCUUGAACAAAUCAGUCAGUGGCUUGGUGUGCUAGGAUAUACAUAUGGAAUGAAGAUGAUCAGUCUAACAGACCAUAGAAUUCUUCGCACGUGCAUGACCGACUUGGGAUGAUUCCAAAGGAGCAAAAACAAACUUUCUCGAAUUCACGACGGCAGUUUACAUCAAAAUGCACGUGAAUCAAAGGAAGUCACUCCUUUCAUCAAACAAGUACUUCAUGAGCUAGCAUGAAGAAAAUGCUUUCAAAAGUUUCCAACACUAACUUAAUGUUCAAAAACAUCAUGGAGGAGAUAAGGAUGUUGUCAAUGGACUCAACAACAACUCAUCGGAAUUUCCAUAUCACUGGACUUCCACCAUUGUGUGAACACGGUGAUAGUAUUGGUCAGACCCAAAAGAUAUAAUGGUGUAUGCUCGAGGGAUCAACCACGAGGAAGACAACAUUACGAGCAUCGUUGGUUCUGACUUGAUUUGACGAUAGCCCACAUUCAAAUCAAAGGAUUGAUAAGACGAUAGGUCCAGCAACUGAUCACAGGGACCAAUCGAUGAAGAUAUCAUCUUUCUUCAACACACACUACACAAGAAUAUCCCUUUGGAACGAACUAAGUCAGGCAAGCUUUUAUCUUCCAACUCUCCAAGUUGUCGUUUAGCUUAACCAACUAGCUCAGGGGUAUCCAACACGGAUUCUUGGAGAAAGGGUGGUUUACAAUAAACCAACUUGAUCACGAGCUCAACAUAGCGGUCAGGUGACAACCUGGUAGUACUUCCGAGAAGAUAUUCGGAAAAUCACGAACCACCGAUAUGUUACUAAGCUCGAGAACAAUCUUGCUUUUGGGGGCAAGACGAUAUGAUCAAAUGAGUGAGGACUUGACAAGAUCCUAACUCAUCAAUUGAAGGGUGCACCAAAAUAAGGACUAGGUAGCACGAUUAGUCUUAGAAGGAUGAUUCCAAUAACCAACACACUAAGAAUGAAAUUAUUGUCCUUUAACUACCAAGCAACGAGGUUGCUGGGAGUAUUGAUUUCGCACAUCACAAUUCAUUUGUCGGUAUUCCGGUUGCAUCAACACGAGGGCCGAGGAAUGACUAAUGAUGGUGAGAAGUAUCACUAUGUCAAAAUUUAUGAGAGUUGGUGCAGUUCUCAUGACAAUUCUGACAUAAAGGGGGUAAUACUCCAAGGUAGAACAGAACCAAAGGCUGGAUUGGCAUUUGAUCUGCGGAAUACAACUGCUUUGACCCAAUCCUAGAUAUGGAUGAGGUACUGAAGUUUGUUUCUCCUAUCAUUCUAUGAUAGAAUGGCUUGACGGACCACAAGAGUAAUAGGCAUUGAUAAACGAACGCACGCAUACUCUUGACUAUCAAUUGAUAGGCGAGGGUCAGAGGACAACUAAAGAGGGACAACUCAAAGGAACAUACGAUUUUCUGAGUUGUGGAUGCAUGGUUUAGCAUGUCGAACGAAGUUCAACAUAAUUCUUCCGGAUAACCCAUGCAGAAAGGUAGAACUGGCAGAGUCACGAUAUAUGAAUGGAGAACUCCUCAAGAAUAAUCCUGUUGUGAUCUUUUGAUCCAACAAACUUCUGUCAAAAUGGUUCGUGGUAUUUGGAAGAACAAUAUACCAUGGACCUCGAGGACUAUCGCAAAGAUUACUAAUAUCCUAAAGGCACUAGCAAUUACUAUCAACAUGAAGUAGGUAGAGUGAAUCUCGGGUUCAGAACCCAGGAGUAGAAUACCUACUACUAAGUAGCAUCACGGGAUGCUUUCGAGAAUAAAGGCCAGAAUCUCACACUGGGAACACAAAACAUUGCUAGAUUACUAGGUGACUCCCUAAACACCUAGGGCCAUAAUAGUAACUCCAACAUAAUGUCAAGGCAACAGAAUACCUCAACUCAACAAUUAGUGUGAUUGAGCUGGCAUAAAGGAGCAUCGAAACCAAAGGGAAAGGAUUUUGCAAGUGCAUCAGACUGUUUAGAAACCUGGAAUAACUCGGACAGCAUAACGGCUGUAAAUGCUUAGAAACGAUUUGAGACAUUCACAAAAAUGGUGGCAUAACCACUCAGAAGCACAAUAUUAAGGUAUCGAGAUCAACAAUUAACAUACGGAAGUAGUAGGAACUGAACGGAGACUUAAAUCCAACAGUCUUAUAAGUCUGCGGAUUAGCAACACGUGAUCCUGAUAGAAAGAAGAGAAAGCCUAGUUCUUAAUCCCCGUAGAGGAGAAGAUGAUGACUCAGAUCAGAAGGCCAUGAGGUAUAAGGAGUAAAAAGAGUCUUACGUUCCAUCCCACAAUCAAUUCCCUUAUAUAACUAAAGAAUUUCUAGACUCAACUUCGACCAGUUUGGCUUGGUAAUCCUACAGGCAGUCAAGCUCUGAUACCAAAACUGUCAGGACCCCGAUCCUAAGUCACACCGAUCUAGCAUGUAACACAUCAUAUCACUUUGCGGCCUCACGCACGGUAUUCCCACGGGUGCCACCUUACCUAGCCCGGGACCGUUUGCGCCUUUUGGCUCACGUAUAUGAUUGUGUCGCUAGCAUCCAUAUGACAAAGAACCCGGGCUGACAUGGCUAGUCGUGAACCCAAAGUGGCACUAACUUACAGGGACAGGCAUCCAUGACCCAACAUCGAACGUGUCGGUCAUCAGCGAGUGAAUCCAGGCUGUAGCACUGGGCUAGCAGGACUCCGGUGAACCGGGCUGUAGCGGGCUAACAGGACUCCGGUAUUCAUCGCAUGACAUUUCCCCGAAGGGACAGACACAGGAACGAAGAAGGACACAUGCUGGCCAGCCUAAGUGUUCCGGAGCAGUAGCAAGCUACCAUGGCUCCGUGGAAACACUAGGAGACAUUUCCCGGUAAGAGAGGCUACCAAGGAUAAACAACUAGGUAGUCAGAUCCCACACAUACCAAGCAUUUCAAUAACAUACACACAAUAUGCUCGAUAUGUGCCAAUACAACAUGGCAUCACAACAUGACUCUACAACUCAAGUAUUUAUUCAAUAGGCUCCGAGGAGCGAGAUAUUACAAACAUGGGUCUCAUGACCCAACAAUCAGAGCAUACAAGUCAAAGCACAAGCGGAAGCUAUCAUGUCUGAGUACAGACAUCUAUAAAUGAAAAAGGCUGAGAAGCCUGACUAUCUACCAGAUUCUGCCGAGGGCACAAGAUCGUAGCUAAGGUAACAAGCUAAACGUCAAAGUCCAAGCGGAACUACUAGUGAGACUGAAGUCUCUCUGCAAAACAUAAAAUAGGCAAACAUGAGUACAAAUGUACCCAGCAAGACUUACAUCAGAUCUAUCUACAUAUGCAUCAUUAUCAACAAAGGGGAUGGUGGGGUUUAACUGCAGCAAGCCAGCUUUGACUCGGUGGCUAUCCUGAACUACGACUUCAAGUAACUCUUUUGAAGUGGCGCACACGAGUCCACAUAUUCACCAACCAAUACACCACUAUGGAUCCGCUCCCGUCUCCCUACGAGAACGCCAUCCAUAGCACUCACGCUUAUCUUGCGUAUUUUAGAGUAUCCACUUUCACUUGUCUAUGAACUGUACAAGGGGUCCACGUUUCCAUAUUCGAGGAAUCCGGCUAUUCGAAUAGAUAAUGAUAACCCUGUAGGGGUGUACUUCUUCACACACGCUCUCGCCACUUACCGCCCUGUACACGUCAUGUACCUCGGCAACCUUCAAGCGGAAGCCGGGCGAGGGAGUCGGCCACGACCUGACUAACCGAACAAGUCUCUCGUCCAGGUUUAUCGCCUAUUCGGGUUCCAUCCGCAAGGAGAUCCGGCCGGGGUGUCGCUCACGGCCCCAAACGAUGUGAGCAGGGUUCCCAAGCCCACCAACCGGGUGCCACUUGGUACACCAUGCCACUGUGCCUAGUCUGUCCCAAGCCCACCUGUACCGGGUGCCACUUGGUAGACUACUAACACUACCUACAAACACCAGAAACUAGUUGCAACUCCUGGACAGAGAUCAUGUUGAUUAAUAAGUCGAGAGGGGUCGAGUUACCGGAACCCAAUGUGUGGUAGUAACUGGUCAUGGAUCACAGACACAGAACUCAGUUCCUGAAGACGGCUGCAAUGAGACAACCCACCAUGUACUCCUACAUGGCCUCUCACCGCUACCUUUACCAAAUCGUGUUCACACACUUAGCUCACACACAGUAGGACAUGUUCACACGCCUCUGAUUCAUCCCCGAUGAAUCAGACCUGACUCAACUCUAAGCAGUAGCAGGCAUGACGAACAAACAUGAAUGAGUAGGCACAUCAGGGCUCAAACAACUCCUACUCAUGCUAGUGGGUUUCAUCUAUUUACUGUGGCAAUGACAGGUCAUGCAAAGGAUAAAGGGGUUCAGCUACCGCAGCAAGUAACAAAUAUGUCGUUGUUGUCCUAAUGCAGUAAAAGAGAGCAGGAGCGAGAGAGUGGGAUUGUAUCGGAAUGAACAAGGGGGUUUUGCUUGCCUGGCACUUCUGAAGAUAACAUUGAGUCUUCAUCAGUGUCAACGAUCACAUCAUCGGUAUCACAUCUAUCGAGAGGGGACAAAUACCGGCAACACAGAAGGGAACACAAUCAAUGCAAUGCACAAUAUGAUGCAUGAUCAUGACAUGGCAAAAUGAAUGUGUUUUGAGCUAAUGCAACUAGCAACAGAUUAAAUGAAGUUGGUUUGAAUACAAGAUUCAAAUUCAAACUCCAUAUAUGAUUAUUUAAAUGCCCUUUAUUUGUUUUGUCCAAAACAGAGGACAAACAUUGUUCAAACAUGCAUGAAAAUGGUACAGAUGGAUUCCUUGAAUUUUUCUGAUAAUUUUUCAUAUAUAAAUUAUUUAAUUUGGAGUUACGGUUAAUUUUCUAUGAUUUAUUGAAGUUUAGGGCAUUUUCUGAAUAUAAAUAAAUCCAGAAAGCAUUACUGCGUCAUACUGACGUCAUGAUGACGUCAGCAGGUCAACGUGGCACGGUUCGGUCAAACCUGACAGUGGGUCCCGCAUGUCAGUGUGAUUAGCUUAACUUAAAAUUAAUUAAAACUAAUCCUAAUAGUUAACAGGGCUGGGCCCCACCUGUCAUUGACUCAGGAGAGUCAAUCGGGGCCCACCCGUGGUCAAAGUCAAAGUCGGCUGCCGGCGUUUAGCCGCCGGCGAGCCCGACGCGGCGGCGAGAGUGGUUUUAGCCACUCCGGCGACCAAAUGGGCCGCAGAGGGCAUCUAGGAGGAGCUGGGGACGAGCCGAAGCUCUUGGUGGAGUCAGUUGCGCUCGGGGCGGCCGGAAUCGGUGCCGGCGGCGACCUAGGCGGCCGCCGGAGCUCGGGCGAGCUCGGGCUCGACGCUGCGGUGCACUAGAGGGGAAACGGAAGGGCGCUGCAGGCUCCUGGGAGGGCGGCGAACUUGGUAGCAUGCUCGGGCGCCAGCUGGGGUGGUCCUGGCCACGGCGACGCCAUGGCCGGCGGCGGGGAGUUUCCGGUGAGGUGGAAACGGCGGCUACGGAGACCAAACAAACACGGGGCUAGGGGGAGAGGAAGAGGAGUUCACCGUGGAGAGGGAGAGGUGGUCAGCGGGCUCGGGGGCGUCCUGUCGGCGGCGAAUUCGGCGACAGCGAUCGGCGGGUUCGAGGAGGGGAAGAACGUCGGGGCGGCGCUUCGGGGCUUCUCCGGUCGCGUGUGACGGCGGGGAGGGCGAGGGCGGCACGGCGGAGCUCGUGGACUGCUCUAGGGGACGAGGGGGAGGCGAUGGCCGGGGUGGUGUUCGUCGGCGGCGGCGAUAGUGCUCGGGUUUGGGAGAGAGAGGGAGAGAGACGAGCUCGGGGAGAGAGUGAGAUCCAGGGAGAGGAGGGGAAAGCGAGAGGGAGCAUGGCCGUCUCCGUGGCAUCGCAAGGGAGUCGGGGAGGCUGCCACGGCGAAGCAAGAGGUGGCGUCGGGGCUCUCGGGCGCGCGCCACGCCUCGCCUCUGCCUACUGGCAGAGGAAGACGACGAGCGGCGAGGGGGUUUGCGGUGGUGGGCUGGGCCACCAGCUGGGCCAGCGAUGGGGGGGGGUGCAAAGCUUGGCCGGUUCGUGGCGCCAGGUAAGCUGGGCUUCUCUCUCUCUCUCUCUCUCUCUCUCUCUCUUUUUAUUUACUGUUUUCUAUUUUUUUCUGCAACUGUGAGGCUUUAUUAAAAAUACUUAGGCAUCUCUAAAAAUCCAGAAAAUAACCAGGGGCUCUGUUUAGAUUAUUUCCAACAGCCCACACUUAUUUUUAGAAUUAUUUGGGCAUUUAAGAUAUUUACUAGCAUUUAGAUGCCCAAAUACAAAUAGAGUAUGAUUUAAUUCAGAGCCCAAUAUGUCCUGCAAAAAUAUAAAUCAUUUUUGGUAGAUGCUUUCACCUCAAACCAGAAAUGUUGAACAUUUUUAGAGGGCAUUUUGGGUUUAAUGAAAAAGAUUUUAUUUUGACCCUAGUUGAAUUCAUUUGGUGCUAGGGUUUAGUCAAUCCCCAUUUUAGGUUUAAAUGAAAUUUAAACAUGAAGCAACACUCUAAUGCAUGCACUAGGCAUUGUCAGAACUAGGGAUGUGACACCUUUUUCCACACUUGUGCUUCAAAGUAGCACCAUGAUCUUCAUGUUAGAGAGUCUCCUAUUUUGUCACUUUCAUAUACUAGUGGGAAUUUUUCAUUAUAGAACUUGGCUUGUAUAUUCCAAUGAUGGGCUUCCUCAAAAUGCCCUAGGUCUUCGUGAGCAAGCGAGUUGGAUGCACACCCAUUUAGUUUCUUUUUUGAGCUUUCAUACACUUAUUGCUCUAGUGCAUCCGUUGCAUGGCAAUCCCUACUCACUCACAUUGAUAUCUAUUGAUGGGCAUCUCCAUAGCUCGAUGAUACGCCUAGUUGAUGUGAGACUAUCUUCCUCUUUUUGUCUUCACCACAACCACCAUUCCAUUCCACCUAUAGUGUUAUGUCCAUGGCUCACGCUCAUGUAUUGCGUGAAAGUUUAAAAAGUUUGAGAAUACUAAAGUAUGAAACAAUUGCUUGGCUGAAACCGGGGCUGUGCAUGAUUUAAAUAUUUUGUGUGAUGAAGACAGAGCAUAGCCAGACUAUAUGGUUUUGUAGGGAUAGCUUUCUUUGGCCAUGUUAUUUUGAGAAGACAUGAUUGCUUUGUUAGUAUGCUUGAAGUAUUAUUGUUUUUAUGUCAAUAUUAAACUUUUGUUUUGAAUUUUUUCGAUCUGAACAUUCAUGCCACAAUAAAGAAAAUUACAUUGAUAAAUAUGUAGGUAGCUUUCCACAUCAAAAAAUUUUGUUUUUAUCAUUUACUUACUCGAGGACGAGCACGAAUUAAGCUUGGGGAUGCUCGAUACGUCUCCAACGUAUCUAUAAUUUUUGAUUGUUCCAUGCUAUUAUAUUAUCUGUUUUGGAUGUUUAAUAGGCAUUUAUAUGCUAUUUUAUAUUGUUUUUGGGACUAACCUAUUAAAGGGAGCCCAGUGCUAGUUUAUGUUUUUUUGCCUAUUUUAGUGUUUCGCAGAAAAGGAAUACCAAACGGAGUCCAAACGGAAAGAAACUUUCGUGAUGAUCUUUUUGGGACCAGAAGGAAACCAGAAUACUUGGAGAUGAAGUCGGAGACGCAACGAGGAGGCCACGAGGCAGGAUGGCGCGCCCCGGGGGGUAGGGUCCCUCCUAGCUCCCCUGACCUAGCUCAUAUGCCUAUAUAUACUCUUAUACCCUAAAAACUUCCAGGGGAGCCACGAAACCACUUUUCCACCGCCGCAACCUUCUGUUCCUGUGAGAUCCCAUAUAUGGGCCUUUUCCAGCAUCUUGCCAGAGGGGGAUUCGAUCACAGAGGGCUUCUACAUCAACACCAUUACCUCUCCGAUGAAGCGUGAGUAGUUUACCACAGACCUACGGGUCCAUAGCAAGUAGCUAGAUGGCUUCUUCUCUCUAUUUGAUUCUCAAUACCAUGUUCUGCUCGAUGUUCUUGGAGAUCUAUUCGAUGUAAUAUUCUUUUGUGGUGUGUUUGCCGAGAUCCGAUGAAUUGUGGAUUUAUGAUUAGAUUAUCUAUGAAUAUUAUUUGGUUCUUCUCUGAAUUCUUAUAUGCAUGAUUUGAUAUCUUUGCAAGUCUCUUCAAAUUAUCGGUUUAGUUUGUCCUACUAGAUUGAUAUUUCUUGCAAUGGCAGAAGUGCUUAGCUUUGGGUUCAAUCUUGUGGUGUCCUUUCCAAGUGACAGUAGGUGCAGCAAGGCACGUAUUAUAUUGUUGCCAUCGAGGAUAAAAAGAUGGGGUUUUCAUCAUAUUUCUUGAGUUAAUUCCUCUACAUCAUGUCAUCUUACUUAAUGCGUUACUCUGUUCUUUAUUAACUUAAUACUCUAGAUGCAGGCAGGAGUCGGUCGAUGUGUGGAGUAAUAGUAGUAAAUGCAGAAUCGUUUCGGUCUACUUGACACGGACUCAAUGCCUAUGUUCAUGAUCAUUGCCUUAGAUAUCAUCAUAACUAUGCUCUUUUCUAUCAAUUGCUCGGCAGUAAUUUGUUCACCCACCAUAAUAUUUGCUAUCUUGAGAGAAGCCACUAGUGAAACCUAUGGCCCCCGGGUCUCUUUUCCAUUAUACAAGUUCUCGUUUACAUCUUACUAGUUUCCGAUCUACUAUUUUGCAAUCUUUUACUUUCCGUUCUUUAAACCAAAAAUACCAAAAAUAUUUACUUUACCGUUUAUCUAUCUCUUUCAGAUCUCACUUUUGCAAGUGACUGUGAAGGGAUUAACAACCCCUAUCGCGUUGGGUGCAAGUUGUCGAUUGUUUGUGCAGGUAUUCAGUGACUUGUGUGUUGUCUCCCACUGGAUUGAUACCUUAGUUCUCAAACUGAGGGAAAUACUUACGCUACUUUGUUGCAUCACCCUUUCCUCUUCAAGGGAAAACCAACGCAAGAUCAAGAGGUAGAAAUUAACACAACAACGCAAUUCACUUAUGUCAAAGACUGCAGCCCACAUAUGUAAGAAACUGUAGUUCACUUAUGUAGAAGAAUGCAAUCCACAUAUGUAAAAGACUGUAGCCCACAUAUGCAAAAAGAACUACAGUUCACUUCUGUCAAAGACUAAAGUUCACACAUGUAAAACUGUGUAGCUCACAUAUGUAAAAGAAAUGCAUAUGAGUGAAUAGAACAGCAUACAUUAAAGCCUAUAACAAUAACAAAAAAUUAGAUUACAACCCUCAAAUGGAAAAAGUAAUUCCACUAAACCUUAUCAGCUACAACAUCCGGAGGGGACGACGCAUCAGCCAAGUCCUCAUCCUUCUCAGAGCCGUCGUAGGAAUCUUUGUGCACAUCAAGCAGCAACUCCAGUCUACAGGCAUAGAACAAACCAAAAUGAAAUAAGAUGGUAACAACCAAAAAAGGAAAAAACCUUCAACUAUGCACAAGCAGUACACAUUUUACAAUCGUGAGGUACACAAAAAAUACAGGUUCAAGAAGAGAAGCACAUGGCAGAAUAGGCAUGGGAGAAGUACUUAUACCUGACCAAUUCCAUCGUCCCUAGAUGCAUGAACACCAAAAGAUUCCACUCCAGCCUGUGAAAAAAACAAAGAUUAGGAGCAGUCCACAUAUAAUACAUGAAGAGAUGUUAAAAGGACAAAAACGGACAACAUAAAUUAUCAGCGUCGACGCCAGCAUCCUGUCGGAUCAUUUCAUCCAAAAUGUGCCCAGCAUCCUUCUCAUACCGAGCGCAUUUUUCUUCCUGUGAACGUUUCAACUAAGCAUACGAAGACCGAAUAUUCGUCACUGCAAUCUUCAAGCUUUGAACCAUGCCACAAUCAAAAUUGUGAGCAGCAACAAUAUCUUCUGCACGGGGGCCAUGGCCAGCUGGGAAAAAACAAGCAACUGUCCUCAACCUAUCACGAGAGGUUGGCAUAUCUUCAGUUAACUUCAAAACCUUUAGAAGAAGCGCAUCAAUCUCCUCAUGUUUUUUGCCGCCAACAAACGUCUGUUCAGAAGAGCUUCUAUUAUCAAACAUCCGAUGAGCCAUGAAACCACAAGUAGGCGGCGGCUCAUCAGCACAAGAAGGAAGCUGGCUACAGAUAGGUUCAUAAAACCUAGCAUGACUGCUAGGCCCUGCAUCAGAGAUGCCACACAGCACUACAGCAAGACGAUUGUACACAAUAUCACCCGACGCCUUGCACUGCAAAAAAUAUAAAAAGGGCAAGAAGUACACAUGUGAAUUCUAGAAAGUUCAAAUUUAUAAUGACUGCAUUUUAAAAAACUAUGAUCUUAAAAACUCUGGUGCACUAACCGGCGGCCUCCCAAAUUUGUAAGUUUCCAAAUAAAUCUUUACCUUGACAAGCAUAUCCUCGUUGUAUAACUUCAUCGGGUCCUUGUUCGUCAGGAAUGAUGCGCGUGGCAUCAACAUGUGCAUAACUAAAAAUUUGUGAAGCUUCAAUCAAUCAAGAUACAUAAUCAGGGGGACAAUGGCACAACCCUCUGCACAAUUCUGCUUGCUGCCUUCUGUUUGCCACUUCACCACAGCUGCCUGCAGCUCAUCAACAACAAGCUGACAAAAGCCCAUCUGCGCCAUAGCCACAUAAUCCAUCUUCUCAACCAUGGCAGCAACCCUGCCCAAACGAACUGCAGGCCCGGGCACAGCAAAUUUUGAUAAAGUGUAUCGGGAAGAAUACCUUGACAACAAGAUCAACCGUCACAUUAUCAUCAUCCUCCACCAACACCAUCAGCUUCUGAACCAAGUCCUUGACACCUAUACUUUGUGAAUGGUCAAAGUCAAGCUCAUCCUUGAGGGCAGACAACGAGUCAUCAUGGCCACUAGUAGCAGGCAUGGGUGCAGUGUGACGUCCCAUAGAAAAAUCAAAAAUGUGAUGAACUACAUCACGAUUGAUUCGAAGAACCCUGCCAUUCCCGAAGUCCAUUGUCAUCAUGGUAGGGUCAGUCACUCCCAUCAGAUAGCACAUAAGAAUGCGGGACACAUUUUUCUUUACUGUCAAUUCAAAGAUAACACCAAAGCCAGCAUCCAGAACAUGAUUACAGUGUGCUUAUUUCAAUAAAGCAGCAUGUUUGCACAUAGUGGGAGCAACAAACGUAUGGUCUUGUUAAAUCGAGCAUCAUCUCCCUCGGCAUCAUCUUCAGUGACCUUGCUCUUACUAGAUUUCCUCCUCUGUGUGAAGGAAAAUGCAGUCCACAUUAGAAGAUUAGACACAAAAGGGACAAAAAAGGCAGAUAGAAUAACAAUGAAAGAAACAAAUGCAGUCCACUUCAACAAACCUUUGUAGCAACAUCUGCCUCCCUACCAGAGUCUGCAUCAGCAUCUUCGUUGCCAUCAUCACGGGGCCGCUUGGGUUGACUCUUAGAUGGACCACAAUCUUUCCGCCUACCAGUCUUAACAUCCCUCACAAAAUAGGGACAAUUGCAUUUUUACCCCUAGUUGGUUCCUACCCACGGGUUUUGCCCUUACUUUUCGAGCUUGCUCAGUUUUGCCCUUAUUUUUUCCAUUGAGGUUCCUCGAAUGCCCUUUGACCGUUUGACCAAAACUUUGAAAAUUCAUAACUAAUUCACAUGAACUCAGAAAAAUGCAAAUAAGAUAUUAAAAUGUUCAGAUAAACAUUACCUUUAUGGGCAUAUCAUUUGCAUUCAAGACAAAAGCAUCAUUUAAACUACCCGAGGUAAUUAGUGUUAUUAACAUUAUUAAAAAUAAAUAGGUAUAAACAAUAUUUUUUUCAUGAAUAAAAAUUACAUGCAAAUGUAGGUGAUGUUUUCUGAACAUCCUGAUACCUUAUUUGCAUUUUCCUGAGUUCGUAUCAACUUGUUAUGAAGUUUCCAAAUAAUGGUCAAAGUCGUUAGAACAUUCAUAACAAGUUGAUACAAACUCUGAAAAAUGCAAAUAAGUUAUCAGGAUGUUCAGAAAACAUCACCUACAUUUGCAUGUAAUUUUUAUUCAUGAAAAAAAUAUUGUUUAUACCUAUUUAUUUUUAAUAAUGUUAAUAACACUAAUUACCUCGGGUAAUUUAAAUGAUGCUUUUGUCUUGAAUGCAAAUGAUAUGCCCAUAAAGGUAAUGUUUAUCUGAACAUUUUGAUAUCUUAUUUGCAUUUUUCUGAGUUCAUAUGAAUUAGUUAUGAAUUUUCAAAGUUUUGGUCAAACAGUCAAAGGGCAUUCGAGGGAUCUCGACAGAAAAAGUAAGGGCAAAACUGAGCAAGCUCGAAAAGUAAGGGCAAAACCCGUGGGUAGGAACCAACUAGGGGUAAAAAUGUAAUUGUCCCCACAAAAUAAGCAAGCAAAAAGUCGUCAUCUUCAGAGUUGGGCCCUUCACUGACAUGUGGUCGCUUAUGCUAAGGAUCCUCUGCACCAACUUCAGCACUUAUCUUACCAAGGUUCUUGUUCAUGCAAGCAACACGAGGACUCUGCCGAGGAGUACCACCUUCCUCAGCAACAAAACUCAGUCUCUUCUUCUACAAAGCAGGCUGCUUCACCCUUGGCACCAUAUAUAGCUCUCAUCAGCUUCUCCUUCUCUGCAUACUCCUUUGAGUCACUUUCAAACCUCAACUUCUUCCUGCGUUGCUUCAAUUCAUAUGCACGAAGCUGUUCCGAGAUCAUCCACUCAUGUGUAACUUCCUCUGUAUCAUCAACAGAUUGUGAUUGUGUUUCCGACAAGAUGGGACGUCUAAGGCUCUGGUCAAAGCUCACACCAACAUCACCCUCUGCAAAAUAAUGGUUAAUCAAUUGAGUAACCUCCUCAAACCCACAUGCCCCAACAUGAAAAACAGACACUGCAUCAAAAUGAAGAUUAACUAUGGUCACUAAGAAGUGCGCAAAAGGAACAAAUGCAGUACACGUAUACAUAUAAAUGUAGUGUUGCAUACAUAAGCUAAAUAAAAAAUAAUGCAGUUCAUAUAUCAAUGUAAUGGAGUACACCCAUAUGCAUACAAAAAUACAAAUAAAACAACAAUGUAGUUCACACAUACAUAUAGUGGAGUUCACAUAUACAUAUAAAUGCAGUGCUACAUAAACUAACUUCACGUUUGUUUCCAAAAAAAUGUCUAACUAGAUACAGCAAGGCAACAACAGUUUUUACAACAUCAAGUAAGCAGCAUACACAAUAAACAAAGCAUUCGCAUAAAAAAUAAUAGUUAUUUAUAAGAACAAUGCAUUUCAAAACUCAUAGGACACAUAUGAAAUUUACAAUAGAAAGAGUGAUACAACCAAUUUGGCAAACUAAAAUAAGAAGAAAAAACAUACCAAAAGGAGGGGCCCACUUAUGGGAGAAGAUUCAAUUGGUGAAUUCACUCCAUGGCCUGCCUCACCACCAUCACCAUUACCACUAGGACAACGAGAACCAUUGGGGUGUCAUUGUGACCAGUGCAAUCACCUACUGGAUCCAAUAAAAACCAGAAACAGAAAUUACAAAACAUCACAUGACAAAUAAUGCCAGCAACGCUGACAAAUACACACAUUAAAUAAAUCUGCAGGAUGAACUAGGCAACUAGAUAAACAACACAGAAAAUAAACAAAGGCCAGGCAACUAGUCCACAUACCUUGAACUCCUCCUACUUUGCUUGGCGAAGACAUGACGUUUUCCUACAGCGCAAGGACGGAGUGACAGAUAUCAGCGACAAAAUCAACGAAAUCUGACAAAACCCUAGAUGCACCUUGCUCUAUCUACAAAGCACACACGAGUAUCAACUUCGAAUCAAGAUCAAAUCGCCUGCUUACGCAAAAAAAUAUAAGCAAAAACACAGCAGUCACUACGAGAAUCACAAAACUAGAUGAGGGGACGAUCAAGACCGAGUGCACGAGAAACAUAUCGCAAAAAAGAGGAUGACUGGUGGUGGUUGGGGUGGGGCGGGUGCGGAGGGGAAAGGGCUGGGGGAGUGGAGUGGAAAGGGGUGGGGAGCAGACGAGGGCGCGGAAUGCAGGAUUAUGGGCCUCUUAAGGAUGGCGGUUCCGCGGGCGGCGAUGGUUGCUGCAGGCGGCGGCGGUUUUGCUCGAAAGAGGGGUUAAGGAGGCACUGCAAGAGAUGGGAGACAUUUCUUUUCGGUCUCUCCCUAUGAGUGGAGCAGUGGGAGCGCCUGGGAGGGCCACGUGUGAGGUCCACGUGGGAAGGGUUAUAUAAACGGGCCGGCCCAAAAUGGCACGCAUAAAUUAGAUGGACCAGUUCGAAACAAAGAAGUUCAUACCAAAUGUAGUUCGCUAUGAUGGAAAGCGAAGUUCGAACGAUUAAACAAAUAAAUGCAUGUAGUUCAUACAGUUAAAGUGGAAAAAGCAACACACGUUUUAAGAUAACACAUCCGAAAAAGAAGCCUACCUUCAAAUAAGUGUCACAAAAAAAUGGGGGGGUCCCGCCAGCCCCCCCCCCCACCUGUGCCAGGGGUUGCAGCAAGUACACGCAAAAUAGGUGCAGUACACGGCUCUCGACAAUGUAGUGCACUUAUUAUACGAAGCAGUGCGGUAGCGUAACCAACGCAGUUUCGGAAAUACGGAUAAUACAUAUAACGGGACAAUGCCCGUUUGGAAAAAACAUGGCGAAAAAUAAAAUAAAACCACGUUAAAAAAACCAGGUUUAGAGACAACCACCCAAUCCGAGCAGUUGCACCGCCACAAACCCACGAUCGUAGGUGCUACCCAACCCACGAUCUGCACAAACCGCAUCGUCGGCGAGAUCAUGCAGUUCAUCCCCUGCGGCCAUCUCCCCCUUAAAUUCAGACCCCUUCCAAGGCUUUCUCAUACACAACAACACAAGUCACCAUUGCCCUGCCACCAAAUCUUUCCAUCACAUCAAUCUCCAUAGAAGAGACCAAGCCCUACUGCCGGCGAUGGGGUUCGUCGACGAGUACACGAAGGUGGAGGCCCAUGGAAACACCAAGUUUCACGUGAUCCACACCAACUACAAGAAGCAGAUGGCAACCUCCAUCGAGUAGUACGAGGGCCACCUCAGGCUCUAGCGCCACAAGAUCAUCAGAAUUGACCUAGAGUACACCAACGAGCCUAUCGAGACGCAGAAACCCGCACUCGUCCAACUCUCCGUAGGCAAGACUCAGCCGAUGCUGCUCUUCCAACUGAGUGUCGCUGAAAGGUGCACCAUCUUUGUCAACUUUCCUCACCGACCCCAGGUACACGUUUGUUGGCUUCUCCAUCGACAGCGACAAAACCAGGCUCGAGCACGUCAAUCUGGAGGUCACCAACUUCGUUGACAUCUAGAAGGAAUGGAGGGUGCCCAAGGCCACCAAGUACUUGGACUCCCUUGCAGACAUCGCCAACAUGCUCGUCGACGACUACUACAACAACAUGAAGAAGAACAUCACCAACGAAGAACACGGGUGCUGGGCCUCCCUACCCCUGUCCAUGAGGCACGUCGAGUAUGCAGCAAAGGACGCAUACGCACCAUACGAGAUAUGGAACCGCAUCACCCUCACCCAGGACGGGCUUCGUCGCGCAAAGCUGGAGAAGGAGGAGCACCCCAAGAAGCGCGCCAGGAGCUGGGGAGACUUCACCUGGUGAAGAAGCAGACGGUGUCGGCCAAGAAAGUAUCUCCAACAUUGCUUGCGUCAUUUUAGAUUUAUCACCAAAUUUGCUUCUGUUGUUUGCUUGUAAAGUUACUUUGCUUGUGAAUGGCUUUUGCUGAACUUAGAUUGCUUUUCAUACAAAAUGGUUUGUAAUGAUGAACUUUGCUUAUGUUAUGAAGUACUUUUUCAAUUCCAAAACUAGAGUUCAAUAUUACAAACAUACUACAGUGCACAUAAAGUAUGUGAUUCGAGCAGUGCACAAACGGAUGAAGAUGCGGUGCACAUAAGUGAUGCAUGUAGUGCAAAAUUUUAGCACAUGCAGUACAGUACUCUGACGAAUGCAGUGCACACAGAUCUAACAAAAGAGUGCACACCGUAUAUUAGAAAAGAAUAUGUAAAAUGAAAAACACAAAGAAAAAUUCGACCAAAGAUGCAGUGCACAAAAAGGGUGCAUGCAGUGCAAAAAAUGCUCCUGCAUAUGUAGUGCAAAAUGUGGGCACAUGCAAUACAGAAGCAUGAUGAAUACAGUGCACAAUGAUCUAACUAAGCAGUGCACGCCCUAUAUUUGAAGAUACGUAAGAAGGAAAAUGUGAAGAAAAAAAAUUGACCACUCAGGUGCACAUGCAGUACAGUACUACGACGAAUGCACUGCAAACAGAUCUACAAAAGCAGUGCACAACUGUAUAUUAGAAAAGAAUAUGUAAAGAGGAAAACGGCAAGAAAAAUUUUACCAAGAUGCAGUGCACAAAAAGGAUGCAUGCAGUCCAAAAAAUGAUUCGGCAUAUGUAGUGCGAAAUGUGGGCACAUGCAGUACAGAAGCAUGAUGAAUGCAGUGCACAAUGAUCUAACUAAGCAGUGCACGCCCUAUAUUUGAAGAUACGUGAGGAAAAUAUGAAAAAAAAUUGACCACCAAGGUGCAACCAGAACCCAGCCAGUCUCAUACUAGGUAACGAGCAUGCUUUGAACACAGGCGAGUCCAUUCUGAGCUACGAUGCAUGGGCCCAGGCACACAAGGGCCCAUAGGUGAGCGGAAUAUAGUGCAUAGAGCGAUGUGUAUAAGCGCCCAAUCAGUAACCAAAGGAGUUUGAUAACUCUGCCUCGCCAGAGCUUAUCAACCAGUCCGGGGCGCUCUCGGCCGGCGAGGUGGGACUAAACAUUAGCGCGCGCACACAGCGCACCACGAACCAACGGUGCUCGCAGGCCGACUUGGGCCGAAUGCGUCUUUGCUCCCCAACACAGGGCCAACACGCGAGAGAUGCCACUAAAUAUUAAAAACAUUCCCACAUACCACAGAAAACCACGGCCCAAAAAAUAACUAGAAAAAUAAAAACAAUAACACAAUCCAGGGACUCUGCAGUUAGUUUACAUACAAUAUGCAGUUCGGUUAGACUCAAGUAAGCAGUGUUGUUGUUUAUCAAAUGCAUUCUCGUAAACUGAAUCAAAAUCCUUCCACCACCUAACACCAACCACUACAUUUAUUACUUCCAUUGCUUAAUUGGCUGCAUAAAAUCUAUCCAUUCGUGCUCCGGACUCACACAACGCCUCCCCACUUCCUCUGCUUCUUCAAAUCGUAGAUCUAGGGUUCCGCCCAUCCCCAACUGUUCUCUGAAAUUCCAGUGAAGGACUGUUCGUGCGGGUGCUUGGCAAGGAUGGCUCGGAUAGCGGACACAUGCGUGUACGCAGAUGGUCUCGAGCUCAUCGAUGACGAAUGGCGCAGCAAGCUCGGGUGCCUGAUGAUACCCAACAGGGGGUUUUGGGCGCCAUUUCUUCAUCACCUCACAUCCGCAGACCUGCAGGAAAAAUGGGUGUGUUUUCCCUCAUAUUUUUUUGACAAAUCUAGGCUGCAAAAUCCACAGAUGAAUGUAUAUUUCCAUCAAUUUGUUCAGUAGUAUCAGCAAUACAAAAGAUUUGUGAUGUUGUUCAGAUUUGUCAGCUAUUAAGACUAGAUAGGUCUAUCUAUAUUUCUUCAGUACCACACUAGGUGUCAACACUACUUAGAUCAGAACCCCAAUACACGAACAAAAAAGAGGUUCCAUAGAUCGGUGUUGCAGUUCUCUUAACAUGCUAAGGAAGUACACUGCAAAUGACCUUGCAGUGCAAACAUGUUAUAGUAUAAUAUAUAUUCUACUAAAACUAGAGGUAAGUCCGUAUAUAAUUUUGUUCAUACAUUGCAACUGCUUUCUUAAAUAGUAUUCAUAUAUAUAUAUGUACAUAUUUAAGUCAACAUAAAUAGAUCAUCCUAAUAUAAAAGAAAAACCUUUGGUGUUUACUUUUAAAAAAUCUUUUUCCAUGCAUGCCAAAAUACAGAAACUAUCAUCCACAAUAAGGUUUCCUGCUCCGAGUUUAGGGAAGGUUACUUUGGAGACACAACACAAGAAUGGGUAUGCAGACAUGCAAGCUGACUACCACAUUGACUCUGAAGACUGCACCAACAUAACUACUGGCUAGAGAAGUGGCCAUGGUGUUUUUUCUACAAAGAAGAAGACUCCCUGAAGUUUAUAAUAUUUGCACUAUAGGUUGUCUAGGAUAAAGCAAGCCAUCUAUGGCAUAUUCUAAUGCUUUCCUUAUGUUGUACGCUUUUAAAAUUAUGUCCAUCAGAAGCUUUGAACGGUGCCUUUUUAAAGUAUGCGACCUCAUCUGAAUCAUUUUAUCACCCUUUUAGAUAAGUUGCUGGUGAUAGAAAUGCAGUUCUCUAAUACACAUAGUGCGGCCCUUAUAAAAAACGCAAUACUCAGAACAGUAACAAUGCAAUGCCAAUGGACGAAACUUUGUAGUCAACCUAUGAUGUUCAAAAGAAUUCUCAUGGUAUGGAGUUCAGAAGAAUUGACAUAAUAGCAUAAAUAACAGCAUACCUAUUCUGAUAAUGUAGUACGAAAGUGCAUAUUAUGCAGUUCUCUGGAACACAAAAUGCAGUUUAAGAAAAAGAGAAAUCUCAUAAGCUGUCAUGCCCAUGUAAUACAAUUACAUUGAAGUCCACUACUAACGAAAAUGCAGUACACUACAAACAUAUGCCAUAUCUACAAAAAUAAAAUCAAAGCAGUACAGAUCCAGAUAUGUGGGAGACUAACAGAGGUGCCAAUUCCACUCGCGGUUCGAUAAGUCACCUAAAUAUUGCGCAACCACUCAAAUUUGAACAAUUACCCGAAAAAAGCACAUCAAACCCACGGCCAGUGGGAUGAACAACAUGCGCUAUUCUUUAAAAAUGCAACGAAAAGUAUGAACAUUACAGGCGCAAUACAGUGAAUUCAAACAAAACAGAGAAACUAAUUACAAGAUUCAAAAUGCAUCGGCGCACAAAAUUCAAAAAAACAACAAGAACAAAGGUGUAGCGACCCGACCCGAAUGGAUCAAGUCUCUGUGCUCCGGUGUCAUCCCUGGAUCAGUAAUGCUGACACCACACAAUACUUCGAAGGAUUUAUAACAGAGUAGCAAUCACACACUUAUUACAUCGUUUGUCCAGAAGAGGACUUAUUACAAUAAUCAUGGCUUAAGGCCAUCUAAUAACGAUAACAGCGGAAGACUUGGAAGAUAAGUGAGUCCAUCAACUCCAACGGCAUCACUGAGUAUAUAACCACGACCUAAAAGCACCUUAUUCAUCGUCUGAAAAGUCUGCAACAUGAAAAGUUGCAGCCCGAAAAUGGGUCAGCACAUGGAAUUGUUGGGUUAUGUAGUAAUUUCAAAAAAUUUCCUACGCACACGCAAGAUCAUGUGAUGCAUAGCAACGAGGGGGAGAGUAUUGUCUACGUACCCAACGCAGACCGACUGCGGAAGCGAUGACACGACGUAGAGGAAGUAGUCGUACGUCUUCACGAUCCAACCGAUCAAGCACCGAAACUACGGCACCUCCGAGUUCGAGCACACGUUCAGCUCGAUGACGAUCCCCGGACUCCGAUCCAGCAAAGUGUCGGGGAAGAGUUCCGUCAGCACGACGGCGUGGUGACGAUCUUGAUGAACUACAGCAGCAGGGCUUCGCCUAAACUCCGCUACAGUAUUAUCGAGGAAUAUGGUGGCAGGGGGCACCGCACACGGCUAAGGAACAGAUCACGUGGAUCAACUUGUGUCAACUUAUGUGUUUUGGGGUGCCUCUACCUCAGUAUAUAAAGGAGCCAAGGGGGGGAGGAGGCGCCGGCCAAGGAGGGAGGCGCAGGAGGAGUCCUACUCCUACCGGGAGUAGGACUCCCCCCCCCCAAUCCUAUUCCAACUAGGAUUCCCAAGGGGGAAAGAGGGAGAGGGGUGGCCAGCCACCUCUCCUAGUCCUAAUAGGACUAGGGGAAGGGGGGAGGCGCGCAGCCCCCUUGGGCUGCCCCUUUCUCCUUUCCACUAAGACCCAUGAAGGCCCAUAUGGCUCCCGGGGGGUUCCGGUAACCUCCCGGUAACCCGGUAAAAUCCCGAUUUCACCCGGAACACUUCCGAUGUCCAAACAUAGGCUUCCAAUAUAUCAAUCUUUAUGUCUCGACCAUUUCGAGACUCCUCGUCAUGUUCGUGAUCACAUCCGGGACUCCGAACAACCUUCGGUACAUCAAAAUGCAUAAACUCAUAAUAUAACUGUCAUCAUAACCUUAGCGUGCGGACCCUACAGGUUCGAGAACAAUGUAGACAUGACCGAGACACGUCUCUGGUCAAUAACCAAUAGCGGGACCUGGAUGCCCAUAUUGGCUCCUACAUAUUCUAUGAAGAUCUUUAUCGGUCAGACCGCAUAACAACAUACGUUGUUCCCUUUGUCAUCGGUAUGUUACUUGCCCGAGAUUCGAUCGUCGGUAUCCAAUACCUAGUUCAAUCUUGUUACCGGCAAGUCUCUUUACUCGUUCCGUAAUACAUCAUCUCACAACUAACAUAUUAGUUGUAAUGCUUGCAAGGCUUAUGUGAUGUGUAUUACCGAGAGGGCCCAGAGACACCUCUCCGACAAUCGGAGUGACAAAUCCUAAUCUCGAAAUACGCCAACCCAACAUCGACCAUUGGAGACACCUGUAGUACUCCUUUAUAAUCACCCAGUUACGUUGUGACGUUUGGUAGUACCCAAAGUGUUCCUCCGGUAAACGGGAGUUGCAUAAUCUCAUAGUCAUAGGAACAUGUAUAAGUCAUGAAGAAAGCAAUAGCAACAUACUAAAUGAUCGGGUGCUAAGCUAAUGGAAUGGGUCAUGUCAAUCAGAUCAUUCUACUAAUGAUGUGACCUCGUUAAUCAAAUAACAACUCAUUGUUCAUGGUUAGGAAACAUAACCAUCUUUGAUUAACGAGCUAGUCAAGUAGAGGCAUACUAGUGACACUUUGUUUGUCUAUGUAUUCACACAUGUAUUAUGUUUCCGGUAAAUACAAUUCUAGCAUGAAUAAUAAACAUUUAUCAUGAUUAUAAGGAAAUAAAUAAUAACUUUAUUAUUGCCUCUAGGGCAUAUUUCCUUCAAUCUCCCACUUGCACUAGAGUCAAUAAUCUAGUUCACAUCGCCAUGUGAUUUAACAGCAAUAGUUCAUAUCACCAUGUGAUUAACACCCAUAGUUCACAUCGAUAUGUGAUCAACACUCAAAAGGGUUUACUAGAGUCAAUAAUCUAGUUCACAUCAUUUAUGUGAUUAACACCCAAAGAGUACUAAGGUGUGAUCAUGUUUUGCUUGUGAGAUAAUUUAGUCAACGGGUCUGUCACAUUCAGAUCCGUAAGUAUUUUGAGAAUUUCUAUGUCAACAAUGCUCUGCACGGAGCUACUCUAGCUUAUUGCUCCCACUUUCAAUAUGUAUCUAGAUCAAGACUUAGAGUCAUCCAGAUCUGUGUCAAAACUUGCAUCGACGUAACCUUUUUACGACGAACCUUUUGUCACCUCCAUAAUCGAGAAAUAUUUCCUUAUUUCACUAAGGAUAAUUUUGACCAAUGUCCAGUGAUCUACUCCUAGAUCACUAUUGUACUCCCUUGCCAAACUUAGUGGUAGGGCAUAUAAUAGAUCUGGUAUAUAGCAUGGCAUACUUUAUAGAACCUAUGACUGAGGCAUAGGGAAUGACUUUUAUUCUCUUUCUAUUUUCUGCCGUGGUCGGGCUUUGAGUCUUACUCAACUUCACACCUUGUAAUACAGGCAAGAACUCUUUCUUUGACUGCUCCAUUUUGAACUACUUCAAAAUCUUGUCAAGGUAUGUACUCAUUGAAAAAUUUAUCAAGCGUCUUGAUCUAUCCCUAUAGAUCUUGAAGCUCAAUAUGUAAGCAGCUUGACCAAAGUCUUUCUAUGAAAAACUCCUUUCAAACACUCCUUUUAUGCUUUACAGAAUAAUUCUACAUUAUUUCCGAUCAACAAUAUGUCAUUCACAUAUACUUAUCAGAAAUGUUGUAGUGCUCCCACUCACUUUCUUGUAAAUACAGGCUUCACCGCAAGUCUGUAUAAAACUUAUAUGCUUUGAUCAACUUAUCAAAGCGUAUAUUCCAACUCCGAGAUGCUUGCACCAGUCCAUAGAUGGAUCGCUGGAGCUUGCAUAUUUUGUUAGCACCUUUAGGAUUGUCAAACCCUUCUGGUUGUAUCAUAUACAACUCUUCUUUAAUAAAUCCAUUAAGGAAUGCAGUUUUGUCUAUCCAUUUGCCGGAUUUCAUAAAAUACGGCAAUUGCUAACAUGAUUCGGACAGACUUAAGCAUCGCUACGGGUGAGAAGGUCUCAUCGUAGUCAAUCCCUUGAACUUGCCGAAAACCUUUUGCGACAAGUCGAGCUUUGUAGACAGUAACAUUACCAUCAGCGUCAGUCUUCUUCUUAAAGAUCCAUUUAUUCUCAAUUGCUUGCCGAUCAUCGGGCAAGUCAACCAAAGUCCAUACUUUGUUCUCAUACAUGGAUCCCAUUUCAGAUUUCAUGGCUUCAAGCCACUUUGCGGAAUCUGGGCUCACCAUCGCUUCUUCAUAGUUCGUAGGUUCAUCAUGAUCUAGUAGCAUGACUUCCAGAACAGGAUUACCGUACCACUCUGGUAUGGAUCUUACUCUGGUUGAUCUACGAGGUUUAGUAGUAUCUUGAUCUGAAGUUUCAUGAUCAUUAUCAUUGGCUUCCUCACUAACUGGUGUAGGUGUCACUGAAACAGUUUUCUGUGAUGAACUACUUUCCAGUAAGGGAGCAGGUACAGUUACCUCAUCAAGUUCUACUUUCCUCCCACUCACUUCUUUCGAGAGAAACUCCUUCUCCAGAAAGGAUCCAUUUUUAGCAACGAAUAUCUUGCCUCCGGAUCUGUGAUAGAAGGUGUACCCAACAAUUUCCUUUGGGUAUUCUAUGAAGACGCACUUCUCCGAUUUGGGUUCGAGCUUAUCAGGAUGAAACUUUUCCACAUAAGCAUCGCAGCCCCAAACUUUAAGAAACGACAACUUGGGUUUCUUGCUAAACCACAGUUCAUAUAGUGUCGUCUCAACAGAUUUAGAUGGUGCCCUUUUAACGUGAAUGCAGCUGUCUCUAAUGCAUAACCCCAAAACGACAAUGGUAAAUCAAUAAGAGACAUCAUAGAUCGCACCAUAUCCAAUAAAGCGCGGUUACGACGUUCGGACACACCAUAACAUUGUGGUGUUCCAGGUGGCGUGAGCUAUGAAACUAUUCCACAUUGUUUUAAUUGAAGACCAAACUCGUGACUCAAAUAUUCGUCUCCGUGAUCAGAUCGCAGAAACUUUAUUUUUCUUGUUACGAUGAUUUUUCCACUUCACUCUGAAAUUCUUUGAACCUUUCAAUUAUUUCAGACUUAUGUUUCAUCAAGUAGAUAUCCCCAUAUCUGCUCAAAUCAUCUUGUGAAGGUCAGAAAAUAAUGAUACCUGCUGUAAGACUUAAUAUUCAUCGGACCACAUACAUCGGUAUGUAUGAUUUCCAACAAAUCUGUUGCUUGCUUCAUUGUUCCGGAGAACGGCGUUUUAGUCAUCUUGCCCAUAAGGCAUGGUUCGCAAGCAUCAAGUGAUUCAUAAUCAAGUGAUUCCAAAAUCCCAUCAGCAUGGAGUUUCUUCAUGCGCUUUACACCAAUAUGACCUAAACGGCAGUGCCAUAAAUAAGUUGCACUAUCAUUAUUAACUUUACAUCUUUUGGUUUCAAUAUUAUGAAUAUGUGUAUCACUAAGAUCGAGAUCCAAUGAACUAUUUUCAUUGGGUGUGUAACCAUAUAAAGUUUUAUUCAUGUAAACAGAACAACAAUUUAUUCUUUUACUUAAAUGAAUAACCGUAUUACAAUAAACAUGAUCAAAUCAUAUUCAUGCUCAACGCAAACACCAAAUAACACUUAUUUAGUUUCAACACUAAUCCCGAAAUUAUAGGGAGUGUGCGAUGAUGAUCAUAUCAAUCUUGGAACCACUUCCAACACACAUCGUCACUUCACCCUUAACUAGUCUCUGUUUAUUCUGCAACUCCCGUUUCGAGUUACUAGUCUUAGCAACUGAACUAGUAUCAAAUACUUAGGGUUUGCUAUAAACACUAGUAAAGUACACAUCAAUAACAUGUAUAUCAAAUAUACUUAUGUUCACUUUGCCAUCCUUCUUAUCCGCCAAUCACUUGGGGUGGUUCCGUUUCCGGUGACCAGUCCCUUUGCAGUAGAAGCACUUAGUCUCAGGCUUAGGACCAGACUUGGGCUUCUUCACUUGAGCAGCAACUUGCUUGUCGUUCUUCUUGAAGUUCCCCUUCUUCCCUUUGCCCUUUUCUUGAAACUAGUGGUCUUAUCAACCAUCAACACUUGAUGUUUUUCUUGAUUUCUACCUUCAUUGAUUUCAUCAUCACGAAGAGCUUGGGAGUUGUUUCCGUUAUCCCUUGCAUAUUAUAGUUCAUCACGAAGUUCUACUAACUUGGUGAUGGUGACUAGAGAAUUCUGUCAAUCACUAUCUUAUCUGGAAGAUUAACUCCCACUUGAUUCAAGCGAUUGUAGUACCCAGACAAUCUGAGCACAUGCUCACUAGUUGAGCGAUUCUCCUCCAUCUUUUAGCUAUAGAAUUUGUUGGAGACUUCAUAUCUCACAACUCGGGUAUUUGCUUGAAAUAUUAACUUCAACUCCUGGAACAUCUCAUAUGGUCCAUGACGUUCAAAACGUCUUUGAAGUCCCGAUUCUAAGCUGUUAAGCAUGGUGCACUUAAACUAUCAAGUAGUCAUCAUAUUGAGCUAGCUAAACGUUCAUAACGUUUGCAUCUGCUCCUGCAAUAGGUCUGUUACCUAGCGGGCAUCAAGGACAUAAUUCUUCUGUGCACCAAUGAGGAUAAUCCUCAGAUCACGGAUCCAAUCCGCAUCAUUGCUACUAACAUCUUUCAACACAAUUUUCUCUAGGAACAUAUCAAAAUAAACACAGGGAAGCAACAACGCGAGCUAUUGAUCUAUAAUUUGCAAAAUACUACCAGGACUAAGUUCAUGAUAAAUUUAAGUUCAAUUAAUCAUAUUACUUAAGAACUCCCACUUAGAUAGACAUCCCUCUAAUCCUCUAAGUGAUCACGUGAUCCAAAUCAACUAAACCAUGACCGAUCAUCACGUGAGAUGGAGUAGUUUUCAAUGGUGAACAUCGUUAUGUUGAUCAUAUCUACUAUAUGAUUCACGCUCGACCUUUCGGUCUCCGUGUUCCGAGGCCAUAUCUGCAUAUGCUAGGCUCGUCAAGUUUAACCUGAGUAUUCUGCGUGUGCAAAACUGGCUUGCACCCGUUGUAGAUGGACGUAGAGCUUAUCACACCCGAUCAUCACGUGGUGUCUGGGCACGACGAACUUUGGCAACGGUGCAUACUCAGGGAGAACACUUCUUGAUAAUUUAGUGAGAGAUCAUCUUAUAAUGCUACCGUCAAUCAAAGCAAGAUAAGAUGCAUAAAAAGAUAAACAUCACAUGCAAUCAAUAUAAUUGAUAUGAUAUGGCCAUCAUCAUCUUGUGCCUGUGAUCUCCAUCUCCGAAGCACCGUCAUGAUCACCAUCGUCACCAGCGCGACACCCUGAUCUCCAUCGUAGCAUCGUUGUCGUCUCGCCAAUCUUAUGCUUCCACGACUAUCACCAACGUUUAGUAAUAAAGUAAAGCAUUACAUCGCGAUUGCAUUGCAUACAAUAAAGCGACAACCAUAUGGCUCCUGCCAGUUGCCGAUAACUCGGUUACAAAACAUGAUCAUCUCAUACAAUAAAAUUCAGCAUCAUGCCUUGACCAUAUCACAUCACAACAUGCCCUGCAAAAACAAGUUAGACGUCCUCUACUUUGUUGUUGCAUGUUUUACGUGGCUGCUACGGGCUUAAGUAAGAACCAAUCUCACCUACGCAUCAAAACCACAACGAUAGUUUGUCAAAUAGACUCCGUUUUAACCUUUGCAAGGACCGGGCGUAGCCAUACUUGGUUCAACUAAAGUUGGAGAGGCAGUCGCCCGCAAGCCAUCUCUGUGCAAAGCACGUCGAGGGAACCGGUCUCGCGUAAGCGUACGCGUAAGGUUGGUCUGGGUCGUCUCGUCCAACAAUACCGCCGAACCAAAGUAUGACAUGCUGGUAGGCAGUAUGACUUGUAUCGUCCACAACUCACUUGUGUUCUACUCGUGCAUAUAACAUCAACAUAAAUAACCUAGGCUCGGAUGCCACUGUUGGGUUAUGUAGUAAUUUCAAAAAAAUUCCUACGCACACGCAAGAUCAUGUGAUGCAUAGCAACGAGGGGGAGAGUAUUGUCUACGUACCCAACGCAGACCAACUGCGGAAGCGAUGACACGACGUAGAGGAAGUAGUUGUACGUCUUCACGAUCCAACCGAUCAAGCACCGAAACUACGGCACCUCCGAGUUCGAGCACACGUUCAGCUCGAUGACGAUCCCCGGACUCCAAUCCAGCAAAGUGUCGGGGAAGAGUUCCGUCAGCACGACGGCGUGGUGACGAUCUUGAUGAACUACAGCAGCAGGGCUUCGCCUAAACUCCGCUACAGUAUUAUCGAGGAAUAUGGUGGCACGGGGCACCGCACACGGCUAAGGAACAGAUCACGUGGAUCAACUUGUGUCAACUUAUGUGUUUUGGGGUGCCUCUACCUCAGUAUAUAAAGGAGCCAAGGGGGGGAGGAGGCGCCGGCCAAGGAGGGAGGCGCAGGAGGAGUCCUACUCCUACCGGGAGUAGGACUCCCCCCCCCCCCAAUCCUAUUCCAACUAGGAUUCCCAAGGGGGAAAGAGGGAGAGGGGUGGCCGGCCACCUCUCCUAGUCCUAAUAGGACUAGGGGAAGGGGGGAGGCGCGCAGCCCCCUUGGGCUGCCCCUUUCUCCUUUCCACUAAGACCCAUGAAGGCCCAUAUGGCUCCCGGGGGGUUCCGGUAACCUCCCGGUAACCCGGUAAAAUCCCGAUUUCACCCGGAACACUUCCGAUAUCCAAACAUAGGCUUCCAAUAUAUCAAUCUUUAUGUCUCGACCAUUUCGAGACUCCUCGUCAUGUCCGUGAUCACAUCCGGGACUCCGAACAACCUUCGGUACAUCAAAAUGCAUAAACUCAUAAUAUAACUGUCAUCGUAACCUUAAGCGUGCGGACCCUACGGGUUCGAGAACAAUGUAGACAUGACCGAGACACGUCUCUGGUCAAUAACCAAUAGCGGGACCUGGAUGCCCAUAUUGGCUCCUACAUAUUCUAUGAAGAUCUUUAUCGGUCAGACCGCAUAACAACAUACGUUGUUCCCUUUGUCAUCGGUAUGUUACUUGCCCGAGAUUCGAUCGUCGGUAUCCAAUACCUAGUUCAAUCUCGUUACCGGCAAGUCUCUUUACUCGUUCCAUAAUACAUCAUCUCACAACUAACAUAUUAGUUGUAAUGCUUGCAAGGCUUAUGUGAUGUGUAUUACCGAGAGGGCCCAGAGACACCUCUCCGACAAUCGGAGUGACAAAUCCUAAUCUCGAAAUACGCCAACCCAACAUCGACCAUUGGAGACACCUGUAGUACUCCUUUAUAAUCACCCAGUUACGUUGUGACGUUUGGUAGUACCCAAAGUGUUCCUCCGGUAAACGGGAGUUGCAUAAUCUCAUAGUCAUAGGAACAUGUAUAAGUCAUGAAGAAAGCAAUAGCAACAUACUAAACGAUCGGGUGCUAAGCUAAUGGAAUGGGUCAUGUCAAUCAGAUCAUUCUACUAAUGAUGUGACCUCGUUAAUCAAAUAACAACUCAUUGUUCAUGGUUAGGAAACAUAACCAUCUUUGAUUAACGAGCUAGUCAAGUAGAGGCAUACUAGUGACACUUUGUUUGUCUAUGUAUUCACACAUGUAUUAUGUUUCCGGUAAAUACAAUUCUAGCAUGAAUAAUAAACAUUUAUCAUGAUUAUAAGGAAAUAAAUAAUAACUUUAUUAUUGCCUCUAGGGCAUAUUUCCUUUAGGAAUAUGCUGGCAAUGUAACACAUAUAGAGAAAUAAUGAGUAUUGGCUAUACUACAUGCAUAUUUGGCUGGUGGAAAAGCUCUAUGGUUAUAGUUUUUUCAUAAAGGCAGUUUUUCCCUACUACAAAGGAAUAAAUUUAUUUAACUAUCAUGGUAGUUGUUAAACAUUGAGAAUGGUUGACAGCAUCCUCAAUCCCAAUUAAAAGUACUCAUUUAAAACCCAACAAUAUUAAUUAGAAGUAACAUGUUGAGAUUCAACAGGAUAAGCCAAGUACUAGAUACUCAAGACGUCCAUAACCGGGGACACGGCUAAUCAUGAUUAGUUUGUACACUCUGCAGAGGUUUGCGCACUUUUCCCCACAAGACUCGAUCGCCUCCGCUUGGUUUCUCGCACUACAUGGUGUUUAAGAAACGGAUGACCGAGACAUAGUCUUUCAGAAGUGCUAGCACCUUACGAUGGGUGGACCGGUACACCUACAUCCCCUACAUCUGCUAGUCCACCACUAUAAGAGUUCGCACGACUUAGUCAACUAUGCCGGAGCCCAUAAUGGCUUGUGGCUGCACACAUAAGUUACUAGUAUGAAUUAUCUAAUGAUCCCUUUGAGCCUGGGUGGCGGUCCGAAGAAAUACAGGCAAGUCCUGCUAGAAAACAGGUGCCUCAAUCCACCCAGAUGUGUAUUUAAGUUGCCACCUUAGAUAAACCAUUAAUAACAAUCUCACAUCUGUCAUGGAUAUUCACUCACCCAAUCCACGUCUACUAGCAUAGCAUGGCAUAAUAAGCAAACGUAGAAGUAACUCCCAAAGGUUUCAUAAGUAAUACAGGUAAUAGGUACUACCUCAUCUACUUCCCAUCCCACAAUUUAAUUAGAUCCUAAUCAUGCAAUGUUUGAGGAUUGAUCUAAUGCAUAAAAACUAGGUAGUAGAAAAGAUAUGAUCAAGUGUUACUUGCCUUGCUGAUGAUCCGCGAAACCUAGAGACUCGAAGUAACAAGCGGCGCACUUCGGGUGAUCUAUCGCAGACAAACAACAAGCAUACAAUAAGUACUCAUCUAAUGCACAGGUAAAUCUCGAAUAAAAGAUCUAACCAGAAAGUUCAACUUAAGAACCCUGGUUGCAAAAAGAAUCGAAUCAAAUAAAGCAACGAAAGUCAAACGACGAAAGAAAACAACUCGGUUCUAGCAAGUUGAAACUAAGUCAAAUUUUACAGUAGAAAAACUUUGUUUAAGUUGAUUAGUCGGAACGGCGGUUUCGAGAUGAAACUCUAGGCAUUUCAAUCACCUGAUUCCGAUAAACGAGCGAGAAGAUAGACUAGAAAGAAAAUCGGAUCUGAAAUCGCUAUCAAAAAAAUAGCGGAAUAAAUCUGAUGAGAAAGAAAACGACGAACGGUUGAACGAACGGACGUUCAUUAACCGAAGCAAACAGGUGAUCAUGUUCGUUAGGACGAACGGUCCGGCGAACGCUUGCUAAACAAAACUGGAAAGAAAAACCGAUCUAGGGUUUCGGAAAGAAAACUGAAACGAAAAACUGAUCUAGAAAACCGGAAUGGAAACCGGAAUGAUUUACGAAAAACCGAACCGAGCAAAAGAAAAGGUGACGCGGCGCGGGGCUAGUACCUCGAAGAGGCGAGGGGCUCCGGCGGCGGCGGCGUUGGGUGGCGGCGGCGGCACUUGGCGGCGGCUGUGGCAAGCGGCNNNNNNNNNNNNNNNNNNNNNNNNNNNNNNNNNNNNNNNNNNNNNNNNNNNNNNNNNNNNNNNNNNNNNNNNNNNNNNNNNNNNNNNNNNNNNNNNNNNNNNNNNNNNNNNNNNNNNNNNNNNNNNNNNNNNNNNNNNNNNNNNNNNNNNNNNNNNNNNNNNNNNNNNNNNNNNNNNNNNNNNNNNNNNNNNNNNNNNNNNNNNNNNNNNNNNNNNNNNNNNNNNNNNNNNNNNNNNNNNNNNNNNNNNNNNNNNNNNNNNNNNNNNNNNNNNNNNNNNNNNNNNNNNNNNNNNNNNNNNNNNNNNNNNNNNNNNNNNNNNNNNNNNNNNNNNNNNNNNNNNNNNNNNNNNNNNNNNNNNNNNNNNNNNNNNNNNNNNNNNNNNNNNNNNNNNNNNNNNNNNNNNNNNNNNNNNNNNNNNNNNNNNNNNNNNNNNNNNNNNNNNNNNNNNNNNNNNNNNNNNNNNNNNNNNNNNNNNNNNNNNNNNNNNNNNNNNNNNNNNNNNNNNNNNNNNNNNNNNNNNNNNNNNNNNNNNNNNNNNNNNNNNNNNNNNNNNNNNNNNNNNNNNNNNNNNNNAUAUUUGAAGAUAAAAUAAAUAAAUCCAAUGAUCCUCUUUUCAUAGUUUUGAGAGAACUCAAAUACGAAAAUUUCGAAAUCUCCAACUCUCUCCGAGGGUCCUUGAGUUGCGUGAAAUUUCUAGGAUCAACAAAAUGCAAGAAAAUAUGAUAUGCAUGAUGAUCUAAUGUAUAACAUUCCAAAUUGAAAAUUUGGGAUGUUACAAACCUACCCCCCUUAAGAUGAAUCUCGCCCUCGAGAUUCGGGUUGGCUAGAAAAUAGGUGAGGGUGGUCCUUGAGCAAAUCUUCUUCUCUUUCCCAGGUGGCUUCAUCCUCAGUGUGGUGGCUCCACUGAACCUUGCAAAACUUGAUAACCUUGCUGCGAGUAACUCUGCUGGCAUAUUCGAGAAUCCUGACUGGUUUCUCCUCAUAUGUUAAAUCAUCCUUCAACUGAAUUGCUUCAAGUGGCACUGUAUCUCUUAGCGGUACUUCCGCCAUCUCGGCGUGACAUUUCUUCAGCUGAGAAACAUGGAACACGUCAUGAACUCCUGACAGUCCUUCUAGUAAUUCCAACUUAUAAGCGACUUCUCCCAUGCGUUGCAAAAUCCUAUAUGGUCCAACAAAACGUGGCGCCAAUUUUCCUUUAACUCCAAAACGCUUAACUCCUCGAAGUGGGGAUACUCUAAGAUAAAUGAUGUCUCCAACUUUAUAUUCUAUCGCCUUGCGUUUUGAAUCCGCAUAGCUUUUCUGUCUAGACUGGGCUACCUUGAGCCUAUCGCGAAUCAACUUAACUUUCUAUUCAGACUCCUUAAUCAAAUCUGGUCCAAACAACUGACGGUCUCCAACUUCGUAACUAUUGUCUGAUACGAUACUCCUCGGAACUCCGUGCAAACACACAAUUCUGGUCAUGUAUAUCUUUGCCAACUUAGCGCUGCUAUAGGUAGUCUUGACUGGAAUGAAAUGAGCUACCUUCGUCAAGCGGUCGACUAUAACCCAAAUCGAAUCAUAGCCUGAACGAGUCUUUGGCAAACCCGUGAUGAAAUCCAUGCCUAGUUUAUCCCACUUCCAUUCGGGUAUUGGCAAUGGCUGCAACAAUCCUGCUGGCUUCUGAUGUUCUGCCUUCACUCUCUGACAUACAUCGCAAACUGCUACAUACUCCGUGAUAUCCUUCUUCAUUCCGGUCCACCAGAACGUUUCCUUCAAAUCCAAAUACAUGUUGGUAUUUCCUGGGUGAAUCGAAUAGGGUGAAUCAUGUGCCUCUUGCAGAAUCAACUUCCUAAUCUCCGGGUUAUUUGGCACAUAAAUACGGUCCUCAAACCAUAGGGUAUCGUGCUCAUCCUCACGAAAUCCCUUUGCUUUUCCUUCGCUCAUUUUCUUCUUUAUAUCCGCAAUCUCUUUGUCCUUUUUCUGAGCUUCCCUGAUUUUAUCCAUUAAGGUAGACUGAAUCUCCAAUGCUGCUACAUAGCCUCUCGGAACUAUUUCCAAACAUAGCUCAUGAAGAUCUUCUGCUAGCUCCUUUGGUUUUUCUCCCAGCAAUAGCGUAUUGACAUGGCUCUUGCGGCUCAAUGCGUCAGCUUCUACAUUAGCCUUUACGGGAUGAUAAUGCAAUCUCAUAUCAUAAUCCUUGAUGAGUUCCAACCAUCUCCUUUGUCUAAGGUUUAACUCCUUCUGCGUGAAAAUAUACUUCAAACUCUUGUGAUCCGUGUAUACCUCACAAUGAUUUCCAAUGAGGAAAUGUCUCCAUGUCUUCAAUGCAUGCACUACGGCUGCUAACUCCAAAUCAUGUGUGGCGUAAUUUAAUUCAUGAGGUUUCAGUUGUCGUGAAGCAUACGAAACAACUCUUCCUUCCUGCAUAAGCACUGCUCCAAGUCCUCGACGUGAAGCGUCGCAAUACACCUCAUAAUCCUUGGUCUGAUCUGGCAAAAUUAGCACUGAUGAGGUAACCAAUCUUUUCUUCAACUCCUGAAAACUUGCCUCACAGUCCUCAGUCCAUAUGAACUUGGUAUCCUUCUUCAACAACUCCGUCAUAGGCUUUGCAAUCCUUGAGAAAUUCUCAAUGAAUCUCCGGUAGUAUCCUGCGAGUCCAAGAAAACUCCGGAUCUCUCCAACUGUCGUUGGUGCUUCCCAAUUGGUUACGGUCUCAACCUUUGUGGGGUCAACUGCUAUACCUUCUCCGGAUAUAACGUGUCCAAGAAAUCCAACUUCCUUUAGCCAAAACUCACAUUUGCUGAACUUGGCAUAUAACUGAUGUUCCCUUAGCUUCUCCAAAACCAAUCGCAAAUGUUCCUUAUGUGCCUCUUCAUUCUUCGAGAAAACCAAAAUAUCAUCAAUGAACACCACGACGAACUUAUCCAAAAACUCCAUAAACACUUUGUUCAUCAGGUUCAUAAAAUAGGCAGGUGCGUUAGUCAGUCCAAAUGACAUAACGGUAUACUCAUACAGUCCAUAUCUUGUGGUGAACGUUGUCUUAGGUAUGUCCUGCUCUCGAAUCUUCAGCUGAUGGUACCCUGAUUGCAAAUCAAUCUUGGAAAACACGUUAGCUCCUUGCAAACGAUCAAACAGAUCAUUUAUCAUUGGUAGUGGGUACUUGUUCUUGAUUGUUACUGCAUUCAAUCCACGAUAAUCAACAACCAUCCUUAACGAUCCAUCCUUCUUCUCCACUAACAGUAUGGGUGAUCCCCAAGGCAAAGAACUUGGGCGUAUAUAACCUUUAUCCAACAGCUCCUUAAUCUGCUUCUUGAUUUCCGCCAAAUCCUGUGCGGGCAUCCUGUAUGGUCGGUUCGAUAUUGGGCCUGUUCCUGGCAAUAGCUCAAUCAAAAACUCAAUGUCUCUAUCCGGUGGCAUUCCUGGCAAUUCCUCAGGAAAUACAUCAGGAUAGUCCUUCACUACUGGCACCUCUUCCUGCACAACUCCUGAUAGACAAUUUACAUGAGCUCUCCUCGGCUCAUGCCGUGAUACAUACUUAAUCCUUCUUCCUUCUGGCGUUGUGAGCAAAAUCGUCUUACUUGCGCAAUCGAUGUUUCCUCCAUACAUCGACAGCCAAUCCAUACCUAGAAUCACAUCCAAUCCUUGGGAUUCCAGAACGAUCAAAUCCAUCGGAAACACAUGCCUUCCUAUACUCAAUGGCACUUGAAAACAUCCUUGUCUGGCCAUAUACUCCGCUCCUGGUGAGCUUACUAGCAUAGGGGUUUUAAGAAUCUGAGUAGACAGACUAUUCUUCUCUACAAAUCCCCUUGAUAUGUAUGAAUGCGAUGCACCAGUAUCGAAAAGAACAAGUGCAGUAAAUGACUUAACCAAAAACUUACCGAUUACUACAUCGGGCUGAUCUUCAGCCUCCUCCACAUCAAUGUGGUUCACCUGUCCCCUGUUGUUGGCUUCUUUCCAGAGCUUCCAUUGCCAUUUCCAUUCUGGCCUUCGGGACAUUCAUUGGCAUAAUGUCUGGUCUUGGAACACUUGAAACAAGUGACGUGGCUCAAAUCCUUCUUGGCUGGGGUUGAUGGGGUGCUGCGAUUCUGUCCACUACUUCCUCCAUUCCCAUUACCAUUCUUGUGGCCAUUAUGGUUGUGCGAACUACUUCCUCCAUGGGUAUGCUGAAACUGCACUCCCUGUUUAGGGGUAUAACGGGGCUUCUGCUGGGCUCCAGAGUUAAACUUCCCCUGCCCAUACUUCCUCUUGCGAUUCUCAAUCUGCUGCUGCUUUCCUUCAAUCAUGAGUGCGCGGUCUACCAACUCCUGGUAGUUAUUGAAUCUUGCUACCAUCAACUGCAGGCUUAACUCAUCAUUCAGUCCUUCCAGAAACUUCUCCUGCUUAGCUGCGUCUGUAGCAACGUCAUCUGGGGCAUAACGUGCUAACUUACUAAAAUCAUCCACAUACUGUCCAACAGUCCUUCCUCCUUGGCGUAAGUUGCGGAACUCACGCUUCUUCAUGGCCAUAGCUCCUGCUGAAACAUGGGCAGUGCGGAAAGCUUGCUGGAACUGAUCCCAUGUAACAGUGUCUACGGGGUAAGUGGCUGUGAAAUUCUCCCACCAUGCUAUUGCGGGUCCGUCAAGCUGAUGUGCAGCAAACUUCACCUUCUCACCAUCUGUGCAUCCUGCAGUGGUCAACUCCCUUCCUAUCUUGUGGAGCCAAUCAUCUGCUACAAUCGGCUCGGUGCUACUAGAAUACACCGGUGGAUGCAGCCUAAGGAAACAAGUCAAGUGAUCCCCAGGUGGUGGUGGGUUGUUGUUGUUGUUGCCUUGGUUCUGUACCAAUGUCUGAAUCAAAGUAUUCUGCUGCUGAAUCAACUAGGUGAUCUCUAGCGGAAAAACAAACUCGGGGUCGCAUCUCGGAGGCAUCUGAAGGGUUUAGAAAAGACGAGAAAUUAAGAAUAGAGUGAGGUCUAGGGAGAAAACACUACCCGAAUGCUCAUGAGACAAAUGCACACAAAAAUCACUUCAUUCAUUCAAUAAAAGGGCUUACAACGGUCUAACUAUCGCAAAAGUGCGUGUACUAUAAUGUUUACAUGGAGGGAAUACUACUAAUAUGUGGGGGUCAUCUAUUAAUUUGAACCAGUGGAAGACUCCAUGAUGUCUGCUCCAGCUUCGUCUUCAAAGUCGGGCUCGCUUGGAUCUGAAUCGGUGUCGUCGAUGAUGAUGUAGUUGCUCGGACAGUCGACGUACUUGUCUUCAUUCUUGAGCUCCAAUUUCUUCUUGAGUUCUUCAAUCUCAUACUUAAGAUCUCUAUUGUGCCUCACGACAGCUACGAUCUCGUCCAUGUAGUCCUUGUGUAGAGUCUUCAUCUCUCCUUCAAGUUCGAUGAUCCUUCCCUUUGCAUUCUUCAACUCUAUCAUAUCAUUGCACAUCUGGUUCUCCUGGCGUCGAAUGUGCUGGUUUAACUCUUGGAUGAAAGCUGCAAUGGAUCUAUCCUUCUUGGUGCUGACUAUCUCCCAUUGUUCAUUCUGGCAUCCGCAAAUCUGGUAGAUAGUGUCCUUGAGGUCUUCUUGAUAAACUUCUCCAAUGCGUCCCAUGGUGAUAUGAGCUGCCAUGCUCUUUCCCAGACUCCAGGUUGGUGCACUGAAAACACUAUCUAUAGGCUUGGUGAUUGGCGCGAAUGUCCUUCCCGGAACAUGAGCUUGAAUCUUCCAGCGCUCCUCUUCAGGCAGAGUGGCGUUGAAAGUCCCGGUGAAGCUUGGUAGUCCAAUGUUCAAGUACCUGGCGACUUCCUUCAAGUGGAAUCCAAAAGGUGUACCUUCAUCUGGUUGAGCGUACUUGAUCUUGGCGUCCGUCAUCCUAAAGAGUAGAAAAGAUGAGGAGUUAGAAAAUGAGAAGAGAAUGGUGAUCUAUGGCUUUAACUUAGUGGUCGUGUCCUACAGUCAGCGUGUGCUCUGAUACCAUCUCUGUAGCGACCCGACCCGAAUGGAUCAAGUCUCUGUGCUCCGGUGUCAUCCCUGGAUCAGUAAUGCUGACACCACACAGUACUUCGAAGGAUUUAUAACAGAGUAGCAAUCACACACUUAUUACAUCGUUUGUCUAGAAGAGGACUUAUUACAAUAAUCAUGGCUUAAGGCCAUCUAAUAACGAUAACAGCGGAAGACUUGGAAGAUAAGUGAGUCCAUCAACUCCAACGGCAUCACUGAGUAUAGAACCACGACCUAAAAGCACCUUAUUCAUCGUCUGAAAAGUCUGCAACACGAAAAGUUGCAGCCCGAAAACGGGUCAGCACAUGGAAUAUGCUGGCAAUGUAACACAUAGAGAGAAAUAAUGAGUAUUGGCUAUACUACAUGCAUAUUUGGCUGGUGGAAAAGCUCUAUGGUUACAGUUUUUUCAUAAAGCCAGUUUUUCCCUACUACAAAGGAAUAAAUUUAUUUAACUAUCAUGGUAGUUGUUAAACACUGUGUCACAGCCCUAGAAUUUGUUUGUCAUUAGUUGCAUUAAGGCAUUCAUGCAUCAUGUUUAAAGUUCAUGAAACUUGAACUGGGGAUGACAAACUCUAGCACUAAAUAAAAUGCAAUUAGGAUCAAAAUAAAAAUAUUUUCAAUAAACCCAGAAUGCCCUUUAGGAAAGUUCAUUAUUUUUGUUAAAGGUGAAAACCCCUGCCAACAAUGAUGCACAUAUUUCUAGGCCAUUCUGGAUUUUUGAAUUAAAUCCUAUUGUAUUUGACUUUGGGCAUUUAAAUACUAUAAACAGUUUAAAUAUUCAAAUAAAUGUUGGAAAUUGUUAAGGGUCACUGAAAUAAUUCAGAAAGCACCCAUAAUUGUUUCCAGGAUUUUAUAAAAUGAUUUGAUAUUUUUAAAUCAAAUCAAAACAAACUACAGAAAAUAGAAAAACAGAAUUAAAUAGAAAUAAAAGCAGAGAGGAGAGAAAACUUACCUGGCGCUCGCCUCUUAGCCCACCUGGCCCAGCUCCUCCAGCGGCCCAGCCCACUGCCGCUUCUCCCCCUGUCGUCUUCCUCCCCCUCGCCCCGAAGCUGCUCGGUGGCGCGCGCGGCCACACGCCCCGGCCACCUCCUCCCUCCCAGCCUGCCUGGCUCCUCCUCGACGCCCCGGUGACGCCACGCGCCUCCCCGACCCCCCUCUCACUUCUCCCUCGCUCUCUGGACCUCCCUCCCCCUNNNNNNNNNNNNNNNNNNNNNNNNNNNNNNNNNNNNNNNNNNNNNNNNNNNNNNNNNNNNNNNNNNNNNNNNNNNNNNNNNNNNNNNNNNNNNNNNNNNNNNNNNNNNNNNNNNNNNNNNNNNNNNNNNNNNNNNNNNNNNNNNNNNNNNNNNNNNNNNNNNNNNNNNNNNNNNNNNNNNNNNNNNNNNNNNNNNNNNNNNNNNNNNNNNNNNNNNNNNNNNNNNNNNNNNNNNNNNNNNNNNNNNNNNNNNNNNNNNNNNNNNNNNNNNNNNNNNNNNNNNNNNNNNNNNNNNNNNNNNNNNNNNNNNNNNNNNNNNNNNNNNNNNNNNNNNNNNNNNNNNNNNNNNNNNNNNNNNNNNNNNNNNNNNNNNNNNNNNNNNNNNNNNNNNNNNNNNNNNNNGGCCACCGGCCACCCCUCGCCCUGUCGAUAAGCCCAGAAGAACCACCGUCGUCUCCUGCAUCGUCUACGCCAGCCCGUUCGACUGCGGGAGCCCUGCAUCGCCGCCCACGCCGUCUCCCCCAUCUCCGGCCGCCCGAGAUCGCCGGCGCCCGCUCGCCACCUCCGAUGUCUCCCCCGAGCCGCUGGGCCUCCAAUCGACCCCCUGUAAGCCCCGCCAUCGUUCACCCCUACCCCCGUUCCCUUUUGCUCACUCUGGCCGCCGAUUCCAUCAAGGCCAAAAACCACCGCCGCGCGAGCUCGACUCCGGCGAAACCCCGGUGACCAUUUGGUCACGGGCGUGCACCCGUUGUGCUUGCCGCGACCCGUAGAGCCCCUUCAGCGCCUCAGCUCCCUCGCUUGUGAGCAGCAGCGCCGAACCCGACCGCACCCGAACUCCGGCCGCCGCCGAUUUGGUCGCCGCCGUCGAUUCCGACCACCGUAGCUGCUGCCGCCACCACCACUGGAUGCGCGAGUCUUCCAGCUCGAUGUAGCCGCAAACCCCGAGCAAAGCGGUGCCCUGUGGUGCCGUCCCGAGCAACUCCGGCGAGGUCUCGCCGUCGUCGUGGUCGCCGGCGUCACUAGCUGACGUGGCUCCGUCAUUAGGAGCUAAUCCAACUAACUAAACCACCUACAGCCACUGACAGUAGGCCCCACCCUUGGUCAAACCCCAGUCAGCACUGGGUUUGACCGGGAUUAGCUCAUGUGACACUGACGUGUGGACCCCGCACGUCAGGUUUGACCUGGACCUGGCCGUUGACUCGCUGACGUCAUGCUGGCGUCAGGCUGACGCAGUUAAAUCAUUUACUGGAUUUAUUAUUAUUCAGGAAAUUCUAGAAAAUGCCUAAAACUUCAAUAAAUCAUAGAAAAUUAACCGUAACUCCAAAUUAAAUAAUUUAUAUAUGAAAAAUUAUCAGAAAAAUUCAAGGAAUCCAUCUGUACCAUUUUCUUGCAUGUUUGAACAAUGUUUGUCCUCUAUUUUGGACAAAACAAUUAAAGGGCAUUUAAAUAAUCAUAUAUGGAGUUGGAAUUUGAAUCUUGGAUUCAAACCAACUUCAUUUAAUCUGUUGCUAGUUGCAUUAGCUCUAAACACAUUCAUAUUGCCAUGUCAUAGCAUGCAUCAUAUUGUGCAUUGCAUUGAUCGUGUUUCUUCUGUGUUUGCCGGUGUUGUUCCCCCUCGGUAGACGAUGUUCCGACGUUGUGAUCGUUGACACUGAUGAAGACUCAAUGUUAUCUUCAGAAGUGCCAGGCAAGCAAAACCCCCUUGUUCAUUCCGAUAAAAUCCCACUCUCUCGCUCCUGCUCUCUUUUACUGCAUUAGGACAACAACGAUUCAUCUGUUACUUGCUGCGGUAGCUGAACCCCUUUAUCCUCUGCAUGACCUGUCAUUCCACAGUAAAUAGAUGAAACCCACUAGCAUGAGUAGGAGUUGUUUGAGCCCUGUUGUGCCUACUCAUUCAUGCUUGUUUGUCAUGCCUGCUACUGCUUAGAGUUGAGUCGGGUCUGAUUCAUCGGGGAUGAAUCAGAGGUGUGUGAUUAUGUCCUACUGUGCGUGAGCUAAGUGUGUGAACACGAUUUGGUAAAGGUAGCGGUGAGAGGCCAUGUAGGAGUACAUGGUGGGUUGUCUCAUUGCAGCCGUCCUCAGGAACUGAGUUCUGUGUUUGUGAUCCAUGAUUCAGCUACUACCACGCAUUGGGCCCGAAACCAAUGGACCCUCUCGGCUUCUUAAUCACCCUUGUCCUCUGUCCAGGAGUUGCAAGUAGUUUCUGGUGUUUGUAGUAUGCUGGAGGCCGUGCGCAGUGCUGACCGUAGGGGUGGGCUGUGAUGCGGUAGGCACGUGGCACGGUGUACCGGGCGCCCGUUUGGUGUCUCGGGAACCCUGUUCACAUCGUUUGGGGCUGUGAGCGAAACUCCGACCGGAUCUCCUCAUGGAUGGAACCCGAAUAGGCGAUAAACCUGGACUAGAGACUUGAGUGUUUAGGUAGGCCGUGGCCGACACCCACGUUGGUCUUCCGCUUGAAGGUUGCCGAGUACAUGUCGUGUAAACGGCGGUAAGUGGUGAGAGCGUGUGUGAAGAAGUACACCCCUGCAGGGUUAACAUCAUCUAUUCGAAUAGCCGUGUCCGCGGAAAAGGACUUCUGGGCUGCUUAUAUCAGUUCAUAGACAAGUGAAAGUGGAUACUCUAAAAUACGCAAGAUAAGCGUGAGUGCUAUGGAUGGCGUUCUCGUAGGGAGACGGGAGCGGAUCCAUAGUGGUGUAUUGAUAUGGUGAAUAUGUGGACUCGUGUGCGCCACCUCAAAAGAGUUACUUGCAGUCGUAGUUUAGGUUAGCCACCGAGUCAAAGCUGGCUUGCUGCAGUUAAACCCCACCAUCCCCUUUGUUGAUAAUGAUGCAUAUGUAGUUAGUUCUGAUGUAAGUCUUGUUGGGUACAUUUGUACUCACGUUUGCCUGUUUUAUGUUUUUGCAGAGAGACUUCGGUCUCGCUAGUAGUUCCACGUGGACUUCGAUGUUUAGCUUGUUACCUCAGCUACGAUCUUGUGCCCUCGGCAGGAUCUGAUAGAUAGUCAGGCUUCUCAGCCUUUUUCAUUUAUAGAUGUCUGUACUCAGACAUGAUAGCUUCCGCUUGUGCUUUGAUUUGUAUGCUCUGAAUGUUGGGUCGUGAGACCCCUGUUUGUAAUAUCUCGCUCCUCGGAGCCUAAUGAAUAAAUUACUUGAGUCGUAGAGUCAUGUUGUGAUGCCAUGUUGUAUUUGCACAUAUCGAGCAUAUUGUGUGUAUGUUAUUGAAAUGCUUGGUAUGUGUGGGAUCUGACCAUCUAGUUGUUUAUCUUUAGUAGCCUCUCUUACCGGGAAAUGUCUCCUAGUGUUUCCACCGAGCCAUGGUAGCUUGCUACUGCUCUGGAACACUUAGGCUGGCCGGCAUGUGUCCUUCUUCGUUCCUGUGUCUGUCCCUUUGGGGAAAUGUCACGUGAUGAAUACCGGAGUCCUGUUAGCCCGCUACAGCCCGGUUCACCGGAGUCCUGCUAGCCUAGUGCUACAGCCUGGAUUCACUCGCUGAUGACCGACACGUUCGAUGCUGGGUCAUGGAUGCCUGUCCCUGUAAGUCUGUGCCACUUUGGGUUUACGACUAGCCAUGUCAGCCCGGGUCGUUUGUCAUAUGGAUGCUAGCGACACUAUCAUAUACGUGAGCCAAAAGGCGCAAACGGUCCCGGGCCAGGUAAGGUGGCACCCGUGGGAAUACCGUGCGUGAGGCCGCAAAGUGAUAUGAUGUGUUACAUGCUAGAUCGGUGUGACUUAGGAUCGGGGUCCUGACAGCGUUGGUAUCAGAGCAUGACUGCCUGUAGGAUUACCAAGCCAAACUGGUCGAAGUUGAGUCUAGAAAUUCUUUAGUUAUAUAAGGGAAUUGAUUGUGGGAUGGAAUGUAAGGCUCUUUUUACUCCUUAUACUUUAUGCCCUUCUGAUCUGAGUCAUCAUCUUCUCUUCUACAGGGAUUAAGAACUAGGCUAUCUCUUCUUUCUAUUAGGAUCACGUGUUACUAAUCAGUAGACUUAUAAGAUUGUUGGAUUUAAGUCUCAGUUCAGUUUAUACUACUUCCGUAUGUUAAUUGUUGAUCUCGGAACCUUGAUAUUGUACUUCUGAGUGGUUAUGCCACCAUUUUGUAGUAUGUCUCAAAUCUUUUCUGAGCAUUUACAGCCGUUAUGCUGUCCGAGUCAUCCCAGGUUUCUAAACAGUCUGAUGCAUUUGCAAAUUCCUUCCUCCCGUUUCGAUGUUCCUUUGGGCCAGAUUAACCACACUAAUCGGUGAGUUGAGGUACUCUGUUGCCUUGACAUAUUUGUUGGAGAUAUUAUUAUGACCCUAGGUGUCUUAGGGGAUCAUCUAGUAAUUUAGCCAUGAUUUGUGUCCCAGUGUGAUGAUUCUGGCCUUUAUCCUCGAAAGCAUCCCAUGAUGCCACUUAGUAGUAGGUAUUCUACUCCUGGGUUUUGAACCCGAGACUCACCCUACUUACCUCAUGUUGAUAGUGUUUGCUAGUUCCUUUAGGAUAUUAGUAACCUUUGCGAUAGUUCUCGAGGUUCGUGGUACAUCCUUCUUCCAAUUACCAUGAACCAUUCUUGGCAGAAGUUCUUCUGAACCAAAAGAUGACAACAAGAGUGCUCUCGAUGAGUUCUCCAUUAUAUAUUGUGACUCUGCCAGUUCUACUUUUCUGCAUGGGUUAUUCGGAAGAAACUUGUUGAACUUGGUUCGACAUACUAAUCUAUGCAUCCACAACUCAGAAAGUUAUAUGUUCCUUUGAGUUGUCCCUCUUUAGCUGUCUACUGACCUUCGUCUAUCAAUUGAUAGUCAAGAGUAUGCGUCCAAUCGUUCAUCGAUACCUAUUACUCUUGUGGUCCAUCAAGCCAUUCUAUUACAGAAUGACUAGGAGAAAUGAACUCCAGUACCUCAUCCAUAUCUAGGAUUGGGUCAAGGUAGUCAUGCUCCGCAAAUCAAAAUGCCAGUCCAGCUUUUGAUUCUAUUCUACCCUGAAGUAUUACCACCUUUAUAUCGGGAUUGUUAUAGGAAUUGCACACCAUCCUAUGAACUCUUGGUACAGUGAUACUUCUUGCCAUCAUUGUUCAUCCCUCGAUUCCUGUGUUAUUGUAACCAGAAUGCCGACAAGUGAAUCGUGGCGUGUGAAAUCAAUACUGCUAGCAACUCUGUUGCUUGGUAGUUAAAUGGACGAUAACCUCAUUCUUAGCGUAUUGAUUAUUGAAUCGUCACCCUAAGACUGAUCGUGCUAUCUAGUUCUUAUUUCGGUGCACCCUUCGAUUGAUGAGUUAGGAUCUUGUCAAGUCCUCACUCAUUUGAUCAUAUCGUCUUGCCCUCAAAAGCGAGAUUGUUCUCGAGCUUAGUAACAUACCGGUGGUUCGUGAUUUUCCGAAUAUCUUCUCGGAAGUAUUACCAGGUUGUCCCCUGACUGCUAUGUUGAGCUCGUGAUCAAGUCGAUUUCUUGUGAACCACCCUUUCUCCAAGAAUCUGUGUUGGAUAUCCCGGAGCUAGUUGGUUAAGCUAGACAACAACUUGGAGAGUUGGAAGAUAAAAGCUUGCCUAACUUAGUUCAUUUUUCCAAAGGGAUAUUCUUGUGUAGUGUGUGUUGAAGAAAGAUGAUAUCUUCAUUGAUUGGUCCCUGUGAUCAGUUGCUGGACCUAUUGUCUUAUCAAUCCUUUGAUUUGAGUGUGGGCUAUCGUCAAAUCAAAUCAGUACCAACGAUGCUCGUAAUGUUGUCUUACUCGUGGUUGAUCCCUCGAGCAUACACCAUUACAUAUUUGGUCUGACCAAUGCUAUCACCGUGUUCACAUGAUGGUCGAAGCCCAGUGAUAUGGAAAUUACGAUGAGUUGCUGUUGAGCCCAUCAGUAGCAUUUUGUCUCCCCCCAUGAAUCAUGUUGAACAUCAACCUAGUGUUGGAAACUUUUGAAAGCAUUUUCUUCAUCCUAGUUCAUGAAGCAUAUUUUCGGAAGUAAGAAGUGACUUCCUCCAGUUCAUGUGCAUUUGAUGCAAGUUGCCGCCGUGGAUUCGAGAAAGUCAAUGUUCUUUCCUUUGGAAUCAUCCCAAAUCAGUCAUUCAUACGUGCGAAGUAUUCUGUGGUUCGGAGACUUGCAACCUCCAUUCUAUAUGUGUCCCUAGCACACCAAGCCACUGAUUGAUUUGUUCAAGGAGAAGGAGUUCCUUCAUAAGAGCUAAUCCGGACUUAUGUAAGGACUUCGAUACCCUCGUUGAUGGUUCCCCCUCCUGUACUCGGUAGUGUUUUAUUGUAAGACUACCACGUGGUCAUGCUUGUCUAGGACAUCGUGUUCACACAUGUGUAGCAGAACCAGCUCAUGUUUUGGAGCUUGCUAUCGUAGUUCAUUUCCCGAGAAUCUCGCAACGUUAUCUCGUCGAAUUGUGUUGCAAACUUUCAUUUAUCUUCCUAGGCUCGAUGAGUCUGGAAUAUCCUGACACCAACCAGAUCUGAAUCUCAGGCAGAUAUGAUGGUUGGAACAUUUUCCAAGAACUAUAAUAUUGGUCCCUCGAUAACCGGUAAGGUGGAUGUCGUGGCCAACACAACCAGCCGGAAGACCCAUUAUUAUAGUAUCUUGAUUGAGGAAGUUGGCCACCUUCCCAUAAGGACUUCGUAGGAUUUACUCCCUAGUUGUGCCUUAUGAUUUUUGUGUUCCGAAGUCCGACCUUUUACUUGAUGUUCUAGAUAUCAAACCAUGGGAUGGGAUACACUAGCACAUCAAGGAGAACAUUAGAGGCGGAGUGCUAAAUGUCUCUCGGUCGAUCAUCCAGAUUUCGUCCCCUUGGCCUUGUUAAGGUGAAAUCUAAGAAGGUGUUAUCUUCCUUUGCAUCUGCAUCCUCCAACACCAUUCAUCAUGGUAGUGAGUUGUGUUACUGGACCCUUGACACGGAUGUUGGUAAAACCUUGAUGAUUGUGGAAAUGCUCAAGUUCUUGAGAGCACGCACAAGCGCUAGGUGUUAUCAUCAGCACUAACUGGGUUUGCUCUCAGUUUCCUCGGUUAUGCUAUAACUUUUCAAACAGUGAAUUCACUCUCUAUUGUUGGGUUCUUCCCCCAGUUAUCAGAAUCAUUCCCAGCAUUUGCAUUCUGUUCCCAGCUUGCACCGCCAAUGUGCCAUUCUACCAUGGGUCUCUUCCAUUUCCGGUGGUAAGCAAAUUCAUCCAUUACGUUGUCUUCAACAAGGUAAUCCACAUCAUCCAAGUCCGAGUAUGCCAUUCUACCGACCCCCUCCAAACGAUCGCUCGAGAAUUGCCUUAGGCUGGUUUAAAGAGAUUCAAUGAUCUCUGAAUCAAAGGUAAUUCUUUUUGCCACUUAAGGGGAUAUAUCUUCGAGUCACCUUCCCUAAGGUGCAUCAUUAUGGUGUCAUGUCAACUUAACUCCUCGCUACGUUGACAACCGUUCACCACCCUCUUAGGUGAGGAAUUGUUGUCUACCUAGUGAACCCUCGUCAUCUGUUCCACUCCAUUCUGCUAGAGGUGUGCUUCGUCUCUCAGCUCGAGAGAUGUUGCUAUGUCUCAUUCCGAGAGUUAAUCCUGAGUUGUUCGACCUUCGAGAAGAACAAUUCUUUUAGGGUCUUUCCUUUCCCCUCGUUGUCAUGAUAGUUGGAGUUCUCAAGGCGAGACUUCGAGACAAUGAUGGUGAAUGAAUCAACAUUCAAUUGAAGUGCAACCUGGAUCCUGAAGAUCGUGCUAGUUUGCGUUUCCCCUUCACCUUACCCUACGCUUGAAUCUCGGGACGAGAUUUUUGUUUAGUGGUGGUGAGUUGUCACAGCCCUAGAAUUUGUUUGUCAUUAGUUGCAUUAAGGCAUUCAUGCAUCAUGUUUAAAGUUCAUGAAACUUGAACUGGGGAUGACAAACUCUAGCACUAAAUAAAAUGCAAUUAGGAUCAAAAUAAAAAUAUUUUCAAUAAACCCAGAAUGCCCUUUAGGAAAGUUCAUUAUUUUUGUUAAAGGUGAAAACCCCUGCCAACAAUGAUGCACAUAUUUCUAGGCCAUUCUGGAUUUUUGAAUUAAAUCCUAUUGUAUUUGACUUUGGGCAUUUAAAUACUAUAAAUAAUUUAAAUGUUCAAAUAAAUGUUGGAAAAUGUUAAGGGUCACUGAAAUAAUUCAGAAAGCACCCAUAAUUGUUUCCAGGAUUUUAUAAAAUGAUUUGAUAUUUUUAAAUCAAAUCAAAACAAACUACAGAAAAUAGAAAAACAGAAUUAAAUAGAAAUAAAAGCAGAGAGGAGAGAAAACUUACCUGGCGCUCGCCUCUCAGCCCACCUGGCCCAGCUCCUCCAGCGGCCCAGCCCACCGCCGCUUCUCCCCCUGUCAUCUUCCUCCCCUCGCCCCGAAGCUGCUCGGUGGCGCGCGCGGCCACGCGCCCCGGCCACCUCCUCCCUCCCAGCCUGCCUGGCUCCUCCUCGAUGCCCCGGUGAUGCCACGCGCCUCCCCGACCCCCCUCUCACUUCUCCCUCGCUCUCUGGACCUCCCUCCCCCUCGCUCCUCUGCUCCCCCCCCCAUGACCGAGAGCCUCCGCCGACAUCGCUCGCAACCACCGUGGCCACCGGCCACCCCUCGCCCUGUCGAUAAGCCCAGAAGAACCGCCGUCGUCUCCUGCAUCGUCUACGCCAGCCCGUUCGACUGCGGGAGCCCUGCAUCGCCGCCCACGCCGUCUCCCCCAUCUCCGGCCGCCCGAGAUCGCCGGCGCCCGCUCGCCACCUCCGAUGUCUCCCCCGAGCCGCUGGGCCUCCAAUCGACCCCCUGUAAGCCCCGCCAUCGUUCACCCCUACCCCCGUUCCCUUUUGCUUGCUCUGGCCGCCGAUUCCAUCAAGGCCGAAAACCACCGCCGCGCGAGCUCGACUCCGGCAAAACCCCGGUGACCAUUUGGUCACGGGCGUGCACCCGUUGUGCUUGCCGCGACCCGUAGAGCCCCUUCAGCGCCUCAGCUCCCUCGCUUGUGAGCAGCAGCGCCGAACCCGACCGCACCCGAACUCCGGCCGCCGCCGAUUUGGUCGCCGCCGUUGAUUCCGACCACCGCAGUUGCUGCCGCCACCACCACUGGAUGCGCGAGUCUUCCAGCUCGCUGUAGCCGCAAACCCCGAGCAAAGCGGUGCCCUGUAGCGCCGUCCCGAGCAACUCCGGCGAGGUCUCGCCGUCGCCGUGGUCGCCGGCGUCACUAGCUGACGUGGCUUUGUCAUUAGGAGCUAAUCCAACUAACUAAACCACCUACAGCCACUGACAGUAGGCCCCACCCCUGGUCAAACCCCAGUCAGCGCUGGGUUUGACCGGGAUUAGCUCCUGUGACACUGACGUGUGGACCCCGCACGUCAGGUUUGACCUAGACCUGGCCGUUGACUCGCUGACGUCAUGCUGGCGUCAGGCUGACGCAGUUAAAUCAUUUACUGGAUUUAUUAUUAUUCAGGAAAUUCCAGAAAAUGCCUAAAACUUCAAUAAAUCAUAGAAAAUUAACCGUAACUCCAAAUUAAAUAAUUUAUAUAUGAAAAAUUAUCAGAAAAAUUCAAGGAAUCCAUCUGUACCAUUUUCAUGCAUGUUUGAACAAUGUUUGUCCUCUGUUUUGGACAAAACAAUUAAAGGGCAUUUAAAUAAUCAUAUAUGGAGUUGGAAUUUGAAUCUUGGAUUCAAACCAACUUCAUUUAAUCUGUUGCUAGUUGCAUUAGCUCUAAACACAUUCAUAUUGCCAUGUCAUAGCAUGCAUCAUAUUGUGCAUUGCAUUGAUCGUGUUUCUUCUGUGUUUGCCGGUGUUGUUCCCCCUCGGUAGACGAUGUUCCGACGUUGUGAUCGUUGACACUGAUGAAGACUCAAUGUUAUCUUCAGAAGUGCCAGGCAAGCAAAACCCCCUUGUUCAUUCCGAUAAAAUCCCACUCUCUCGCUCCUGCUCUCUUUUACUGCAUUAGGACAACAACGAUUCAUCUGUUACUUGCUGCGGUAGCUGAACCCCUUUAUCCUCUGCAUGACCUGUCAUUCCACAGUAAAUAGAUGAAACCCACUAGCAUGAGUAGGAGUUGUUUGAGCCCUGUUGUGCCUACUCAUUCAUGCUUGUUUGCCAUGCCUGCUACUGCUUAGAGUUGAGUCGGGUCUGAUUCAUCGGGGAUGAAUCAGAGGUGUGUGAUUAUGUCCUACUGUGCGUGAGCUAAGUGUGUGAACACGAUUUGGUAAAGGUAGCGGUGAGAGGCCAUGUAGGAGUACAUGGUGGGUUGUCUCAUUGCAGCCGUCCUCAGGAACUGAGUUCUGUGUUUGUGAUCCAUGAUUCAGCUACUACCACGCAUUGGGCCCGAAACCAAUGGACCCUCUCGGCUUCUUAAUCACCCUUGUCCUCUGUCCAGGAGUUGCAAGUAGUUUCUGGUGUUUGUAGUAUGCUGGAGGCCAUGCGCAGCACUGACCGUAGGGGUGGGCUGUGAUGCGGUAGGCACGUGGCACGGUGUACCGGGCGCCCGUUUGGUGUCUCGGGAACCCUGUUCACAUCGUUUGGGGCUGUGAGCGAAACUCCGGCCGGAUCUCCUCAUGGAUGGAACCCGAAUAGGCGAUAAACCUGGACUAGAGACUUGAGUGUUUAGGUAGGCCGUGGCCGACACCCACGUUGGUCUUCCGCUUGAAGGUUGCCGAGUACAUGUCGUGUAAACGGCGGUAAGUGGUGAGAGCGUGUGUGAAGAAGUACACCCCUGCAGGGUUAACAUCAUCUAUUCGAAUAGCCGUGUCCGCGGAAAAGGACUUCUGGGCUGCUUAUAUCAGUUCAUAGACAAGUGAAAGUGGAUACUCUAAAAUACGCAAGAUAAGCGUGAGUGCUAUGGAUGGCGUUCUCGUAGGGAGACGGGAGCGGAUCCAUAGUGGUGUAUUGAUAUGGUGAAUAUGUGGACUCGUGUGCGCCACCUCAAAAGAGUUACUUGCAGUCGUAGUUUAGGUUAGCCACCGAGUCAAAGCUGGCUUGCUGCAGUUAAACCCCACCAUCCCCUUUGUUGAUAAUGAUGCAUAUGUAGUUAGUUCUGAUGUAAGUCUUGCUGGGUACAUUUGUACUCACGUUUGCCUAUUUUAUGUUUUUGCAGAGAGACUUCGGUCUCGCUAGUAGUUCCACGUGGACUUCGAUGUUUAGCUUGUUACCUCAGCUAUGAUCUUGUGCCCUCGGCAGGAUCUGAUAGAUAGUCAGGCUUCUCAGCCUUUUUCAUUUAUAGAUGUCUGUACUCAGACAUGAUAGCUUCCGCUUGUGCUUUGAUUUGUAUGCUCUGAAUGUUGGGUCGUGAGACCCCUGUUUGUAAUAUCUCGCUCCUCGGAGCCUAAUGAAUAAAUUACUUGAGUCGUAGAGUCAUGUUGUGAUGCCAUGUUGUAUUUGCACAUAUCGAGCAUAUUGUGUGUAUGUUAUUGAAAUGCUUGGUAUGUUGGGAUCUGACCAUCUAGUUGUUUAUCUUUAGUAGCCUCUCUUACCGGGAAAUGUCUCCUAGUGUUUCCACCGAGCCAUGGUAGCUUGCUACUGCUCCGGAACACUUAGGAUGGCCGGCAUGUGUCCUUCUUCGUUCCUGUGUCUGUCCCUUCGGGGAAAUGUCACGCGAUGAAUACCGGAGUCCUGUUAGCCCGCUACAGCCCGGUUCACCGGAGUCCUGCUAGCCUAGUGCUACAGCCUGGAUUCACUCGCUGAUGACCGACACGUUCGAUGCUGGGUCAUGGAUGCCUGUCCCUGUAAGUCUGUGCCACUUUGGGUUUACGACUAGCCAUGUCAGCCCGGGUCCUUUGUCAUAUGGAUGCUAGCGACACUAUCAUAUACAUGAGCCAAAAUGCGCAAACGGUCCUGGGCCAGGUAAGGCGGCACCCGUGGGAAUACCGUGCGUGAGGCCGCAAAGUGAUAUGAUGUGUUACAUGCUAGAUCGGUGUGACUUAGGAUCGGGGUCCUGACACAUUGAGAAUGGUUGACAGCAUCCUCAAUCCCAAUUAAAAGUACUCAUUUAAAACCCAACAAUAUUAAUUAGAAGUAACAUGUUGAGAUUCAACAGGAUAAUCCAAGUACUAGAUACUCAAGACGUCCAUAACCGGGGACACGGCUAAUCAUGAUUAGUUUGUACACUCUGCAGAGGUUUGCGCACUUUUCCCCACAAGACUCGAUCGCCUCCGCUUGGUUUCUCGCACUACAUGGUGUUUAAGAAACGGAUGACCGAGACAUAGUCUUUCAGAAGUGCUAGCACCUUACGAUGGGUGGACCGGUACACCUACAUCCCCUACAUCUGCUAGUCCACCACUAUAAGAGUUCGCACGACUUAGUCAACUAUGCCAGAGCCCAUAAUGGCUUGUGGCUGCACACGUAAGUUACUAGUAUGAAUUAUCUUAUGAUCCCUUUGAGCCUGGGUGGCGGUCCGAAGAAAUACAGGCAAGUCCUGCUAGAAAACAGGUGCCUCAAUCCACCCAGAUGUGUAUUUAAGUUGCCACCUUAGAUAAACCACUAAUAACAAUCUCACAUCUGUCAUGGAUAUUCACUCACCCAAUCCACGUCUACAAGCAUAGCAUGGCAUAAUAAGCAAACGUAGAAGUAACUCCCAAAGGUUUCAUAAGUAAUACAGGUAAUAGGUACUACCUCAUCUACUUCCCAUCCCACAAUUUAAUUAGAUCCUAAUCAUGCAAUGUUUGAGGAUUGAUCUAAUGCAUAAAAACUGGGUAGUAGAAAAGAUAUGAUCAAGUGUUACUUGCCUUGUUGAUGAUUCGCGAAACCUAGAGACUCGAAGUAACAAGCGGCGCACUUCGGGUGAUCUAUCGCAGACAAACAACAAGCAUACAAUAAGUACUCAUCUAAUGCAUAGGUAAAUCUCGAAUAAAAGAUCUAACCAGAAAGUUCAACUUAAGAACCCUGGUUGCAAAAAGAAUCGAAUCAAAUAAAGCAACGAAAGUCAAACGAUGAAAGAAAACAACUCGGUUCUAGCAAGUUGAAACUAAGUCAAAUUUUACAGUAGCAAAACUUUAUUUAAGUUGAUUAGUCGGAACGGCGGUUUUGAGAUGAAACUCCAGGCGUUUGAAUCACCUGAUUCCGAUAAACGAGCGAGAAGAUAGACUAGAAAGAAAAUCGGAUCUGAAAUCGCUAUCAGAAAAAUAGCGGAAUAAAUCCGAUGAGAAAGAAAAUGACGAAUGGUUGAACGAACGGACGUUCAUUAACCGAAGCAAACAGGUGAUCACGUUCGUUAGGACGAACGGUCCGGCGAACGCUUGCUAAACAAAACUGGAAAGAAAAACCGGCGAGAAAAACCGAUCUAGGGUUUCGGAAAGAAAACCGAAACGAAAAACCGAUCUAGAAAACCGGAAUGGAAACCGGAACGAUUUACGAAAAACCGAACCGAGGAAAAGAAAAGGUGACGCGGCGCGGGGCUAGUACCUCGAAGAGGCGAGGGGCUCCGGCGGCGGCGGCAUUGGGUGGCGGCGGCGGCACUUGGCGGCGGCGGUGGCAAGCGGCAGNNNNNNNNNNNNNNNNNNNNNNNNNNNNNNNNNNNNNNNNNNNNNNNNNNNNNNNNNNNNNNNNNNNNNNNNNNNNNNNNNNNNNNNNNNNNNNNNNNNNNNNNNNNNNNNNNNNNNNNNNNNNNNNNNNNNNNNNNNNNNNNNNNNNNNNNNNNNNNNNNNNNNNNNNNNNNNNNNNNNNNNNNNNNNNNNNNNNNNNNNNNNNNNNNNNNNNNNNNNNNNNNNNNNNNNNNNNNNNNNNNNNNNNNNNNNNNNNNNNNNNNNNNNNNNNNNNNNNNNNNNNNNNNNNNNNNNNNNNNNNNNNNNNNNNNNNNNNNNNNNNNNNNNNNNNNNNNNNNNNNNNNNNNNNNNNNNNNNNNNNNNNNNNNNNNNNNNNNNNNNNNNNNNNNNNNNNNNNNNNNNNNNNNNNNNNNNNNNNNNNNNNNNNNNNNNNNNNNNNNNNNNNNNNNNNNNNNNNNNNNNNNNNNNNNNNNNNNNNNNNNNNNNNNNNNNNNNNNNNNNNNNNNNNNNNNNNNNNNNNNNNNNNNNNNNNNNNNNNNNNNNNNNNNNNNNNNNNNNNGGCGGCAGCGGCGGUGUAGGGCGGCGGCGCUGGUGAGGGGUGGCGGCGCUGGGUGGCGGCGGCGGCGGUGUAGGGCGGCGGCGCUGCUGCUGCGGAGCAGAGGAGAGGAGAGGUGUUGGUUUGAUGUGUUAGAGGGGGGGUGCUUGGGUAUUUAUAUUGGGGAGGGGAGGGUUUUUGCUUGGAGUAGGGGACAAGAAUUAGAGUAGGAUUAGGAAUCCUAGGAACAAAAAACGGAAUAACGAAACGGGUCCAAAUCCUACUAGGAUUUGUAAAAGAAAAGGAAACCGGGGCGCUGGCUCCCUGGCGCGGCGGCGCUAGCGAUGGCCUUGGCCUCCUGGCCAGCCGGCUGGCUUGGUGGCUUGGGCCUUUGGCCCAAGGCGCUGCGGCUCUCUUUUAAAAAAAAUCGGUUUCGCGCGCAGAAAAAUACAGAAAAAAAAUCUAAACGAACUCUAAAAUUAAUAAAGUAAACUUUCCCCGACUCCUAAAAAUGAGUCGAACAAAAUGAACUUUUACUCGGGGCCUAAAAUGCAAUUUUUGAAAACACGCAUUUUUCCCUAAGGCAAUAAACUCCGAGAAAAAUCCAAAAUUUGAUUUAUUUAUUAAAUCUUCAUUUUUCCUAAAUUUUGGGAAAGUCAUAUUAUUCCCUCUCUUAUUUUUGAUAUUGGAAAAAUAUUUGAAGAUUAAAUAAAUAAAUCCAAUGAUCCUCUUUUCAUAGUUUUGAGAGAACUCAAAUACGAAAAUUUCGAAAUCUCCAACUCUCUCCGAGGGUCCUUGAGUUGCGUGAAAUUUCUAGGAUCAACAAAAUGCAAGAAAAUAUGAUAUGCAUGAUGAUCUAAUGUAUAACAUUCCAAAUUGAAAAUUUGGGAUGUUACAAAAGGAGCGGACGAAGCUCACACGACCACACAAUCGAAUUCGCAGAAAUUGAAAAGUAACUCCUAAAAAUUACACAAAUUGUAGAGUAAAUGGAGCGAUUAAACGAACAAAUCAAAGGAUUCCUACUAACACACAACGUCCGAGCAUGAAAAAGUCGCAUCCGACGCGAAGACGAACGAACAGAGAAAGCUCGUCCGCCAAAUCGCUUGAUUUGCCUAAAUUUUAGUCAAUUUUCCUGUAAAUUACAAAUAAUAAAGGUCAAUUGGCAUCCAAAAACAAAUUAAAUCAUCCCACAACACCCGAUUCCACACAGAAUACACGGGCGGACCACCAAAAAAUGAAGCAGUUCUCUGGUAAAGCAUUGCAGUGCUCACCGACAGUAAGAUGCAGUGCGCUUCCGUUGAGCGUGCAGUUCGGAACUGCUAGCAGAAUAACAGUUCCGCUAAUAUUAGCGGAAUAGACCGGCUAUAUACACACAUAAACACUAUUCUGUUCACGGGAUCAGAAUAAUAUUCUGAUCACAACCUGAACUGCCUGAGUAACGCGCCUGAACUUCCCUCUGUACUGGGUUGAACUUCAGCUAAAAAGUGUCCAAAUGGGGCUUGCGAUAUACCGUUGGAAAGCUAUGGACACCAAUAUCAUGAUCCAAGUUAAAUUUUUGGCAAAAUGUAAGCGGUUUAAGAGCAGUUUUGAAAACCGUUUUUUCUUCAUACAAAAAAGGUGAAUCGUAUUUUCGAUCGCAUUUCUAAACCGUUUAUCGGAAUGAGGUAAAUAAUAUAGCAUUGGAAAGCUGCUGCAAAACUGCUCCUUCGACAUGAUUAAAGUUUUCUCUAAUUCCCUAUAGAUAAAGAGUAAUUUUGAAAAUCGUAAAAUUUCGCAAAUCGAACAGCCGAGUUUGUAUUUUCAAUGUAAUUUCUAAACGGCUAAUCCAUUUGAGGCAAAUGAUAUGGCAUUGGAAACAUUGUGAAAAUGCGCUACUUUUUCAUGUUAAAAGUAUUUUCUAAUUUGGAAUGGUUUAAAAGCAAUUCAGAAAACGGUACAAGUUCCACCGAGUUCGUAUUUUCGAGAUAAUUUUUUAACCGUACGGCCGAAUGCAACAAAUAAUACGGCGUUGGAAAGCUUGAGCAAAUGCAAAACUUUUUCGUAUAUAUUGUUUCUCCUAAUUCCUUACAGUUUUAAGUCAAAUUAGAAAAAUGGCUAAAAACGUAUUUUUGGCAUAAUUUCUACAUACUUUAUCGAAAUAGGGCAAAUAAUAUACCGCUGAAAAGCUACAAAAAUUGUGAAACUUUUUCAUGUUGAUGGUUUUCUCUGAUUCCUAGACGUUUUCAAGUAAUUGUGAAAAUGAUGAGAUCAUUUGUUCUGCCUUUAUCGCGAAACUGAUUCUUCGAAAAUGCAUCGCGUGAAGAACAUGAACUUCUCGGCACGUGUACUUGAACUUCAUUCUGUUUUUCACGUGCUUUUUUGCUCGUAUAUCUCUAUCCACUGCUCUUAGCUCUCCAUCCACUCACCGGAAUUGAGCAAGUGAUAUACCGAUGGAAAGCUGCUGUAAACACGCAAUUUUCCAGUGUUGAUCAUUUUUUCAUACUCGCAACGAUUUUAAAAGUUUUUCAUCUGAAAUUCAUUCAGCGUAGUAGCUGAAUGAGGCAAUUAAUAUGGCUUUGGAAAGCUGCUGCAAAACCGCUCCUUCCACAUAUUGAAAGUUUUCUCUAAUUCCCUACGGUUAAAAAGUAAUUUAGAAAAUCGUAAAAUUUCACAAACCGAACAGCCGAGUUCAUAUUUUUGAUGUUAUUUCUAAAUGGCUAAACCAAUUGAGGCACAUGAUAUGGCGUUGGAAAGCUCACGAAAAUGCGCUACUUUUUCAUGUAGAAACUUUUUUCUAAUUCUGAACGGUUUAAAAGUGAUUUAGAAAACGGUACAAGUUUCACCGAGUUCGUAUUUUCUAUCUAUUUUUUAACCCUAUGUCCGAAUGCAACAAAUGAUAUGGCGUUGGAAAGCUUGAGGAAAUGCGAAACUUUUUGGUAUAUAUUAUUUCUCCCAAUUCCUUACUGUUUUAUGUCAGUUUUCAAAAUGGCUAAAAACGUAUUUUCGCUUUAAUUUCCACAAACUUAAUCGGAAUGGGGCAAAUAAUAUACCGUUGAAAAGCUAAGGAAAUGCGAAACUUUUUCAUGUUAAUGGUUUUCUGUGAUUCCCUGUCGUUUUCAAGUAAUUUGGAAAAUGGUGAGAUCAUUCAUUCUGCCUUUAUCGCGAAACAGAUUCGUGAAAAAUGCAUCGCGUGAAGUACCUGAACUUCUCGGUAUGAAACCUUGAACUUCACUCUUUUUUCACGUGCUUUUUUUUGCUCGUGGCUCUCCAUCCACUGCUCGUAGCUCUCCAUCCACUCACCGGAAUUGAGCAAGUGAUAUAUCGGUGGAAAGCUGCUGUAAACACGCAACUUUCCCGUGUUGAUCUUUUUUCAUACUCGCGAGGAUUUUAAAAGUUUUCCUUUUGAAAUUCAUUCACUGUAGUACUUGAACUUCCUGUUUUUUCCACGUUGAACUUCUGUGACGUAUUUUCUUUUAUAAUUUUCUCAUCCAUUCGCCAGUGCUAGACAAAUGAUAUUUCUUUUAUACAAACCUCUCUCACAAUAAUUUUUUUGACUUUCUUCGACGAAGGACUUGAACUUAUAACAACAAAACUUUUAGCCUUUGUUUUUUUGUUCUUUUUUUUAAUACGAAAUGCACACCGUGUAGUACGUGAACUUCUAGCAGUUAUCAAUCUGAACUUCUCUCGGUUACGUGAAAAUAUCUAAGUUUUUUAUAAAUAUUAAACUGAAUUUCUUAAUCCCUUUUUUAUGAAUUUUGAAGCGCUCUAUUUUUAAAAGUUGAACUUCUUGUUAUUUUAUUUUUGAACUUCUUGUCUCCACUCUUUAAUAACGAGGAAAAUCCGAGUUCUCUAUAAUCAUCGAACUUCUCCAUCUUUUUAAUAUGGACUUCCUAGUUUUUUUCUUAAUCUUUUUUAUGAAAUUUUGAAGCGCUCUAUUUUUAAAAGUUGAACUUCUUGUUAUUUAAUUUUUAAACUUCUAAUUUCCAUUCUUUUAAUAAUGAGGAAAAUCUAAGUUUUCUAUAAUCAUUGAACUUCUCCAUUUUUUUAAAUUGGACUUCCUUGUUUUAUUUCUUUUAGUAACGGAAAAAAUCCUACUUUUUGAUAGACAUCGAGCCGCUCCGUUUCAAACUUUUAACUUCUAGGUUUAUUUUAACAGAGAAAAUAUUUUUUAUAAAAUUGUUUGAGAUGCUUUUUUUUAAUUACCUUCUUUGGGUUUGUAACAAGCAUUGAACCUUGUGUGUAAAUGAAUAUUUGACCGCUUCAUUAUUUUAAUUUGCACUUCUAGGUUCUUCCUAGAAAGAAAGAUAAUCCUUUUUAUAAACUAUUUCUGAACUGCUCUAUUUACUUAAUUUGACCUUCUUGGGGUAUUUAAAAAUGAAAAUAACAUGUUUUUUUGGUCCAAAUAUUGAACGGCUCUUUUAUUUGAUUGACGGGAAAAUAUAUUAGAUUUCUUUUUCAUACAAAUGCACACCGCGUAGUACAUGCAUUUCAGACAAUUAUCAAUCUAAACUUUAUCUCAGUUACGUGAAAAUAUAUGAGUUUCUUCUGUAUGUAGUACACUUGAACUUCGGAAUGUCUAAAACAUGAACUUCUCUAUGUAGUUAUUUUCUGAAAGUUUCUGAAAAUGAAAUCAUCAUGAGUCUUCUCAUACAACGACAUGAUGUUAUAUUAGCGUGAACUUCUCACAAAAAUUAAACGGACACAAAAGAUAACAAAACCAUCGCUGUUUGUACACAAGAAAAACAUAUUUUGACAUGUUUUGGCCAUAUGAUAAGAUGUUUGGCCAUAUGGUAAGAUGUUGGACAUUAGAGUUGGACUGCGGUAGGCGGGUUUGUUGAACGGGCGCACAUGGCCAGAACAGAGAAACCACGGGUUGAGGCAACACACUGGCGGCGAUGGCGGUUGGGCCGCUGACGAGAGGAAGCUCAUGCGGUGGCUGCGACGAGCUUGUGGAGAGAGGUGUGCAUGAGCGUGGGCUCCAUUUUCAGCUGUGCUUCCCUUGUUGUCGCUGCUCACCUAGAGCUUCACUCAGUCAAAGAGCGGAGACCUGAAGUUCAGACCCCAUAAGCCAAUACAGAAACAUUUUUUUGUAGUUAAUUUUUUGGGCAAAUUCAAAGAAGUUCAAAUCCUAAAGAAGAGACAGAGAUUAUUGAAGACAGAGAGAGAUCAGGGAGAGGGAGGGAGAGGAAAUACCUGCAACAUCGGUGUUCGUCGUCGUGGUCAGAGUUCAGUGGGGCACCGGUGCGUGGUGGAGGCAGGUAGCGUCGGGANNNNNNNNNNNNNNNNNNNNNNNNNNNNNNNNNNNNNNNNNNNNNNNNNNNNNNNNNNNNNNNNNNNNNNNNNNNNNNNNNNNNNNNNNNNNNNNNNNNNNNNNNNNNNNNNNNNNNNNNNNNNNNNNNNNNNNNNNNNNNNNNNNNNNNNNNNNNNNNNNNNNNNNNNNNNNNNNNNNNNNNNNNNNNNNNNNNNNNNNNNNNNNNNNNNNNNNNNNNNNNNNNNNNNNNNNNNNNNNNNNNNNNNNNNNNNNNNNNNNNNNNNNNNNNNNNNNNNNNNNNNNNNNNNNNNNNNNNNNNNNNNNNNNNNNNNNNNNNNNNNNNNNNNNNNNNNNNNNNNNNNNNNNNNNNNNNNNNNNNNNNNNNNNNNNNNNNNNNNNNNNNNNNNNNNNNNNNNNNNNNNNNNNNNNNNNNNNNNNNNNNNNNNNNNNNNNNNNNNNNNNNNNNNNNNNNNNNNNNNNNNNNNNNNNNNNNNNNNNNNNNNNNNNNNNNNNNNNNNNNNNNNNNNNNNNNNNNNNNNNNNNNNNNNNNNNNNNNNNNNNNNNNNNNNNNNNNNNNNNNNNNNNNNNNNNNNNNNNNNNNNNNNNNNNNNNNNNNNNNNNNNNNNNNNNNNNNNNNNNNNNNNNNNNNNNNNNNNNNNNNNNNNNNNNNNNNNNNNNNNNNNNNNNNNNNNNNNNNNNNNNNNNNNNNNNNNNNNNNNNNNNNNNNNNNNNNNNNNNNNNNNNNNNNNNNNNNNNNNNNNNNNNNNNNNNNNNNNNNNNNNNNNNNNNNNNNNNNNNNNNNNNNNNNNNNNNNNNNNNNNNNNNNNNNNNNNNNNNNNNNNNNNNNNNNNNNNNNNNNNNNNNNNNNNNNNNNNNNNNNNNNNNNNNNNNAAAACAUUAAAAAAUAUAUAAGUUGUGCCGUGCUGGCCCGCAUGCCCAGCCUCUAGGCCCAGGCACGGCCCUACGCAGCACGUCCCGUGCCAUGCCUGGCCCAUCAUGGCAGGCCGUGCGGGCGUGCUCGUGGCCGGCCCGUUUGGCCCGCCGUGAUCAGGAGAGUAGAACUAUUUUUUCGCAACACGGCACUCAAGCACCAGCAGAAUAAAAUACGAUUGUUCCACGGAUCCAAGGCUUUGAUUACGGGUAAUCUUGGCAGACAGGCAUGCAGAUGCAGGCCACCAUUUAUUCCUCUCGAUAAACAACAGUCCGCAGGACACGCGGCGGGGAGGGACAGAAGAAUCGCCAGCCAGUUCAUCUCCCCAAGGACACGGCAUUUAUUCCUUUCAACUAACCCCAUUUGCUAAUUUUAAAGCACCAAUUCCAAAAACCUUUCACUUCAAUGAUCAGCUACUACUACCUCGAGUCAUUUCACAGUAGCUGAGCCUGAGAGAAUGGCUCAAUUCCGCAGCUCAACCUCGAGUCAUUUCCCAGUAGCUCAGAGAAGAGAAUGGUUCGAUUGCGCAGCUCAUGACCACUGCAAAAAUUACUGAAUCUUCUCCCUUCUCCCCGUAAUUGGCGAAAUGAAAUGAUGCACUAGUAGUAGUACUCCACUAACUGAGUUAAUUAUCACCAUCGUUUGAUUUAUGGUAAUACUGUAGUAGUACUACGCAAAUGGAAUUGGCUUCAAGAUGGCAGGAGGGACAAGUGAGGCAGUGAGCAACAUGGCCUCCACUAACUCUUGUCUGUUGCCUCAACCAACCAACCUACCUUCCUCCCCGGCCCAAAAAUAAACAGCAACGAUGUGCAAGGAGAAAGAGCAAAAUAGAUGUUCCUCCUCCAUGCCAAGAUCUACAGAUUGGUGAUAGCACUUCAUCUAGACACGAAAAUUGCGGAUGGUUCUACUCUCUAGAUCCACCUGAACGCCACAAUGAAAGCUCGUAGUAGAAUUUAAUUUUCUCCCGUCACCAGUCAUUUAACAAUAGCAAAGCAUUCUCUUGAUACAGAUAAGAAAGCAGCUCAAGUUCAUCAUCUUACUCCAAGAACAUGAAGGGAAGAGGGACAUGCAAACUUCAAAGAAUAACAAAUAUCUCUUCAUAUUAAGGCACAAAUAUCUCUUAUACUUUACAACAAGGACGGCAACAAAUGUCCCAAUAGGCCAACACAGCAGCGGCAACAACCAAAGAAAUUUUACUAAUAAAUAGUAGCAGUAGUAGUAUACUAGUGGUACCGCUUAAAGAACAGCACGAGAAGCAGCUUAUUUUUGAACCGAGAGGACGUGAUCCCUGGGCGCGGAUCCGUGGCUUAGCCGCGGCAGCGGGUGAUGCGGGAGCAGCCGCGGUGGUAGGGGUUGGCCUGGGCGCCGGGGCGGCAGUUGUAGUAGCUGGCGCCGCGGCGGUUGCAGGGGACGGUGCCCCUGCGCAGCGCGCCGUAGCUGAUGUAGCCGCGCCCCUGCAGCACGCGGCGGUGCGCCUCGGCCGACGCCGACCCGAGCUCCCCCUCCGCGUCCUCCCCGCCGCACUCGGCCACGGUGCCCCUGCACUCCCCGCGGCCAGCGCCGCCGGAGAGGAGGCCGAGCUGCAGGUGGUCCCCGCCGGCGAUGGACGAGGCGGAGGCGGACAGCGCGACGGCGAGCACCAGGAGGAGCAGCACGAGGCUCCUAACGCUGGCCAUGGCGCGGCGCGGAGCGGGCGGCGGCGAGGGAAUGAAUGCGCGUGGGGGAGGGGAGCGCACAGCGAAGCCUUAGCUGGCGCGGUGUGACGAGAGGAGAGGAGAGGAGGAGGUGGGCGAGAGGGAUAAAGUGAGGCUGGGAAGCGGCGGGGGUGGGACUGGUGAAAUAGAAAGCGGUCCCAACCCCCGAGCCAAAUAAUAAAGACGCGGAGCGGAGCGGAGGAGAAGGGUAGCGCGGCGCGAUGCGGCCGCGUUGCGACUGGAUUCGGCGCGGUGCGGUGCGCAACAACUGGACACAGCUCAUGUGACGAGGAGGAGGAAGCGUGUAGCCAGAGACAAUGGCCAUGUGCAGCCAGGCAAUGGACGAUGAGAUGAACCGCGUGGUCGUAACAGCGGCAUAAUAUGUCAUCGGCGCACAGCUUGCUGCCUGAUUAAGAGCAUGCUUGGAUACGUUUUAGUCCCAUGACUAAAAAUAGUGGGACUAAAACUUGCUAGUCUCAUCCAUGCUUGGAUCCAAAUACUAAAGAAACUAAAAUCUAGUUAUUGAGCAUUUAUUAUCCUCCAAACCCUCCAAUCCAGAACUAAGGAGAGGAAUUAAAUGAGGAGAGAGAGCUAAUACAUAUUUUAGUAGGUUUCCCAUGACUAAAAGAUUUUAGCCUUAAGACUAAUCCUAGCCUCUCUUUAGUCAGGGGUGCUUGAAACUUUAGCCUCUAAAAGAGAUUAUUUUUAAACUAAAAAUAGUCCCUUGUAUCCAAGCACCCUCUAAACCCAACUAUAAUGGGACGAGAGUUGUGGGAACAUGGAGGAUCGUGGGGCGGUGGCAGCUUUUCAGGUGGCCUUCCUCUGGAGUUUGGCCACUGUCCGUUGGCUUGCUAAAUUUGUACUAGUUACCACGAGAUGAUGGUGCCCUUUUAUGAUAUUACUCCAUUAUUGAGCGAAUUUUAAGGGUAGACAGUGUAUUGGAAAGGAGAUGGAUGUUUGUGUUAUGGUAAAAUCUCGUUUAAAAUUGUACUGAUAAUAGCCAUCGCUGCAAAAUCUGGUCCUGUUCGGUGGAUUUACAAAGUUGUACUAUACGUGCAACUCUCGCGUCCCUUCCCUUGCAUAGCACGUAGUAGUUAUCCAGACAUCCAAGCCCUUUGUCACUGACCCUCUUUCCCUUACAAGGGCAGCAACUCUUUGCAAUGCUAGUACGUGGUUUUGGCAUACCAACAAUUCAACAUACGUGCUUACAUUUUCGUCUUAUGUUGAUCUAUAGUUUUCGCUCAACGUGCUAACCUCGACAGCACUCAUGCAUUUCAGAUUGAAUAUGAGGCCGGUCAUCCUUUGGCCAUUCUUUCUUAAUUUCUCAUAGUAUGUUCUUUCUCCUACAAAUUUCUUGUGUUUUUUUUUAGUUUUGGUUGCACAUGGUCAACUUGUCGAUAGAUAAUCAUCUUAGUACUUUUCAGAAGUCAUAUACGAAUUAAAUACUAGAUGAAUUUUUCUUCUUUUUAGAAAAUAAUGGCACUUUCAGGACCUCCUUGGUACAAAGAUAAUUCAUGAGAUUUUUGUAGGAUUCUGUCUUUUAGGAAUUUUUCCUGUGUUUUUUUCUUAUUUUCUCGAAAAGAAGGUUGAAACCGCCAGCCUCUGCAGCCAAUGAUGCAUACAACCAAUUUUACUAAAUUUUGCAUUCAACAGAGUUCGGCAAAACAAAUACAUGGAUAAAUCCAAAGCCACCUUCUUGACGAUCUCUGUCCCUACACCUAUAAGUUUGAUAAUGUACCCUAAUCUUGCGCCAAGGCAUAUCAUCUAAUUCGGUGGCCUCCAUCAAGCCACCCCAUAGCGAGCCGAUAGUACCAACCGGUUUAGCAAACUCUCGAUAUGCACCGCAUGCGCACGAUCUAGAAUCCGUCGCCGUCAUCUUAGGUUGUUCCACUUCAGGAGAGACCAACGACCUUGCUAGACCCAAUUGUCGCCGACACCACCAUGACGUGAGACAACGCAUCAUUCUGUGCGCGUCCAUCAACACAUGUCCACUGUCGAGACUGCUGGGGUUGAGCCCUUGCCCUAGCUCACCUUCACUCCACCUCUCUCUCUCUCUCUCUCUCUCUCUCUCUCUCUCUCUCUCUCCUCUCUCUGGCCACAAACCGAAGUAGAAAGGAGGAAGGAGAAGAAGAAGUGAACACGAUGGUGUUUCCCGGCGCACGAACGCCCGCCGCGGCAACGAUGUUUUUCUUGAGCACAAACUCACCCCACAACCAUUACAAUGAUCCCCACAGGGGUCUUAUACCCCUGGGCCAGCAGUGGGCACGACCCACGCUCCCCACCCAGUCCCAACACCUGAUCCAAAACGCUAUGGACGCGCUCACGACGCGCACGUACCCGCGUGGGUCGCGCCGAGCCCGCAACAGAUCAACCCGAUCGCCCCGUCUAUCUCACCAACAGCUUGGUCCUAGUUUGGUGCGUCGCGCACACACAUGCGCCCGCAUCCUUGCCCUACACACGCAGGCACACACGCACGCUCGCCACAGUGCUCGUUGUCGGUGUCAAAACAGGCGGAUCUCGGGUAGGGGGUCCCGAUCUGUGCGUCUAAAGCUGAUGGUAACAGGAGGCAAGGGACACGAUGUUUUACCCAGGUUCGGGCCCUCUUGAUGGAGGUAAAACCCUACUUCCUGCUUGAUUGAUAUUGAUGAUAUGAGUAUUACAAGAGUUGAUCUACCACGAGAUCGUAGAGGCUAAACCCUAGAAGCUAGCCUAUGAUGAUUAUGAUUCUGUCUCUAAGGACUAAACCCUUCGGUUUAUAUAGAUACCGAAGGGGGCUAGGGUUUACAUGGAGUCGGUUAUAAAGAAGGAAAUAUAAUAUUCGGAUCGCCAAGCUUGUCUUCCACGCAAAGGAGAGUCCCAUCCGGACACGGGACGAAGUCUUGAGUCUUGUAUCUUCACGGUCCAACAGUCCGGCCAAAGUAUAUAGUCCGGCUGUCCGGAUACCCCCUAAUCCAGGACUCCCUCAGUAGCCCCUAAACCAGGCUUCAAUGACGAUGAGUCCCGAGUGCAGUUUGUCUUCGACAUUGCAAGGCGGGUUCCAUCUCAGAAUACUCCAAAGUAAUUAUCGAACACUCAAAUCGUGUCCGGAUUUGCAAGAUGAUCUUCACAUACCACCGUAGGGAGAAUGAUAUUUCACAAAUGUAAUCCGCUGACAACUUUAGACAACGUGACAUGACACCAUGGUCGGGUCAUCAUUCGAACCGUCUUCCCACAACCAGCCACAACACAUAUUGCGAGGCGGUUUCCUCUGCAUGUCUUGCUGAAGCAGAGAUCAUGUCCCCUUAUUACGGGAUUCUCAUCAAUACGGGUAUGGGUAGCCCAACUGCACCGCUAAUUGUGGCGAGUGGGGAACGAGCGGGUUCCACCAGGCAAGUGGGGAGGCGCAAAAGCUUUUACCGCCUCUAUAAAGAGAUAAGGUCUCUUCCUUUUUACCCACGCCUUUUCCUUCCGCUAGUCCAUUCCCCUCUGCUCGAGCCCUAGCGCCCAAGCACUCUUCUUCUCCACCGAAGAGAGGUCCUCCGAAGAUGUCCGGAUCUGGAGCAGGAGGCAAAUGGAUGGCCUCUACCGUCUGGGAGAGGGAUAUCAAAAAGCUUCGAGAGGCCGGGUACUUGGCCAAGAAAAUCGGCCACCGUCUUCCACCAACGGGACAGAUCGUCCCCUCUCCGGAGCCCCACGAGAGGGUCGUGUUUCUUCCUCAUUUCGUCCACGGGCUCGGGUUUACCCUUCACCCAUUUGUUCGCGGCAUCAUGUACUAUUACGGGAUUGAUAUUCAUGAUCUGUCCACCAAUUCUUUCCUUAACAUCUCGACGUUCAUCGUCGUAUGCGAGGAUUUUCUCUGUAUUUCACCCACUUCAGCUUAUGGCUGAAAAUCUUCAACGUAAAGCCCAAGGUGGUGAGCGGCGAGCACGCCGAAUGCGCCGGCGCCAUGGUGAGCAAGAUGCCCAAGGUCGUAUGGCCGACGGGCAGCUUCAAUGAUUCCAUCAAGGAGUGGCAGCAGCAGUGGUUCUAUAUCACCGAACCGCAUGGUAAAAAGUGGGCUGCUGCUCCCGAAUUCAGAUCCGGAGCCCCACUGCGGCUCACGUCCUGGCCCGAGAAGGGCCUGAAUUGGUCCUCAUCCGAUGACCUGUCAGUGCUCCAAACGCGCGUCCAGAGCAUGGGCGACAAGGACGUCAAACUCGUCAACGUAUUCCAGGUGAUGUUAGUUCGCCUGGUUCUCCCUUGCCAGCGUUGAGCCUGUAAUUUGUGGGAAUACGACCCAGUCGAGCACCAGACCCUUCGGGAGCUCUAUGGAUCCUCCCACAAGGACAUCUGGAAGGUGCUUUUCAAGUCCGGCAAACCGUGGCUGGGCUCCGCCGAGGACCGCGGGUAUCAACUAUCCCGCUCUGCAAGUCCGGUAAGUCAUUGCUGUUCUCUGUCCAUCCGUUUUUUAGCCGGCCUAUCCCGAGGGAGGCGCACUUAUCAUGCUUUCUACAAUAAUCCCAGGAAUGGACGAAAAAGGUGGAGCGGAUACACUGCCCGACCCCACUAUCGGAGGAACCGGCCGGACCUCUUCUGACGAAGAUGCUGGUCCCAGCGCCUUACGAGGCGCCGAAGAAAGAGGCCUCCAAGAAGGUCAAGAAGACCCGGAGUGGCCUUCGUCGUCGUGAUGUUUCGGAUGCAAAAUCCGAGGACUCUAGCGACCAUCCUUCCUCCGAAGAUGAAGAGGAGGAGGAAGAAGACGAGUCCCCCGCAGGGGGAGGGAAGAAAAGGACGGCCUCCUCAUCCCUAGAGGCCGAAUCGCCAAAGAGGGGGAAAAGUUCCCUCCCCGAGGCAUCCACCACGGCUGCCGAUAGCAGCCCGGAGUGGGAUCCCAGGGCCUAGCCCCUGGUAAAGUUGUGAGUAUACAAAACCCGCACACACCUACAUGCCCGGGGUCAUUAGGAUGUAGUAGUUUAACUGUCGCCAUACUUUGUGCAGCCCGGCGAGGUCCCACGUUGGACAGUCCUCAUCGGAGGAUUUGCUGAGCUCAGAUGCCCUGGAGAGCGAGACGCCUCCAGAGGCCCCUUCCCCGAAGCCUCGGCGCGACACCGAGGUGUCGUCUCAGCAGGAUACGGACCAGGGAGGGCAUAUCUCUGGGGCCGGAUACAUGGGAGUAGAGGCUCCCAUGCGUGUCGAUAGCAGGGGCGAUCUUAGGUUCGGACCGCAGCCGGACACGGUCCUGGAGACUUUUAAAGCUCCAGGAUCGGGCGAGCAGCCACCUUUGACGGAGGGAGGCUUGCCCACUCCGCCAGCAACCUCUGUUCCAGCAGAGUUGCCGGGCGGCCUAUCGACAGCGCUAAGGAGCGCGUCCAUCGUUGAUGAACAUCAUGCCCUAAUGGGUGCGAUAAUUGAAAAGAUUAAGUCCGCUGAGAGCAGACUGGAUGAAUCCUGCCUUAGCCUUAUGAAAGGCUUUGAGGUAUGUUUUUUAGAAACCUUUGGGAGAUUGUCAUAGUAUGAGUAGUAGCCCCUGAUGCACUGUCCGGCGAAAAAGAGAAAAAGCCGGACAGGGGAUCAAUUUUUCCGCUUUGCAGGAGACUCAAUUACUGACGUGUAUCCCUUUGUUUGAAAACAUGCGUCUGCAGAGAUGACCGCCGCUCAUAAUGCGGAGGUGUCCGGACUAAAGCAUCGUCUGGAACGGGCCAAAGAGGAACUUGGCCGCGUGAAGAAGCAGUUGGAGGACAAGCAAGGUAUGUCGAAACCUUGUGCUAAGUUGGGCAAGAAUUAAAAGGUGUGCCUGAUGAAAAUAUUCGUAUUGUAUGCUCUAGGAGCGAGUGCCGAAAUUGAGGCACCGAAGAAGGCUGUGGCCGAAACCGACAGUAAGGCCGCCGCCGAACAGGCUCUUCGUGAGAAGCAUGAGGCCAGGGUCAUUGAAGCUGAGCGAGAGCUCCAGGAGGCCGUGAAGAAAAGCGAGGCCUUGGAGAAAAGUCUAGCAGGGAGAGAAUCCAAACUCGCCCAAGCUGUCCAAGCCGCAGAGGAUGCUCGGGAAGAAGCCCGAGGUGCUCUAAAGGACAUUCAGGAGGCCCGGAAGGUUGCGGCUGGUAAGGCCUUUUGUACUCAAGGCCAUUAUUGCAUAGUAAUGGGAGGAACUCUAAGAGACAAGCUGAAUUCUUGUUUCUCCAGGGGCGUUUGUGGAUCUGCCACGCAGCAUAUCAGAUGCUGCCCAAUUCUACCGAACUGAGGAGAGGAAGUCUGCGGAGAAGCAUUUUUGGUCGCAGUAUUUGGCGUCGAAUUAUCUGGUGCCCUUUAUCGAUCAGCUGAAGCAGCUGGUCGAACUGCACCAGGCAGUCGAACUAGCCAUGAAGGACUUGGUUGUCCGGCUGUGGCCCGUGGAGCCAAUUCCAAGCAGUUACUUCGGACUCGUGAAGCGGAUUGUUGGUGCUUGCCCUCAACUCGAUGUCAUUAAGCAAUCUGUUUGCAUACAGGGUGCGCGCAUGGCGUUUGCCCGUGCGAAGGUGCAUUGGGGGAAGCUUGAUGCUGAGAAGCUGAUGUCUGAGGGACCACCGGAGGGUAAGGAGCAUCACAAGCCCGAGUUAUACUAUGAAGGUGUCCUGAAAGGAGCCCGCCUUGUGGCGGAUCAGUGUACCAAAGACACUAUAUUUCCCAGAAGGCAGUUAUGUCGUCCUUUGUAAUGCGGGAUAAUGGCACUAUUUAUUAUUUAUUGCCUGUUUAUGUGAACAUUUGUUCUUCCUGUGCGGCUGUUUAGUGUAUAUAAAUCCUGAGAGUUGGCCAGUCGUCGGCUUCUGCCCCCUCGAAAAAAGUACGGGGGUGUUCGGGACAUAUCUAAACACUCUUUAUCCCAUUGUUGGGUCCUUUUAAGGAGGUGUUCCUCACCACGAACCAGGCAAUCAGACUAUAGGUCUUUAUGCCUUUAUCACUCUCACUUAGCCAUAGGAAUUCGAGUAUGGUGGGCGCAGCCCCUGGUGUUCGGAAGACCGUACUAGGGGCUCUAUCGGUGCCUGAUCGGAAGACCAAUCCGUCGCACUUUGCAUUUAUAAUGGCAUUAUGCGGAAUACAUCUUUAAAGAUUUUACAACCUCUCGAACAGCUGACCAGCUCUCGCUGUAUCAUGACAGUCAGUUUUCGGCUUUCUCUACUGAGGUGCUCGUCCGGAAGAACCGGGACACAAUCGCAGUAGUUCUCCCAGCGCUACCUUAGACGAUAAAGCGGAACAUAAGGUACCAAAACAUGGGAGCCGGGAAAACCCAACCAAUGACCCAAGACAUGAUUCGGAGCUAAUGCAUAUAGUGCUAUAAGUUCGGGGUGCCGAGCGACCGAGAAGGUGGCUGGACUUUGUUGCCAUAUUAUUAGUACUAUGAAGCCCCUGGCAUAGUGGGGCAUAAUACAAUGCAUGGGUGUCGUUUAAGACAAAAAAGGCAUCAAUGAGGAACGACGGCCGGUAAGUGUUAUUUAAGUCUACGCAUUGUAGUAGGGUGACAUGUCUAUGCAUAUGAGUACGGUUUAUGCUUAUGAAAAGAGUUGUUUUGGCGGAACCUGUCGUGGCCGGACUGGAGGAGGCUGUGUGUGGAUCCGAAGUGUAUCCGGACUGUCUCCUUGGGGGGGGGGGUUUACUUAUGUGUUCCCGCCUUGUGCGUCCGAGCUGAUUCCACGUUGCCAGUCCUGUUUUGUGCCAAAGUCAGUCUGUAAAGACAAAUGCUUAAAGGCAGUUGUAUGCCAUGCUGUGGUUGAACCGCGGGUGCCUGAUCGGAGCGUGGCUGAACCAGGCUAUCAUGCCAUAAAGUAACUCGGACUCCUAAGUUGGUGUCCAGGUAGUUGGCUGCCGAAUCAAAAUUUGAUAAACGGGCAUGACUCUCUAUUCCAGCAGCUAUAUGAUCUCCACUCUGAGGGUGGGGUUCGGCCUUGCCCAUAAUUGUGACUAUGUCACGUGGGACUGGCCUAGAGUUGUACCCCGUUGAAUCUAGCCAACGUGGUUCAUCCCGAUAGUAUGUGGUAGUUACUGUAUAAGUGGACAAUGCCGAAGAUCUAGUCUUCGGCGUGGUAUUUGUUUGGUGGUCCGAAGACAAUCACUAGUGUGGUGGGCCUCUAGAACUUGGCCUUUGCACCUGGCAUCUUUUAGAAGAUGUUAUUGGUAGUUUUAUGCCCGUGGGGGCUCGUGUGAGAUGGAGCCCACAAACUAUCGGGUCAAUAGUGAGUGCAAUUAAAUUGCUAUGGUUGAUGCUGUCCGGACGGUCGAUGUGAUCGAAGAAGAUAAGUCGUAUUUUCGUACUGUGGAGGAUCUUCUUUUGACUUUGCCAUGUUUGAUUGGUCUUUCGUUGUUUGAAACCUCCUUUCAUUGUUUCCGGUACGUGACCUGCCAUUUUGUUUUGAGGAUCCGGCAUUCUCUCUUGGUAUGCUUGGCCGCCCUUCUAGGGGUACCAUGAAUUUCACAUGGUUGAUCGAGUAUGCUGCUCGGGCCGGAUGGGCUUGAGCUGCUCUUUUUCCGCUGAGCGGACUAGGGGCCGCUGAAUUCGGUAUCAAUUUCCUUGACCUAACGCUUAUGAUGAUUGCGUCGAGGUUUGUGGAUGCUGCCUUGCGUUUCCUGCGUAUUGUUCCGGACCGUGGUAUAUUGAUGUCGGGGUGUGGGCUUUAGGUUCUCCUUCUUAGGCUGAAGUAGCGACUUGUGCCGUGUGUGCCCUUUGGCGGGGCGGUCGAAUUCGUAUUCCUCGGUUGCCAGGACCUUAGUCCAUCUGUCUGUGAGCAAGUCUUGAUCGGCUUUGAGCUGAUGUUGCUUCUUUUGUAGGCUUUUCGCUGCGGCCAUAAGCCAUCGCUUAAAGAGAAUCUGUCCCACGAGAUCCCCAGGCACGCUGAAUUCAUCGUCGACGAGGCUCACCUCGUCUUCGGAGGGGGCAUGUAGUUGUCCCUCUCAAAGUAUCCAUCUUUCGCCUGUCCGGCCUGCUCGAAGGCAGGCUGAUCGGGAUUGUAUUCAUCUUCGGCGCCAUCCAGAUUGUUUUCGUCUCCUCUGCCGGUAUUGCUGUGGCAGGGCUUGGAGCGGCGCCGAUGACACCCAUGCUUUGCUUUCUUCCUUGAGGUGUUAUCCUCUAUUGCCUCAUCGCCAUUGGUUUCUUUCGAAGUGUCCACCAUAUAUAUAUAUCAUAUGAGGAGGUGGCUAUCCACCGCCCCAUGGCGGUGGUUCUAGUUCUUCUCCUACAUCGUCGUCCAUUCCGUCGAUGUCUUCAGAGUCGAAGUCAAGCACCUCGGUUAAAUCAUCGACCAUGGCCAUGAAGUGGGUGGUGGGUGGGCAACGAAUUUCUUCGUCGCCUGCUUCCCACUCGAGCCGGACAUAGUUCGGCCAAGAGUCUCCUGACAAAGAGAGAGACUUUAACGAGUUCAGCAUGUCGCCAAAGGGCGAGUGCUGGAAGAUAUCUGCCGUGGUGAACUCCAUUAUCGGAGCCCAACCAGAUUCGGCGGGCUCGGGAGUGCGCGGACUGGAACCUACACCCAGAUACGAGUCCAGGGGUCCAGUGUCACAGGCUUCCUUGAGGGUGAAACCUGUGUUCGGCUCUACCGCCGAUGAGUGUGCGGCCUCCGGGGUGGGAUCCAUCCACCCGUCCUCAGGCGACGCAAUCUACUCCAGAUUUAGGUCUGGGGCUGCUGCAGGGGCGAUAUCCUGAGCACUGUCCAACAGCAGGUCUAAGCCGUGCUCAUCGUGACUGUCCGGCGCACCUGGCGCAGGCCCGAAUCCGCUGAAGAUCAAGUCUUCGCGGAUAUCGGUCGUGUAGUUCAAGUUUCCGAACCUGACCUAAUGGCCAGGGGCGUAGCUGUCGAUCUGCUCCAGAUGGCCAAGCGAAUUGGCCCGUAGUGCGAAGUCGCCGAACACGAAGAUCUGUCCGGGGAGAAAAGUCUCACCCUGGACCAUGUUGUUGUUGACGAUUGAAGGAGCCAUCAAGCCCUGUAGUGACGACAUAGAGGAACUCUCAGUGAAAGCACCAAUGUCGGUGUCAAAACUAGCGGAUCUCGGGUAGGGGGUCCCGAUCUGUGCGUCUAAGGCUGAUGGUAACAGGAGGCAAGGGACACAAUGUUUUACCCAGGUUUGGGCCCUCUUUAUGGAGGUAAAACCCUACUUCCUGCUUGAUUGAUAUUGAUGAUAUGAGUAUUACAAGAGUUGAUCUACCACGAGAUUGUAGAGGCUAAACCCUAGAAGCUAGCCUAUGAUGAUUAUGAUUCUGUCUCUAAGGACUAAACCCUCCGGUUUAUAUAGAUACCGGAGGGGGCUAGGGUUUACAUGGAGUCGGUUACAAAGAAGGAAAUAUAAUAUCUGGAUCGCCAAGCUUGUCUUCCACGCAAAGGAGAGUCCCAUCCGGACACGGGACGAAGUCUUGAGUCUUGUAUCUUCACGGUCCAACAGUCCGGCCAAAGUAUAUAGUCCGACUGUCCGGAUACCCCCUAAUCCAGGACUCCCUCACUCGUCGCGUCCAGCGCGCGCGCACACACACUAGCGUCGUGGCCACCGUGUCUUAUUUCCCAUCAAUCACCCCCUAAGCCACGACCUAGAGGAGUGUUGGUCCCAUGACGUCAACGUCAGCGAGAAGAGCCUGCUGUGCCACCUCUGCCUUCCGCGGUUUCGUGCACUCGCGCCGGAAGUACAUGUGCUGGCCGCAAUUGUAGCAGCGACCGCGCCGCUUCCCUCUGUCGCCUGACGUCGUGCUACCACCACCAUCGUCCUCGUGGUCGAAGCAGCCACCUCCCUGACACCGUCGCGCCGCCCACUGUGCUGCAGUGAACAUGAGUUGGUCGUCGCCACCUCCGUCACAGUCCUAGCUAUGAUGUCCAUCCGCUCCUCGAACAUCUUCAGUAGUUCAAGUGCCUCCUUGAACGACAUGGUCUCCACAUCCGAAAACUACUCUAUGCCCGCCACCGCAGCGUACAAGCAGUUCGACACCGUGUCCAGCAGCUUCUUGAGCAUUGUCAGAUCAUCCCCAGCCCCGCGUAGUGCGCUGCCAUGCCUCUGCUGUUGGGAAACAUAGCAUGCAAUUUCAAAAAAAAUCCUAAGCUCACGCAAGAUCUAUUUAGGAGAUGCAUAUCAACAAGAGGGGAGAGUGUGUCCACGUACCCUCUUAGACCGAAAGUGGAAGCGUUUGACAAUGAUGUUGAUGUAGUCAAACUUCUUCUCGUUUCGACAACCAAUCAAGCACCAAACGUACGGCACCUCCAAGUUUUGCACAUGUUUAGCUCGAUGACAUCCCUCGAACUCUUGAUCCAGCAAAGUGUCAAGGGAGAGUUUUGUCAGCAUGACGGUGUGGUGACGGUGAUGGUGAAGUGAUCCGCGUAGGGCUUCACCUAAGCAGGACGAAGAUAUGACCGGAGGUGUAAUUGGUGGAGGGAUGCCCCGCACACGGCUAACAUAUGUUGUUGUGUAUUCUAGGCGCCUUCCCCCUCAUAUAUAUAGGUGGGAGGGAGAGGGAGCAGCCAAGGGGGUGACCAAGUAGGAGGAAUCCUACUUGGGGCCCUUGUCCUAUUCGCCCCCCCCCCUACCAUAAUUUCCGGAGGGGGAAGGUAGGAGGAAGGAGGAGGGAAGGAAGGGGGAGGCCGGAUCCCUCCCCUUCCUUUCUCUCUUCCCCUCUUUCCUUCCCCUCCAGAUUCGGGUAUAUGGGGGCGCAGCAGCCCAUGCUUGCUGCUGCAUUUCCCCUUUUGGCCCAUUAGGCCCAUAUCUUUGCCGGGGGUGUCUAGAACCCCUUUCGGUGACCCGAUACGUACCCGGUACCCCUGGAACACUUCUGGUGUCUGAAUACUAUUGUCCUAUAUAUCAAUCUUUACCUCUCGACCAUUUUGAGACUCCUCAUCAUGUCUAUGAUCUUAUCCGGUACUCCGAACAACAUUCGGUCACCAAAUCACAUAACUCAUAUAAUACAAAAUCGUCAUCGAACGUUAAGUGUGCGGACCCUACGGGUUCGAGAACUUGAAGACAUGACCGAGACACCUGUUCGGUCAAUAACCAACAACGGAACCUGGAUGCUCAUAUUGGUUCCCACAUAUUCUACGAAGAUCUUUAUCGGUCGUACCGUAAUGACAACAUACGUUAUUCCCCUUGUCAUCGGUAUGUUACUUGCCCAAGAUUCGAUCGUCGGUAUCUUCAUACCUAGUUCAAUCUCGUUACCGGCAAGUCACUUUACUCGUUCCAUAAUACAUCAUCCUACAACUAACUCAUUAGUCACAUUGCUUGCAAUGCUUCUUAUGAUGUGUAUUACCGAGAGGGCCCAGAGAUACCUCUCUGAUACUCGGAGUGACAAAUCCUAAUCUCGAUCUAUGCCAACCCAACAAACACCUUCGGAGAUAAGCAUCUUUAUAAUCACCCAGUUAUGUAGUGACGUUUGAUAGCACACAAGGCAUUCCUCCGGUAUCCGGGAGUUGCAUAAUCUCAUAGUCGAAGGAAUAUGUAUAUGACAUGAAGAAAGCAAUAGAAAUAAAACUGAAUGAUCAGUAUGCUAAACUAACGGAUGGGUCUUGUCCAUCACAUCAUUCUCCUAUUGGUGUGAUCCCGUUCAUCAAAUGACAACACAUGUCUAUGGUUAGGAAACUUAACCAUCUUUGAUUAACGAGCUAGUCUAGUAGAGGCUUACUAGGGACACGAUGUUUUGUCUAUGUAUCCACACAUGUAUGAAGUUUCCAGUUAAUACAAAUCUGGCAUGAAUAAUAAACAUUUAUAAUGAUAUAAGGAAAUAUUAAAUAACAACUUUAUUAUUGCCUCUAGGGCAUAUUUCCUUCAGUCUCCCUGUCGGUGUCAAAACCGGCGGAUCUUGGGUAGGGGGUCCCGGACUAUGCGUCUAGGCGGAUGGUAACAGGAGACAAGGGACACGAUGUUUUUACCCAGGUUCGGGCCCUCUCGAUGGAGGUAAAACCCUACUCCUGCUUGAUUAAUAUUGAUGAUAUCGGUAGUACAAGAGUAGAUCUACCACGAGAUCAAGGAGGCUAAACCCUAGAAGCUAGCCUAUGGUAUGAUUGUUGUGUGUCCUACGGACUAAAACCCUCCAGUUUAUAUAGACACCGGAGAGGGCUAGGGUUACACAGAGUCGGUUACAAUGUUAGGAGAUCUACAUAUCCGUAUCGCCAAGCUUGCCUUCCACGCCAAGGGAAGUCCCAUCCGGACACGGGACGAAGUCUUCAAUCUUGUAUCUUCAUAAUCUUGGAGUCCGGCCAAUGAUGAUAGUUCGGCUAUCCGGACACCCCCUAGUCCAGGACUCCCUCAGUAGCCCCUGAACCAGGCUUCAAUGCCGACGAGUCCGGCGCGCAUGUUGUCUUCGGCAUUGCAAGGCGGGUUCCUCCUCCGAAUAAUUCAUAGAAGAUUUUGAACACCAGGAUGGUGUCCGGCUCUGCAAAAUAAAUUCCACAUUCCACUGUAGAGAGAAUAAUAUUUACACAAGUUCAAUCUGCUGACGCAUCUCGUGGCAUGACGUCACACCACGGACAAGCCUUUAUUCGAAUUAUUUUAACUGUUCCACCUCAGCGCGUUUAGCAAAGCGGUUUCCUUGGCACGUCUUGUCAAAGCAGAGAUCGUGUCCCCUUAUUCCGGGAUUCUCAUCAAUACGGGCGUGGGUAACCCAACCGCGCCCGUUGGCAUGCCCCCUCCAUCGAAGGCGAGUCCCAAACGGUCACGGGGACGGCUCUUGGUAUUCAACCCCUUUAUAAUGAGACCAAGGUAUGUUCCUUUUCUUCAACCUUCAAUCGAAUCCGCCCCUCGCCUCGAGUUCCAACACCCAAGGUUCCAGAUUCGGGCGCUUCGGACCUUCGACAAUGUCCGGCUCCGACCUACAAGGCCGGUGGAUGCCUUCUUCCGUCACGGAAGAAGACGUGCUAAAGCUGAGAGACGCCAAGUAUCUAAUCAGCGAAAUUUCGCAUAGGCUACCUGCCCAAGGGCAAGUCAUUCCAACUCCCGAGCUUGGUGAGAGCAUGGUGUUCGUGUCUCACUUCCGUCAAGGUUUAGGCUUCCUGGACCCCUUUGUGAGGGGGCUCAUGUUUUACUAUGGGUUGGAAUUCCAUGACUUGGAUCCGGAGUCCAUCCUCCACAUCUCAUCGUUCAUUGUCGUAUGCGAAGCCUUCCUCCGCACUACCCCUCACUUCGGAUUGUGGCUCAAGACCUUCAACGUGGAGCCGAAGAUGAUCGAGGGGCGGCAGGCAGAGUGCGGAGGGGCAGUUAUAAGCAAGAGGGCUGACGCUCCAUGGCCCGAGGGCUCUUUCCAAAAGGAGCUUGGUUUGUGGCAACGGGAGUGGUUCUAUAUCACCGCUGCCAGGGGCACCAGAUGGGUGGCGCCGCCUGCCUUUUGCUCGGGCCCUCCACUACGGCUGGCGUCAUGGGUCAACAAAGGGCUUGACUGGGGGCUGUCUGAGGACGUACCACUGUUGCAGGGCCGUAUUUGAGACCUCCAAGAGAGGAGAUCAAUCUGGUUGUAGUGGCGCAGGUCAUGCUUAUUCGGCGCCUUCUGCCCUGCAAACGUCGCCCCCUCCACAUGUGGGAAUUCAAUCCGGAGGGACCACGAGCUCUCCAGCACUUCAUGGGUGCGACGCCCGUGGAGAUGUAUAAACUGUUCUUGGAUCACAAGAGAUGUGUCCGGACUUGACCGAGGACGCAAGUCUGAGCUGCAAUCGCCCGGAUACUCAAGUAAGCAGCCCUGUACCCGGACAUGCUAUCCGUACAUUUAUCGUAAACUUGCCCUUUAAAGAGCUGUCCAUUGAACAGGAAUGGAUAGCAAAAGCAAAACUGAUAAGGUGUCCGGCCCCCUCCCUGAGACCACGCCGGAUCCCGUGUUAACCAAGAUGCUGGAGGUUGCACCUUUGGAAGAGGGCAAAGGGGGGAACAGGAAAGCUACUGCCUCCGCUAAGGAGGCCUUUAAGGAAGGGGGAUCGAGAAUCCCUCCCUCCAAGGGGAGAAGAGGACCGCUUCUAAAGAUCCAGAGGCCAAGGCCUCGAAGCGGGGGAAGAAAUCUUCACCAGAGGGUCCUACGCCAGAAGAAGCCCUGGCCGCACUAUUUCCCCAAGGGAAUCAGCCCUCCAGCGAGUCAUAAGUAGAAAGGGGAGUUUUGUAAUAAGGGACAUCCCUGUUUUUGUUUCUGAAGAUAACCAAAGUUUUACCUUGUAGUUCGGAUCUCAGCCCUUCUCAGCAGAGCUCAUCUUCGGGGGAUCUUCGUCCGGAGAUGAUGGAGAGCGAAACGCCUCCAUCUGCCGCACCGUCAGGCGGGGCGGACGACCCUGAGGUGUCGUCGCGGAGGGUUUCCCCGAGUCCAGCGGGGCCGGGAGGUCCGGCACCAACUGGUGUACGGUCGGAGGAGCUGAAGGAUCUGCUCGGGUGAGCAUCUAUCUCAGAAGAUCACCAUGCAUUAAUGGGUGCGGUGAUUGAAAGGAUUUCAUCCGCUGAGAGCAGAUUGCAUGAAGCCGUCAGAAGUUUACUGACGGGGUUUGAGGUAGGCAAGAAUGAUGUACCUUCUGACAGUUUUGCAUAUAGAAUGCGCCCUGUAUAGAUAGUAGCCCCUGAGACUCGGUACAUUUUCAAAAGUGACGGCGUGCCAAGGAUCAUAAUCUCAGUUAUAAGAUGUCGCCUUUCCUAUUCAGGGGGCGGAGCGUUCAGUGGCCAGCCGGACUGAUAGAGUUGCUGAACUGAAGCGGCAACUGGACGUUGCGGAUGCGGACAUCGCGCUGGUCAAUAAGCGACUUGACGAGUCACAAGGUAUGUGGCUUCUCCGCGAACACCUGGUAAGGGAGCUUGACGCCCGUGCCUUACUACAUGUAUGCUUAAUGCAGAUGGUGCCGCUGCUAUGGAGGACCUUCGGGCGGAGCUUGCCCGAGCCAAGGAGCAAGCCAGAAAAAGCGAUGCGGCUGCCUUGAAGGCGGUCGAAGAGCUAAAAGCCGAACAGGCUGCUCACUGCCGAAGCAGGGAGGAAAUGGCCGGAAUGGCCGUGAAGCUGAAGGAUGCUACCGACCGCUGUGAGUUUCUUGAAAGAGAACGCCGAGCAGAGCAAGAGGGCCAGAAAAAGGCCACCGCCGAAGCCAAGGAUGCCCGCUCCGCCAUGAGAGCUAUAAAAGAGGAGCUCCGUCAGGCUGGGGAUAUUGCGGCUGGAAAGCCCUUUCAGUUGCGUAGGAAGUUCACGAAUCCGAAGUAUGCUUAGUUGGGCCAGUUGUGGGGUGCGGAGGAUGCUUAUGUAAAUUUGGUAGCGAGUGCCGCAGACGCGGUCGCACACUUCCGAGGCCAGAAGGAUCACGGAAUGGAAGAGCUUUUUUGGUCGCAAUUCCAUAGUCCAGAGCGUCCACUUCCAUUAACCGAUCGAUUAGCCGAGUGGGCUGAGCAGAAUAGGUUGUCCGGACUUGCCAUGAAGGAUCUCAUGGCUCAUCUGUGGCCGGAAAGGCCCGAGCCGAAGAGUUAUUUUGGCUUGGUGUAGCAGUUCCUUGAUGCGGUGCCGCAUAUCAAGGCGAUGAAGCGGUCGACAUGCAUAGAGGGUGCACGGAUGGCUCUCGCCCGUGUCAAAACAUACUGGGCAGAGAUGGAGGCCACUGACGUUGCUUCCUAGGAUUCGGACAUGAGCCGAUUGCCAGCCGUGCACUAUUUUGGGGAAGUCCUACAGGGCGCUCGUUUAAUAGAGACGCAGUGCUCGAAAAAUGUUAUGUUCAGAUGACAUGUUAUGAUUUGUAAAACCAUUCUUCAAAUAUAAUAUAAGGGCUUUUUAUACUUGCGCAUUCAAGUGUUGAAAUUCCUCCUGUGCGGCCGUUAACGUAUAUGUGUAUAUAACCUGAAAGAUGGCAGUCUUCGGCUUCAGCCCCCACGCACAUAGUGCGGGUGUGUUUGCAAAAAAUAGCGCAUUUUCACACUUAAUCCAACGUCUUGGUCCUGUGAAGGAGGUGAUAGCAUAGCAAACUAGGCAACCGGACUAUAAUGCUUUAUCACUUUCACUUAGCCAUAGGAGUUCAAUGGUGGGGCUACUAUAUAGCCCCUAGGGGCACUGCGCUCUCCGAGCUUCGGGGCGCGUAUGUGCCUGACCGGGAAACGGUCCUUCGUUAAAGCGGAGGAAUUCUAAACAUUCUGGUGGUCGAUCGAGUGGUUGACCAGUCUCUCGCUAUAUCAUGACAGUCAGUUUUCGGCUUUCUCUACUGAGGUGCUCACCUGGACGAAUCGGGGCACAAUCGCAGUAGUUCUCCUGGUGCUGCGUUAGCCGAUAGAGCGGAACGUAAGGCAGCAAAACACAGGAGCCGGGCAAACCCAACAUUUGACCAAAGACAUGAUUCAGAGCUGAUGCAUAUAAGGCCUAACUCGAGACGCCGAACACUCCCUAAGGUAUUCGGUCUUUACGAAAACGGGCAGAACAAUGCCCUAAGCCCUUGGUGUCCAGGUACGUGCAAAAUUUCUGACGCGGCAGAUGCCAAAACGCCAGCCUCCUCCUCGGUUAUAGUGAGGAACCGGGGGAUGUGUAUCAACAAGAGACAGUAAGAAAGGUUUAUGUAGGGUCUUAAUCUGAAAAGAAUCCUUGUAACGGGUCCCUACUGCACGUCUGCGCCUGUGUCUCCGUUGUGAUGUAUCCUGGACGGGCGUAGCACAAUGUUCAUCUGUAAAAGAGAAUAACUUAGUUUGAAAAAGGGAUCGUGCGAAAAAUGUAUAAACAGAGUAUAAUUCAAAAAAUGAAUAAAAUUGAGCUUUAUUGUCUCUUAUUGUACAUGCAUGCAGCCCCUUGUAAGGGGGUACGCGGCUAGUAAGCCCCUUGUUUAUUUGUGCCGAACUCGCCUAACCGUGUCCGGGGUCUGAAUGACCUGUUUGGGUGCUUUGAUCGGCAAAGCCGGAUUAAUUGUGUGGCUGUCAAGGCAGUCUCACUUUCUUCCAUAUUCGAGGAACACUCGGGGUUUCCCUUUAAUGAGAUUAUGCCGUGUGGACCGGGCAUUUUAAGUGUAAGUGAUGCGUAAUGCGGUAUUGCAUUAAAGCGGGCGAAAGCUUCGCGUCCCAAUAGUGCUUGAUAACUACUUUUAAAUGGGGCAAUGUGGAAGACUAACUUUUCGCGACGGGAGUUGUUGGAUGAGCCGAACACAACUUCCAGUGGUAGAAAGCCCGUACAAUGGGCAUAUGGGCCUGGCAUCACUCCUUUAAAGGAGGUGUUGCUAUGGCGUAUUUUGGUUAGGUCUAUCCCCAUUCUGCGGAUUGUAUCCUGAUAUAGUAGGUUUAGAUCACUGCCGCCGUCCAUUAGGACUUGUGUAAAUUGUAGUCCGUCGAUUAUAGGAUCUAAUAUCAGGGCAGUCCAUCCUGUGUUCCGGAUACUUCCGGAGUAAUCCUGAUGGUCGAAAGUGAUUGAUUUUGACAUCCAGUGUCGGGACUCCGCUGGGGUGGACCGUUGUCAGGACCCCAAUCCUAAGUCACAUCGAUCUAGCAUGUAACACCUCAUAUCACUUUGCAGCCUCACGCACGGUAUUCCCACAGGUGUCGCCUUACCAUGCCCGAGACCGUUUGCGCCUUUUGGCACACGUAUAUGAUAGUGUCGCUAGCAUCCAUAUGACAGAGAACCCGGGCUGACAUGGCUAGUCGUGAACCCAAAGUGGCACUAACUUACAGGGACAGGCAUCCAUGACCCAGCAUCGAACGUGUCGGUCAUCAGCGAGUGAAUUCAGGCUGUAGCACUGGGCUAACAGGACUCCGGUGAACCGGGCUGUAGCGGGCUAACAUGACUCCGGUGUUCAUCGCGUGACAUUUCCCCGAAGGGACAGACACAGGAACGAAGAAGGACACAUGCCGGCCAGCCUAAGUGUUCCGGAGCAGUAGCAAGCUACCAGGGCUCAGUGGAAGCACUAGGAGACAUUUCCCGGUAAGAGAGACUACUAAGGAUAAACAACUAGAUAGUCAGAUCCCACACAUAGCAAUACACAUUACACGUACGCAUAGCAUGCAAGUAUGUGCUGUAUAACAUGGCAUCACAGCAUAACUCAACAACUCAUAUAGAUAAAGGCUCAGAAGAGCCAUCAUAGCAUUUAUUACAAACAGGGGUCACAUGACCCAACAUUCAGAGCAAUCAAGCAACAAGCGGAAGCAUUACAUGUCUGGGUACAGACAUCUACAAAUGAAAAAGGCUGAAAAGCCUAACUAACUACAAUAUCCGGUCAAGAUCGUAGCUGAGGUACAAGCUACUUGUCGAAGUCCACGAUAACACUAGUAAGACCGAAGUCUCCGCUGCAAAAACAUAAAUAAAGCAACAUGAGUACAAAGGUACUCAGCAAGACUUACAUCAGAUCCUAUCAUACAUGCAUUUGUAUCAAGAGGGUAAUGUGGGGUUUAGUUGCAGCAAGCCAGCUUUGACUCUGUGGCUAACAUGUUCUACGACUACCAGUGAGGUGAUAUGGCGCACACGAGUCCACUAAUCACCACACAAUACCCUACUAUGGAUUCAUCCCCGUCUCCCUACGAGAAGGACAUCCAUAGCACUCACACUUGUCUUGAGCAUUUUAGAGUAUCCACUUCAAGUUGUCUAUGUACCAUGUAAGCAUCCAAGAAGUCCAUAACCGCGGACCCGGCUAUUCGAAUAGAUCAUGUUAACCCUGCAGGGGUGUACUUCUUCACACACGCUCUCGCCACUUACCGCCAUGUACAUGUCAUGUAUCUCGGCAACCUUCAAGCGGAAGCCUGGCGAGGGUGUCGGCCACGACCUGACUAACCACACAAGACUCUAAUCCAGGUUUAUCGCCUAUUCGGGUUCCAUCCGCAAGGAGAUCCGGCCGGGGUGUCGCUCACGGCCCCAAACGAUGUGAGCAGGGUUCCCUAGCCCACCAUCCGGGUGCCACUUGGUACACCGUGCCACUGUGCCUAGUCUGUCCCAAGCCCACCUGGCCGGGUGCCACUUGGUAGACUACUAACAGUACCUACAAACACUAGAAACUAGUUGCGACUCCUGGACAGAGACCAAGUUGGUUAAUAAGUCGAGAGGGGCCGAGUUACCGGAACCCAAUGUGUGGUAGUAUCGAGUCAUUGGACAACAUACAUAGAACUCAGUGCUUAAGGACGGUUCUAGUGAGACAACCCACCAUGUACUCCUACAUGGCCUCUCACCGCUACCUUUACCAAAUCGUGUUCACACACUUAACUCUCAGCAUCAGAACAUAUCGUAAAACUCCAAUUCAUUCCCAAUGAACCAGACCUGACACAACUCUAAGCAAUAGCAGGCAUAGCAUGGUAGGAACACAACAUGGCUCAAUCAACUCCUACACAUGCUAGUGGGUUUCAACUAUUUACUGUGGCAAUGACAGGUCAUGCAGAGGAAUGGGUUCAACUACCGCAGCACAAAGUAGCAGAUGAAUCGUUGUUGUCCUAAUGCAAGAACUGAGAGCACGAGCGAGAGAGUAGGAUUUUAUCGGAAUGAACAAGGGGGUUUGCUUGCCUGGUAGAUCAACAAGGGGGCACUGCUCCUCAGACAGGUACUCUGGAACAGUCUCCGGAGCAGGACCUAUCGAGAAGGAACGGUGCCAACAAUCAAUACACAAGCAUAUGCAACAAUAUGAUGCAUGAACAUGGCAUGAAGAUGUGAUGUUGUUUGAGCUAAUGCAACUAGUAUUCAUUUGGUUUGAAGUCCAUUUGAACCAAAGGUUCAAAUGCAUCUCCAAAUAAGCUCUUUAUAUAAGCCAUUUUAGUGUUUCACUUAUACAGCAGGUAUAACUUGGUUUUUCAUGCAUGAAACUGGUACAGAUGGAUAGGUUGCAUUUUUCUGAUAAUUUUUCAUAUAUAAUUUAUUUCAAUCUGAGCUACGGUUGAAUUGAUAUGAAUUUUUGAAGUUUUGGGCAUUUUCUGGAAAUUCCUGAAUAAGAAUAAAUCCAGAAAAUUGCAUUACUACGUCAGCAUUGAGUAAGCAUGACGUCAGCAAGUCAACUGCGGCUGACUGGGGUCAAACCUGACGUGUGGGGUCCACACGUCAGUGACAGGGGGUUAAACAGGGGUUAGUUUAAUCCUAAUUAAAAGAUUAGUGGCGCUGGGGCCCACUGUCAGUGUCAGGGAGUUAGAUUAGGAGGUGAUUAGCUUAAGCUAAUCACCUAACGAGCCGGACCCACCUGACAGGCCGGCGCGGUCAAGCGGUCAACCCCACCGGCGUUAAGCCGCCGGCGAGGCCGAACGCGGCGGAGGGGCUCGGGACUGCAUCUCCGGCGACCAAAAGGGCCGCGGAGACCAUCUCCGAGGAGCUGGUGCUCGCGCGCAUCUAGUGGGACACACGGGAGACCGUGGGGGUGCCGGAGCUCGCCGGAGCGGAGCUCGGGGCGGCGGCCGGAGCACGGGCUCCGAGCGGGAGCGGGCUGUGGGGCACGGGGAGGCCACUCGAGGGGCUCUGCGGCACCCUCGUGGCACCAGGAGCAUGGUGACGAGCUCGGUUGUGGGUUGCGGUGGCCAGGGCGACGGCGGCGACAUGAACGGUGGCGGGAGGCUUCGGCCGUGGGGGGGGGGGAGGGGCUACGGCGUGCGGGCGGCUAAACGGAGAGAGGGGAACGGGGCAGAAGCUCACUGCGGUUCCGGUGGCGCCUUCAGCAGGCUCGGGGGAGGCCAGACGGCGGCGUGGCGGCGAUGACAAUCUCCAGCGACCGGAGACGAAGACAGCGGCGGCGACGGCUCCACGGGGCGUCCGGCGUCUUGUGGCUUGACGGAGAGGACGAGGGAGUCGUGGCGGAGCUCGUGGACUCCACGGAGGGGCGAGGGGACGGCGGGGAGCGCGUCGGCGGUGAGCUGCGACAGCGGCAACGCUUCGGGCGCAGGGAGAGGGAGAGGUCCAGGGGAGGAGGGAGAGCGAGAGAGAGUGGGGGAGGACCGGGGCGGCGCGUGGCGAUGUCCGGGGCAUCCAGGGCGACGAGGAGGACGCCAGGCAGGGAGGGAGGGAGGAGGUGGCCGGGCGCGUGGCCGCGGCCGGCUGUGGCGCGGGCACGCAGCUGCUUGGGCGAGGGGGAGGAAGACGACAGAGGAGGGGGCGGGCUGGGCUGCUGCUGGGCUGCACAGUAACGGCUGCACAGGUAAGCGGCCCAGGUAAGGUUUUUCCCUUUUUGUUUCUUUUUCUAUUUUUCUGACAUUUGUUUGGUUUAACAAAAAUACUAAACCAUUUUAUUUUCUUAUGCCAAUUUUUAUAGAAGCUAGUUAUAUUAUUCCAGAGCUCCUUAAUAAAUGGCAUAGUUUUUGGACAAUAUUUAUAUAUAUAACAAAUAUAUAUCCAAUGCAAAUAAUUAUGCAUUAGUUCCAAAUGCCCAAAAUAAAUACUUAUGGGCUCCUAAAAUAUUGGUUUGAUUUUUAUCUCUGUCCAAUAUUUUCAGAGAGCAACAUGAGCAUUUUCUUGGACCUUUUUGGAGCAAUUUUUAUUUGGGUCAUUUUCAGGGAUGACUCUGAGGGUUUCACAAAUCCUCAUUUCAAAUUUAAAUGAAAUUUAAACAUGAUGCACACAUGACUAGCUAGUCUAGGCCAUACCAGACUAGGGAUGUGACAACUCGCCCCCACUUGAAAGAAUCUCGUCCCGAGAUUCAGGGGUCGACGGAAAGAAGGUGGGGUACUUCAAUCGAAGACGAUCUUCUCGCUCCCAAGUAGCUUCUCUCUCGGAAUGAUGAGACCACUGAACCUUGAGAAACUUGAUGUUCUGACGUCGGGUAACACGCUCUGCUUGACCAAGAAUGCGAACCGGGUACUCUCGGUAUGUGAGGUUAUCUUGGAGAUCAAGCGUUUCGUGGUCCACUCCGCGGAUAGGAUCCGAGAAGCAACGCCUGAGUUGAGAGACGUGGAAGACAUCGUGAACUCGAGAAAGAUGUGGGGGUAGUUCCAACUGGUAGGCAACCUCUCCUCGUUUAGCGAGAAUACGAAAAGGACCAAUGUAACGAGGAGCCAACUUGCCCUUGAUACCGAAACGAUGGGUACCCUUCAAAGGAGUAACCCGAAGGUAAGCUUUGUCGCCAAUUUCAUAAGUCAUAUCCUUAUGAUGACGAUCAUACUGACACUUUUGACGAGACUGGGCUGUUUUCAAAUUCUCACGAAUGAUGCGAACUUGCUCUUCUGCCUCCUGGAUCAUGUCCGGUCCAAAGAAUUGUCUUUCACCGGUUUCUGACCAGUUCAAAGGUGUUCGACAUCUUCGUCCAUAGAGAAUCUCAAAAGGAGCUUUCUUGAGACUGGAUUGAUAGCUAUUGUUAUAAGCAAACUCGGAGAAAGGAAGGCAUUUCUCCCAAUCCAUACCGAAUGAGAUAACGCAAGCUCUAAGCAUGUCUUCGAGAAUUUGAUUGACCCGUUCCACCUGACCACUCGACUGAGGGUGGAAAGCGGUACUGAAGGAAAGAUGGGUUCCCAUGGCAGUUUGGAAACUCUCCCAGAAGUGAGAAGUGAAAAGACUGCCACGGUCUAAAUUGAUCUGUAGUGGAACACCAUGAAGAGACACUAUUCGAGAAAUAUAUAAGUCAGCGAGCUGACUACCAGUGAUACUCUCUCGAACAGGAAGGAAGUGAGCCACUUUGGAGAGACGAUCAAUGACUACGAAGAUAGCAUUAUUCCCUUUCUUGGUCCUGGGAAAGCCGGUGAUGAAGUCCAUACCAACUUUAUCCCAUUUCCACUCAGGAAUGGCUAGAGGCUGAAGAGUGCCAGCAGGUCUUUGAUGCUCUGCCUUAACGCGAUGACAAACGUCACAUUUAGCAAUGAACUCAGCAAUUUCUCUCUUCAUCCUAGUCCACCAGAACCUCUGGCGUAGGUCCUGGUACAUCUUAGUACUAUCGGGAUGAAUCGUAAAAGGGGAUUCAUGCGCCUCCUUAAGAAUCAAUUGCUGCAUCUGCUGACUUUUGGGAACCACCAAGCGGUUCCCGAAGUAAACAACACCUCGUUCAUCCAUAGAGAAACAAUCAGCUACUCCCUUGGAGAUAUUUUUCUUGAUUCGGGAGAUUCCCGUAUCAUGCUUCUGGACUUCUAUGAUACGAUCCACAAUAGUAGGUUUCGCCACCAAGGUAGAAAGGAAUCCGUGAGGAGCAAUGUGAAGGUUAAGCUUGCAGAAUUCCUUAUGGAGAAGUGGUUGGCCCUGCUGCAACAUAAGAUUGUUGCAAUAGGAUUUACGACUUAGCGCAUCAACCAUGACAUUAGCUUUGCCUGGAGUGUAAGUAAUCCCUAGAUCAUAAUCUGAGAUCACUUCCAACCAACGUCUUUGCCUAAGGUUCAAAUCUGGUUGGGUGAAGAUAUACUUGAGACUCUGGUGAUUUGUGUAAAUCUCGCAACGUUUACCAAGGAGGUAAUGUCGCCAGGUCUUCAGUGCAUAGACUACGGCUGCAAGCUCUAGAUCAUGUGUAGGAUAAUUCUCCUCAUGUGGAUGCAACUGUCGAGAUGCAUAGGAAAUCACAUGACGAUCCUGCAUAAGAAUGCAACCUAGUCCUUGUCGUGAGGCAUCGCAGUAGAUAACAAAGUCUUUAGUGAAAUCCAGUGGCACAAGUAUGGGAGAAGAAGUCAGGCGUCUUUUCAGUUCCUGAAAACUGUACUCACACUAUGGGGACCACUCAAACUUUUUAUCUUUCUUGAGAAGUUCUGUGAGAGGUUUGGCCAAUUUAGAGAUGUUUUCAACAAAGCAGCGACAAUAACUGGCUAGACCAAGGAAACUCCUAACUUGUUUAACUGUUUCAGGUGGAGUCCAAUAGAGAAUGGCCUUAACUCUCUCGGGAUUGACAGCAAUGCCCUUACCAGAGAUUAUGUGGCCUAGAUAGGUCACUUCUGGCAACCAAAAUUCGCACUUGGAGAACUUGGCAUAAAGACGGUGCUCUCUGAGUUUUUCUAACACAAGUCUAAGAUGUUCGGCAUGCUCUUCCUCGUUCUUCGAGUAAAUAAGAAUAUCAUUGAGGUAAACCACGACAAAUUUAUCUAGGUACUCCAUGAAGAUCGAGUUCAUCAAGCGGGAGAAAGUAGCUGGAGCAUUGGUUAGACCGAAGGACAUGACUGUGUACUCGUACUGGCCAUAAUGAGUGACAAAGGCCGUCUUGGGGAUGUCCCCAUUUCUGAUCUUGAUUUGGUGGUAGCCUAACCUCAAAUCCAUCUUGGAAAAGACUGAGGAUCCAGCGAGCUGAUCAUACAGGUCGUUGAUCCUAGGGAGAGGAUAUUUGUUCUUUAUCGUGACCAAAUUAACGGGACGAUAAUCUACAACCAUCCGGUCCAUACCAUCCUUCUUCUUAACAAAGAGGACGGGGCAAGCCCAAGGAGAAGAACUAGGACGGAUGAAACCCUUUUGCAAGGACUCAUCAAGUUGUUUCUUAAGCUCGGCUAGUUCUAAGGGUGCCAUCUUGUAAGGUCUCCAAGAGAUUGGAGCAGUUCCUGGGAUAAGAUCUAUGACGAACUCUACAUCUCUGUCAGGUGGAACACCUGGCAGUUCUUCUGGAAAGACAUCCGGAAAGUCACGGACUACCGAGAUAUCUUCAAGGUCUGGAAGAGGGCUGGCAUUAAGAGAAUAGAGCUGACGCCUUGAAACUCUAGUGGAGACAGUGACUAUCUGUCCAGAUGGGUGUGUAAGCUGAAUGGACCUGGCGUAACAAUCAAUCUUGGCAUAAUGAGCUGUCAUCCAGUCCAUACCCAAGAUGAUGUUAAUAUCUGUAGACUUGAGGGCUAUAAGAGAUGCAAGGAAUACAAGUCUGUCUACAAGGAUUUCGUUACCAUGGCUUACACUAGAAGUUUGCCAUUUGGAUCCAGGAGUUUGAAUGACUAGUGGGGAGGGCAUAUCACAAAAAGACAUGUUGUGCAAGUUAGCAUAGCUUUCAGAAAUGAAGGAGUGAGACGCUCCAGUAUCGAACAAAACCGAUGCUGGAUGACAGUUGACAAGGAGUGUACCAAGAACGACAUCCGGAUCAUCAUGAGCGUCUUUAGCUGAGACGUGAUGCACACGUCCACGUUCAGUGGGAGCUGACUUGACAUUGAUCAUCUUGCGUGAUGGCUUAACACAGUCAACAGACUUCUCGGGCUGGGGUGGAGCAUAACUAGUCUGAGAGCAGUCACGUGCAUAGUGUCCUGGCUUCCCGCAUGUGAAGCAAGUCCCUGAAGUUGGACGUGGACCCGCACUGACAAGCGGUCUACCAAUAGGCCUGGGUGGAGCAUAUGACUGAGCUGGGGAAGGCACCACAUAAGAUGGUCUCGGUGCAUAUCUGGAAGGAAGAGCGGAGUUUGGAACCCAAAUCCGACGCUUCUGAGAACUAGAACCGGAGGAAGAUCCCAGAUCACGGGUGUGCUUACGAGACUCCUCGUAAGUGAGCUGAGCUGUCUCUGCAUUAAUGGCCUUGUUCACAAGAGCUUGCAAUGUAUCACAAUGAUGCAGGUGGAGAUCACGACGCAACUUGGGGUUGAGACCCUUCCGGAACCUAGCUUGCUUCUUGGCGUCCGUGGACACCUCUUCUGUGGCAUAACGGGCGAGGUUCUCAAACUCUCUACUGUAAGCAUCAACAGCCAUCUUACUCUGGGUGAAACUACAGAACUCUUCUCUCUUGCGAUCGAUGAGGGCCUGAGGAAUGUGAUGCUCGCGAAAAGCCUCAGUGAAAUCCCUCCAUGUAGGAAUCUGGCCAGCUGGAAGCAUAGCCUCAUAGUUCUGCCACCAAAGACUAGCAGGACCUUCCAGGUGGUACGUGGCAUAGGUGACCUUGUCAUCUUCAGAUACGUUUGCGGAACACAGCUUAUGAGUGAUGCUACGGAGCCAGUCAUCUGCAUCGAGUGGCUCAAUAGAAUGAUGAAAGGUGGGUGGGUGCAAGCGAAUGAAGUCAUGAAUGGUUGCAGACCCUUUGAUCCGAUGUGCGGUAUUCUCCUCGAUACGUGCCAACAAGCGGUUAGACUCACGCUUGUUCCUCUCCAUUUCUAACAUGAACUCUGCCAACGAAGGCUGGUCGGGAGGAUCCUCAUCCCUACCAUCUCCGUGGUUUUGGCUACGAGAAACAGAACUUCGCUUAGCUGAUGACAUCCUGAGAAACGAAACCAAGAACGGAAUCAGCAUCAACUAUAGGCUAUAGAAUGUAGGACAAGGAAAGUAGUAUCUCUCGAACUCCUAGGGCAAUUCCGACAGCAUAACGACAGUAAAAUGCUCAGAAUGAGACAUCUUGCUAAAAUGGGGUAGUAACAUACUCAACAUCACCAGUCAAGGUUCUGAGACCAUACUAAAUAGGCUACACCGGAAGUACUCGAAACUGGGAUAUGACUCUGAUCAACCAAUCCUAUGGGACUACGGAGUAGCAACACGUGAUCCUGAUAGAUAGGAGAGAAAGCCUAGUUCCUUAACCCCGUAGGAAAGAUAGGAUGACUCAGAUCAGAAGGCCAUGAGGUAUAAGGAGUAAAAAGAGCCUUACAUUCCUUCCCACAAUCAAUUUCGUUACAUAACUAAAGAAUUUCUAGACUCAACUUCGACCAUUUUGGCUUGGUAAUCCUACAGGCAGUCAGGCUCUGAUACCAAAGCUGUCAGGACCCCGAUCCUAAGUCACAUCGAUCUAGCAUGUAAGACCUCAUAUCACUUUGCGGCCUCACGCAUGGUAUUCCCACGGGUGUCGCCUUACCAUGCCCGGGACCAUUUGCGCCUUUUGGCACACGUAUAUGAUAGUGUCGCUAGCAUCCAUAUGACAGAGAACCCGGGCUGACAUGGCUAGUCGUGAACCCAAAGUGGCACUAACUUACAGGGACAGGCAUCCAUGACCCAGCAUCGAACGUGUCGGUCAGCAACGAGUGAAUCCAGGCUGUAGCACUGGGCUAACAGGAUUCCGGUGAACCGGGCUGUAGCGGGCUAACAGGACUCCGGUGUUCAUCGCGUGACAUUUCCCCGAAGGGACAGAUACAGGAACGAAGAAGGACACAUGCCGGCCAGCCUAAGUGUUCCGGAGGAGUAGCAAGCUACCAGGGCUCAGUGGAAGCACUAGGAGACAUUUCCCGGUAAGAGAGACUACUAAGGAUAAACAACUAGAUAGUCAGAUCCCACACAUAGCAAUACACAUUACACGUACGCAUAACAUGCAAGUAUGUGCUGUACAACAUGGCAUCACAACAUAACUCAACAACUCAUAUAGAUAAAGGCUCAGAAGAGCCAUCAUAGCAUUUAUUACAAACAGGGGUCACAUGACCCAACAUUCAGAGCAAUCAAGCAACAAGCGGAAGCAUUACAUGUCUGGGUAUAGACAUCUACAAAUGAAAAAGGCUGAAAAGCCUGACUAACUACAAUAUCCGGUCAAGAUCGUAGCUGAGGUACAAGCUACUUGUCGAAGUCCACGAGAACACUAGUAAGACCGAAGUCUCCGCUGCAAAAACAUAAAUAAAGCAACAUGAGUACAAAGGUACUCAGCAAGACUUACAUCAGAUCCUAUCAUACAUGCAUUUGUAUCAAGAGGGUAAUGUGGGGUUUAGUUGCAGCAAGCCAGCUUUGACUCUGUGGCUAACCUGUUCUACGACUACUAGAACUUCUUUGAGGUGAUAUGGCGCACACGAGUCCACUAAUCACCACACAACACCCUACUAUGGAUUCAUCCCCGUCUCCCUACGAGAAGGCCAUCCAUAGCACUCACACUUGUCUUGAGCAUUUUAGAGUAUCCACUUCAAGUUGUCUAUGUACCAUGUAAGCAUCCAAGAAGUCCAUAACCGCGGACCCAGCUAUUCAAAUAGAUCAUGUUAACCCUGCAGGGGUGUACUUCUUCACACACGCUCUCGCCACUUACCGCCAUGUACACGUCAUGUAUCUCGGCAACCUUCAAGCGGAAGCCUGGCGAGGGUGUCGGCCACGACCUGACUAACCACACAAGACUCUAAUCCAGGUUUAUCGCCUAUUCGGGUUCCAUCCGCAAGGAGAUCCGGCCGGGGUAUCGCUCACGGCCCCAAACGAUGUGAGCAGGGUUCCCAAGCCCACCAUCCGGGUGCCACUUGGUACACCGUGCCACUGUGCCUAGUCUGUCCCAAGCCCACCUGGCCGGGUGCCACUUGGUAGACUACUAACAGUACCUACAAACACUAGAAACUAGUUGCGACUCCUGGACAGAGACCAAGUUGGUUAAUAAGUCGAGAGGGGCCGAGUUACCGGAACCCAAUGUGUGGUAGUAUCGAGUCAUUGGACAACAUACAUAGAACUCAGUGCUUAAGGACGGUUCUAGUGAGACAACCCACCAUGUACUCCUACAUGGCCUCUCACCGCUACCUUUACCAAAUCGUGUUCACACACUUAACUCUCAGCAUCAGAACAUAUCGUAAAACUCCAAUUCAUUCCCAAUGAACCAGACCUGACACAACUCUAAGCAAUAGCAGGCAUAGCAUGGUAGGAACACAACAUGGCUCAAUCAACUCCUACACAUGCUAGUGGGUUUCAACUAUUUACUGUGGCAAUGACAGGUCAUGCAGAGGAAUGGGUUCAACUACCGCAGCACAAAGUAGCAGAUGAACCGUUGUUGUCCUAAUGUAAUAACUGAGAGCAGGAGUGAGAGAGUAGGAUUUUAUCGGAAUGAACAAGGGGGUUUGCUUGCCUGGUAGAUCAACAAGGGGGCACUGCUCCUCAGACAGGUACUCUGGAACGGUCUCCGGAGCAGGACCUAUCGAGAAGGAACGGUGCCAACAAUCAAUACACAAGCAUAUGCAACAAUAUGAUGCAUGAACAUGGCAUGAAGAUGUGAUGCUGUUUGAGCUAAUGCAACUAGUAUUCAUUUGGUUUGAAGUCCAUUCGAACCAAAGGUUCAAAUGCAUCUCCCAAUAAACUCUUUAUAUAAGCCAUUUUAGUGUUUCACUUAUACAGCAGGUAUAACUUGGUUUUUCAUGGAUGAAACAGGUACAGAUGGAUAGGUUGCAUUUUUCUGAUAAUUUUUCAUAUAUAAUUUAUUUCAAUCUGAGCUACGGUUGAAUUGAUAUGAAUUUUUGAAGUUUUGGGCAUUUUCUGGAAAUUCCUGAAUAAGAAUAAAUCCAGAAAAUUGCAUUACCACGUCAGCAUUGAGUAAGCAUGACGUCAGCAAGUCAACUGUGGCUGACUGGGGUCAAACCUGACGUGUGGGGUCCACACAUCAGUGACAGGGGGUUAAACAGGGGUUAGUUUAAUCCUAAUUAAAAGAUUAGUGGCGCUGGGGCCCACUGUCAGUGUCAGGGAGUUAGAUUAGGUGGUGAUUAGCUUAACCUAAUCACCUGACGAGCCGGACCCACCUGACAGGCCGGUGCGGUCAAGCGGUCAACCCCACCGGCGUUAAGCCGCCGGCGAGGCCGAACGCGGCGGAGGGGCUCGGGACCACGUCUCCGGCGACCAAAAGGGCCGCGGAGACCAUCUCCGAGGAGCUGGUGCUCGCGCGCAUCCAGUGGGACACGCGGGAGACCGUGGGGGUGCCGGAGCUCGCCGGAGUGGAGCUCGGGGCGGCGGCCGGAGCACGGGCUCCGAGCGGGAGCGGGCUGUGGGGCAUGGGGAGGCCACUCGAGGGGCUCUGCGGCACCCUCGUGGCACCAGGAGCACGAUGACGAGCUCGGUUGCGGGUUGCGGUGGCCAGGGCGACGGCGGCGACAUGAACGGCGGCGGGAGGCUUCGGCCGUGGUGGGGGAAAGGGGCUACGGCGUGCGGGCGGCUAAACGGAGAGAGGGGAACAGGGCAGAAGCUCAGUGCGGUUCCGGUGGCGCCUUCAGCGGGCUCGGGGGAGGCCAGACGGCGGCGUGGCGGCGAGGACAAUCUCCGGCGACCGAAGACGAAGACGGCGACAGCGAUGGCUCCACGGGGCGUCCGGCGUCUUGUGGCUUGACGGAGAGGACGAGGGAGUCGUGGCGGAGCUCGUGGACUCCAUGGAGGGGCGAGGGGACAGCGGGGAGCGCGUCAGCGGUGAGCUGCGGCGGCGGCAGCGCUUCGGGCGCGGGGAGUGGGAGAGGUCCAGGGGAGGAGUGAGAGCGAGAGAGAGUGGGGGAGGACCGGGGCGGCGUGUGGCGAUGUCCGGGGCAUCUAGGGCUACGAGGAGGACGCCAGGCAGGCAGGGAGGGAGGAGGUGGCCGGGCGCGUGGCCACGGCCGGCUGUGGCGCGGGCACGCAGCUGCUUGGGCGAGGGGGAGGAAGACGACAGAGGAGGGGGCGGGCUGGGCUGCUGCUGGGCUGCACAGUAACGGCUGCACAGGUAAGCUGCCCAGGUAAGGCUUUUCCCUUUUUGUUUCUUUUUCUAUUUUUCUGACAUUUGUUUGGUUUAACAAAAAUACUAAACCGUUUUAUUUUCUUAUGCCAAUUUUUAUAGAAGCUAGUUAUAUUAUUCCAGAGCUCCUUAAUAAAGUAAGUUUACUGUUUUGACCUCUUGUGGGAAAUUCCUUUGUUUUCCGGUGCUCUGCUUGUGGAGUUCUUGGUCGUCUUCGGCAUCGUCGUCCAUACCGUCGAUGUCUUCGGAGUCGAAGUCUAGCAUAUCGGUUAAGUCAUCGACAGUGGCUAUAAAGUGGGUGGUGGGUGGGCUUUGAAUUUCUUCGUCGUCCGCAUCUCAACCGCCCUGACCAUAAUCCGGCCAGGGCUCUCUUGAUAAAGAGAGACACUUUAGCAAAUUCAAGAUGUCGCCGAAAGGAGAGUGCUGAAAGAUGUCCGCAGCGGUGAACUCCAUGAUCGGCGCCCAAUCGGAUUCGAUUGGCAGGGGCGCGGAAGGUUCGGGGUCCGGAGAGGAGUCCGACACCUUGGAGUCGCGAGCUUCAUGAGGGACAAGGUCGGUAUUCGGCUCUAUCACCGUAGAGGUGGCAACCCCCGAGGUGGUGUCCAACCACCCAUCCUCGAUUGGCGCUGUUGGCUCCGAACUAAGGGUCGGAGCGGACUCUUGUGCGGCCUCCAGGGCACUGUCCGGCAGCAGAGCUAAAUCAUGCCCAUCGUGACAGUGCGACACGCCUGGCUGUGGCUCAAAUCCGUCGAAGAUCAAGUCUCCGCGGAUGUCAGCCGUAUAGUUCGAACUUCCGAAUCUGACCUGAUGGCCAGGGGCGUAGCUUUCAAUCUGCUCCAGAUGGCCAAGUGAAUUGGCCCGCAGUGCGAAGCCGCCAAAUACGAAGAUUUGUCCGAGGAGACAAGUCUCACCCUGGACCGCGUUGUUGUUGAUGAUCGAAGGAGCCAUCGGGGCUAUAGGUGACGACACAGAGGGCAUCUCAAUGAAAGCACCAAUGUCGGUGUCAAAACCGGCGGAUCUCGGGUAGGGGGUCCCGGACUGUGCGUCUAGGCGGAUGGUAACAGGAGACAAGGGACACGAUGUUUUUACCCAGGUUCGGGCCCUCUUGAUGGAGGUAAAACCCUACUCCUGCUUGAUUAAUAUUGAUGAUAUGUGUAGUACAAGAGUAGAUCUACCACGAGAUCAAGGAGGCUAAACCCUAGAAGCUAGCCUAUGGUAUGAUUGUUGUGUGUCCUACGGACUAAAACCCUCCGGUUUAUAUAGACACCGGAGAGGACUAGGGUUACACAGAGUCGGUUACAAUGGUAGGAGAUCUUCAUAUCCGUAUCUCCAAGCUUGCCUUCCACACCAAGGGAAGUCCCAUCUGGACACGGGACGAAGUCUUCAAUCUUGUAUCUUCAUAGUCUUGGAGUCCGGCCAAUGAUGAUAGUUCGGCUAUCCAGACACCCCCUAGUCCAGGACUCCCUCACUCCCACUUGCACUAGAGUCAAUAAUAUGGUUCACAUCGCCAUGUGAUUUAACACCAAUAGUUCACAUCGCCAUGUGACCAACACCCAAAGGGUUUACUAGAGUCAAUAGUCUAGUUCACAUCGUUAUGUGAUUAACACCCAAUGAGUACUUAAGGUAUGAUCAUGUUUUUCUUGUGAGAGAAGUUUAGUCAACGAGUCUGUCAGAUUCGGAUUCGUAUGUAUUUUGCAAAUUUCUAUGUCUACAAUGCUAUGCAUGGUGCUACUCUAGCUAAUUGCUCCCACGUUCAAUAUGUAUCCAGAUUGAGAUUUAGAAUCAUCUAUAUCAGUGUCAAAGCUUGCAUCAGCGUAACUCUUUACGAUGAACUCUUUAUCACCUCCAUAACCGAGAAACAUUUCCUUAGUCCUCUUUAAGGCACCUAAGGAUAAUUUUGACCACUGUCUAGUGGUCCACUCCUGGAUCACUCUUGUAACCUCUUUGCCAGAUAAGUGGCAAGACACGCAUCAAGUGUGGUACACAGGAUAGCAUAUCGUAUAGAACCUAAGGCUGAGGCAUAGGGAAUGACUUUCAUUCUCCCUCUAUCUUCCGCCGUGGUCGGGCUUUGAGUCUUACUCAACUUCACACCUUGUAAUACAGGAAAGAACCCCUUCUUGGACUGAACCAUUCUGAACUUCUUCAAAUCUUAUCAAGGUAUGUGCUUUGUGAAAGUCCUAUUAAGCGUUUCGAUCUAUCCCUAUAGAUCUUGAUGCCCAAUAUAUAAGUAGCUUCACUGAGGUCUUCCAUUGAAAAAUUCUUAUUCAAGUAUCCUUUUAUGCUAUCCAGAAAUUCUAUAUCAUUUCCAAUCAAUAAUAUGUGAUCCGCAUAUAAUAUCAGAAAUGUUACAGAGCUCCCACUCACUUGUAAAUACAUGCUACACCAUAAGUCUGUAUAAAACCAUAUGCUUUGAUUACCAUAUCAAAGCGUAUAUUCCAACUCCGAGAUGCUUGCACCAGUCCAUAGAUGGAUCGUUGGAGCUCGCACACUUUGUUAGCACCUUUAGGACUGACAAAACCUUCUGGUUGCAUCAUAUACAAUUCUUCUUUAAUAUUCAUUAAGGAAUACAACUUUUGACAUCCAUUUGCCAGAUUUCAUAAUCAUAAAAUGUGGCAAUUUCUAACAUGAUUUGGACAGACUUAAGCAUCGCUACGGGUGAGAAAGUCUCAUGAUAGUCAACUCCUUGAACUUUGUCGAAAACCUUUUUGCGACAAGCCGAGCUUUGUAGAUAGUAACACUACCAUUAGUGUUUGUCUUCCUCUUGAAGAUCCAUUUAUUCUCAAUGGCUUGCCGAUCAUUGGGCAAGUCCACCAAAGUCCACACUUUGUUCUCAUACAUGGAUCCUAUCUCAGAUUUCAUGGCCUCAAGCCAUAUGUCGGAAUCUGGGCUCAUCAUUGCUUCUUCAUAGUUCGUAGGUUCGUCAUGGUCUAGUAACAUGACUUCUAGGACAGGAUUACCGUACCACUUUGGUGCGGAACGUGCUAUGUUCGAUCUACGAGGUUCUAUAGUAACUUGAUUCAAAGUUUCAUGAUCAUCAUUGUUAGCUUCCUCUCUUGUUGGUGUAGGCAUCACGGGAACGGAUUUCCCUGAUGUGCUACUUUCCAAAUUGAGAGAAGGUAUUACCUUAUCAAGUUCUACUUUCCUCCCACUCACUUCUUUCGAGAGAAACUCCUUCUCUAGAAAGGAUCCAUUCUUAGCAAUAAAGAUCUUGCCUUUUAGAUAUGUGGUAGAAGGUGUACCCAAUUGCAUCCUUAUGGUACCCUAUGAAGAUGCACUUCUCCGAUUUGGGAUCAAUCUUAUUAGGCUGAAGCCUUUUGACAUAAGUGUCGCAACCCCAAACUUUAAGAAAUGACAGCUUAGGUUUCUUGCCAAACCACAGUUCAUACAGUGUCAUCUCAACGGAUUUAGAUGGUGUCCUAUUUAAUGUGAAUGUGGUUGUGUCUAAUGCAUAACCCCAAAAUGAUAGUGGUAAACCGGUAAGAGACAUCAUAGAUGGCACCAUAUCUAAUAAAGUACGGUUACGAUGUUCGGGAACACCAUUACACUGUGGUGUUCCAGGUGGCGUGAGUUGUGAAACUAUUCCACAUUGUUUUAAAUGAAGGCCAAACUCGUAACUCAAAUAUUCGCCUCCUGCGAUCAUAUCGUAGAAACUUUAUUUUCUUAUUACGAUGGUUCUCCACUUCAGUCUGAAAUUCUUUGAACUUUUCAAAUGUUUCAGACUUGUGUUUCAUCAAGUAGAUAUACCCAUAUCUGCUCAAAUCAUCUCUGAAGGUUAGAAAAUAAUGAUACCCUCCGCGAGCCUCAACACUCAUUGGACCGCAUAUAUCAGUAUGUAUUAUUUCCGAUAAGUCAUUGGCUCGCUCCAUUGUUCCGGAGAAUGGAGUUUUAGUCAUCCUACCCAUGAGGCAUGGUUCAGAAGUAUCAAAUGAUUCCUAAUCAACUGAUUCCAAAAGUCCAUCCGCAUGGAGUUUCUUCAUGCGCUUUACACCAAUAUGACCUAAACGGUAGUCCACAAGUAUGUUGCACUAUCAUUAUCAACUUUGCAUCUUUUGGCAUCAAUAUUAUGAAUAUGUGUAUUGAUACGUCUCCAAUGUAUCUAUAAUUUUUUAUUGUUCCAUGCUAUUAUUUUACCCGUUUUGGAUGUUUAUGGGCUUUACUUUACACUUUUAUAUCGUUUUUAGCACUAACCUACUAACCGGAGGCCCAUCCCAAAUUGUUUUUUUGCCUACUUCAGUGUUUCGAAGAAAAGGAAUAUCAGAUGGAGUCCAAACGGAAUGAAACCUUCGGGAGCGAUCUUUUUGGAACAAACGCAAUCCAGAGGACUUGGAGUGGAAGUCAAGCAACAGAAGAGGCGGCCACGAGGGUGCCUGGCGCGCCCCUAGGGGUGGGCAUGCUCCCCACCCUCGUGGGCCCCUCGAGCAUCCACCGACCUACUUCUUCCUCCUAUAUAUACCCACGUACCCUGAAAACAUCCAGGAGCACCAUGAAAACCUAAUUCCACCACCGCAACCUUCUGUAUCCGCGAGAUCCCAUCUUGGAGACUUCGCCGGCGCUCCGCCGGAGGGGGAAUCGACCAUGGAGGGCCUCUACAUCAUCUCCAAGGCCCUUCCAAUGAGUUGUGAGUAGUUUACCAUAGACCUUCGGGUCCAUAGUUAUUAGCUAGAUGACUUCUUCUCUCUCUUUGAUUCUCAAUACAAAGUUCUCCUUGAUCUUCUUGGAGAUCUAUUCGAUGUAACUCUUUUUGCGGUGUGUUUGUCGAGAUCCGAUGAAUUGUGGGUUUAUGAUCAAGUUUAUCUAUGAGAAAUAUUUGAAUCUCCUCUGAAUUCUUUUAUGUGUGAUAUUUAUCUUUGCAAGUCUCUUUGAAUUAUCAGUUUGGUUUGGCCUACUAGAUUGAUCUUUCUUGCAAUGGGAGAAGUGCUUAGCUUUGGGUUCAAUCUUGCGGUGUCCUUUCCCAGUGACAGCAGGUGCAGCAAGGCACGUAUUGUAUUAUUGCCAUCGAGGAUAAAAGAUGGGGUUUAUAUCAUAUUGCAAGAGUUUAUCCCUCUACAUCAUGCCAUCUUUCUUAAUGCGUUACUCUGGUCUUUAUGAACUUAAUACUCUAGAUGCAGGAAGGAGUCGGUCGAUGUGUGGCCUAUAUACAUGAUCAUGCCUAGAUAAUCUCAUAACUAUGCGCUUUUCUAUCAAUUGCUCGACAGUAAUUUGUUCACCCACCAUAAUACGUAUGCUUUCUUGAGAGAAGCCACUAGUGAAACCUAUGGUCCCCGGGUCUAUCUUUUAUCAUAUAAGUUUACCAUCUACUUUUAUUUGCAUCUUUACUUUUCCAAUCUAUAUCAUCAAAAUACCAAAAAUAUUUAUCUUAUCAUAUUAUCUCUAUUAGAUCUCACUUUCGUAAGUGGCCGUGAAGGGAUUGACAACCCCUUUAUUGCAUUGGUUGCGAGGUUCUUGCUUGUUUGUGUAGGUGUGUGGGACUUCUGAGGAGCCUCCUACUGGAUUGAUACCUUGGUUCUCAAAAACUGAGGGAAAUACUUACAUUACUUUGCUGCAUCACCCUUUCCUCUUCAAGGAAAACCAACGCAAGCUCAAGACGUAGCAAGAAGGAUUUCUGGCGCCGUUGCUGGGGAGGUCUUCUCACAAGUCAAGACAUACCAAGUACCCAUCACAAACUAUUAUCCCUCACAUUACAUUAUUUGCCAUUUGUCUCUUGUUUUCCUCUCCCCCACUUCACCUUUGCCUUUUCUUCGCCCUCCUUCCGUUCGAUCUUGUGUUACCAUGUGCCUUCUUUUUGCUUGCAUCUUCGCUUGCUAAAAGUUUAUGGAUCCUCAUCCCCUUGCUAAUCUAUUUAAGAGAUCCAAUUAUGAUGAACCGGUUUCUAGUGAUUUGAGUGCACUAGAUUAUCUUUAUGAGGUUUUGCUUGAAAUUCGUGAUUCUGAAAAUUGUGAUGAGGAAAUUUAUGAAGAGAUUCACGAUAGCUCCUUGAAUAAAAAGCAUGAUUGCAAUAAUUUUAAUAUAAAUUCUCUUGAUGUCCAUUGUGAUAAUAAUAUGCAAAACCCUAAGCUUGGGGAUGCUAGUUUUGCUAUGACUACUAUUUGUUGCAAUGAUCAUGAUUGGGGUGAUUCUUUCUGAUCUUGAAAUUUUAUUUAAGCCCCAUGAUGAAUAUGAGAUCGAUAAUAGUGUUUGCAAUAAUAUUAAAAGUGGGUUUGUAAGAGUGUCAACUUUAUAUCCACAUAUUUGGAGAAUGUUCAAUCUUAUGGUAUUUUUGAUAAAAGUGGGUUUGGAGUGGUCAUGAAUUUAGUUAAUGAUAAUCCCACUAUUUUCGAAGAGUGUCAACUUCGCAUGCAUGUGGAUCGUGUUGAGAAUAUGUUAUCUGAUAGCUAUUUUGUUGAAUUUUCCUAUGAUACUACAUGUAAUUAUUAUGAGAGAGGAAAAUAUGCUUGUAUAAAUUUUUAUCUUACUAAAUUACCUCUCGUCAUGUUGAGAUUGCUAUUGUCUCUUUCUUCUUCCUUGCAUAUGCUAAUUUUUGCUUGCUAUGAUAAUUUGUUUGAUUAUAAAAUGCCUAUUCAUAGGAAGUAUGUUAGACUUAGAUGUGUUUAUCACAUGUUCUAUGAUGCUAUCUUUGUGCUUUAAUUCUUGUCUUUGAUGUGAGCAUCAUUAAAUUUAUCAAUGCCUAGCUAGGGGCGUUAAAUGAUAGCGCUUGUUGGGAGGCAACCUAAUUUUAUUUUUGUUCUUUGCUUUUUGUUCCUGUUUAGUAACAAAUAAAUCAUCUAGAUUCUGUUUAGAUGUGUUUUCAUGUUUUAAUUAAUGUUUGUGCCAAGUAGAACCUAUAGGAUAACCUACGGUGAUAGUUAAUUUGAUUCUGCUGAAAAACAGAAACUUUGCAUUCACGAAAAUAAUUUUAGUAAUUCACAGAAACGUGAUUUUGAGUUGAUUCUUUUUUCCGUAGAUCAAUAGAAAUUGUUUCCAGGAUUUCCUAUUUUUGUAGGAUUUUUAGAGUUCCAUAAGUAUUAGAGAGUUACAGAUUGCUACAGACUGUUCUGUUUUUGACAGAUUCUGUUUUUCGUGUGUUGUUUGCUUAUUUUGAUGCAUCUAUGGCUAGUAUCAGUGGGUAUGAACCAUAGAGAAGUUGGAAUACAGUAGGUUUAACACCAAUAUAGUAAAUAAUGAGUUAAUUACAGUAUCUUAUGUGGUGGUUUUUCUUUCUUGCACUAACGGAGCUUAUGAGAUUUCCUGUUGAGUUUUGUGUUGUGAAGUUUUCAAGUUUUGGGUAAAAGAUUUGAUGGACUAUGGAAUAAGGAGUGGAAAGAGCCUAAGAUUGGGGAUGCCCAUGGAACCCCAAUAUAUUGAAGGAUAACCAAAAUCGUAAGCUUGGGGAUGCCCCGGAAGGCAUCCCCUCUUUCAUCUUCGUCUAUCGGUAACUUUACUUGGAGCUAUGUUUUUAUUCGCCAUAUGAUAUGUGUUUUGCUUGGAGCGUCUUGUAUGAUAUUAGUCUUUGCUUAUUAGAUUACCACAAUAAUCCUUGCUGUACACACCUUUUGGGAGAAGCCCACUUAAUUUAUAAUUUAUUAGAAUACUCUAUGUGCUUCACUUAUAUCUUUUGAGCUAGAUAAUUUUUGCUCUAGUACUUCACUUAUAUCUUUUAGAGCACGGCGGUGGCUUAAUUUUGUAGAAAUUGUUGAUCUCUCAUGCUUCACUUAUAUUAUUUUGAGAGUCUUUUAGAACAGCAUGGUAUUUGCUAUGGUUAUAAAAUUGGUCCUAGAAUGAUGGGCAUCCAAGUUGGGUAUAAUAAAAACUAUCAUAGGAAGUGAAUUGGAUGCUAUGAUCAAUUUGAUACUUGAUAAUUGUUUUGAGAUAUAGAGGUUGUGAUAUUAGAGUCAUGCUAGUUGGGUAAUUGUGAAUUUAAAGAAUAUUUGUGUUCAAGUUUGUGAUUCCCGUAGCAUGCACGUAUGGUGAACCGCUUUGUGAUGAAGUUGGAGCACAAUUUUACUUAUUGAUUGUCUUCCUUAUGAGUGGCGGUCGGGGACGAGCGACGGUCUUCUCCUACCAAUCUAUCCCCCUAGGAGCAUGCGUGUAGUACUUCGUUUUCAAUGGCUUGUAGAUUUUUGCAAUAAGUUUAUGAGUUCUUUAUUACUAAUGUUGAGUCCAUGGAUUAUACGCACUCUCACCCUUCCACCAUUGCUAGCCUCUCUUGUGCCAUGCAACUUUUGCCGGUACCAUACACCCACCAUAUACCUUCCUGAAAACAGCCACCAUACCUACCUAUUAUGGCAUUUCCAUAGCCAUUCUGAGAUAUAUUGCCAUGCAACUUUCCACCGUUGCAUUUAUUAUGACAUGCUCCAUCAUUGUCAUAUUGCUCUUUGCGUGAUCAUGUAGUUGACAUCGUAUUUGUGGCAAAGUCACCUUCAUAAUUUUUCAUACAUGUCACUCUUGAUUCAUUGCAUAUCCCGGUACACCGCCGGAGGCAUUCAUAUAGAGUCAUAUUUUGUUCUAAGUAUCAAGUUGUAAUCUUGAGUUGUAAAUCAAUAAAAUUAUGAUGAUCUUCAUUAUUAGAGCAUUGUCCCAAUUGAGGAAAGGAUGAUGGAGACUAUGAUUCCCCCACAAGUCGGGAUGAGACUUCGGACUGUAUAAAAAAAGAGAAAGGCCAAAAAAAGGAAAGGCCAAAUAAAGAAAAUGAGAGAAAAAGAGAGAAGGGACAAUGCUACUAUGCUUUUUACCACACUUGUGCUUCAAAGUAGCACCAUGAUCUUCAUGAUAGAGAGUCUCCUAUGUUGUCACUUUCAUAUACUAGUGGGAGUUUUUCAUUAUAGAACUUGGUUUGUAUAUUCCAAUGAUGGGCUUCCUCAAAAUGCCCUAGGUCUUCGUGAGCAAGCAAGUUGGAUGCACACCCACUUAGUUUCUUUUCUUGAGCUUUCAUACAUUUAUAGCUCUAGUGCAUCCGUUGCAUGGCAAUCCCUACUCACUCACAUUGAUAUCUAUUAAUGGGCAUCUCCAUAGCCCGUUGAUACGCCUAGUUGAUGUGAGACUAUCUUCUCCUUUUUGUUUUCUCCACAACCACCAUUCUAUUCAACAUAUAGUGCUAUGUCCAUGGCUCACGCUCAUGUAUUGCGUGAAAGUUGAAAAAUUUGAGAUUACUAAAGUAUGAAACAAUUGCUUGGCUUGUCAUCGGGGUUGUGCAUGAUUAAAUACUUUGUGUGAUGAAGAUAAAGCAACAACCAGACUAUAUGAUUUUGUAGGGAUAACUUUCUUUAGCCAUGCUAUUUUGAGAAGACAUGAUUGCUUUAUUAGUAUGCUUGAAGUAUUAUUAUUUCUUAUGUCAAUAUGAACUUUUAUUUUGAAACAGUUGGAUCUGAACAUUCCUGCCACAAUAAAGAAAAUUACAUUGAGAAUUAUGCUAGGGCAUUCCACAUCAAAAAUUCUGUUUAUAUCAUUUACCUACUCGAGGACGAGCAGGAAUUAAGCUUGGGGAUGCUUGAUACGUCUCCAACGUAUCUAUAAUUUUUGAUUAUUCCAUGCUAUUAUAUUACCCGUUUUGGAUGUUUAUGGGCUUUACUUUACACUUUUAUAUCAUUUUUGGGACUAACCUACUAACCGGAGGCCCAGCCCGAAUUGCUGUUUUUUUUGCCUAUUUCAGUGUUUCAAAGAAAAGGAAUAUCAAACGGAGUCUAAACGGAAUGAAACCUUCGGGAGCGAUCUUUUUGGAACAAACGCAAUCCAGAGGACUUGGAGUGGAAGUCAAGCAAUAGACGAGGCGGCCACGAGGGUGCCCGACGCACCCCUAGGGGUGGGCGUGCCCCCCACCCUCGUGGGCCCCUCGAGCAUCCAGCGACCUACUUCUUCCUCCUAUAUAUACUCACGUACCCCGAAAACAUCCAGGAGCACCACGAAAACCUAAUUCCACCGCCGCAACCUUCUAUAUCCGCAAGAUCCCAUCUUGGAGCCUUCGCCGGCGCUCCGCCGGAGGGGGAAUCGACCACGGAGGGCCUCUACAUCAUCUCCAAGGCCCUUCCGAUGAGUCGUGAGUAGUUUACCACAGACCUUCGGGUCCAUAGUUAUUAGCUAGAUGGCUUCUUCUCUCUCUUUGAUUCUCAAUACAAAGUUCUCCUCGAUCUUCUUGGAGAUCAAUUAGAUGUAAUUCUUUUUGCGGUGUGUUUGUCGAGAUCCGAUGAAUUGUGGGUUUAUGAUCAAGUUUAUCUAUGAGAAAUAUUUGAAUCUCCUCUGAAUUCUUUUAUGUGUGAUUAAGUUAUCUUUGCAAGUCUCUUUGAAUUAUCAGUUUGGUUUGGCCUACUAGAUUGAUCUUUCUUGCAAUGGGAGAAGUGCUUAGCUUUGGGUUCAAUCGUGCGAUGUCCUUUCCUAGUGACAGCAGGGGCAGCAAGGCACAUAUUGUAUUGUUGCCAUCGAGGAUAAAAGAUGGGGUUUAUAUCAUAUUGCAUGAGUUUAUCCCUCU
This 129753-nucleotide long non-coding RNA is filed under the name Triticum aestivum (bread wheat). RNAcentral's name for it is "long non-coding RNA (TAES_LNC006871)". The record is from RNAcentral. Lineage: Eukaryota; Viridiplantae; Streptophyta; Magnoliopsida; Poales; Poaceae.